Molecule: long non-coding RNA, 135461 nt
Filed under: Citrus sinensis (sweet orange)
Lineage: Eukaryota; Viridiplantae; Streptophyta; Magnoliopsida; Sapindales; Rutaceae
Description: long non-coding RNA (CSIN_LNC000969)
Source: RNAcentral
UUUAGCUAUCUGUAUGAUACAUCCGCUGAGACCUAGGGAUGGCAAAAUUCUCCACGGGUUUGGGGCCCCAUGGAGCCCCACCCCAAAUGGGGAAAAUUUUUAAUAAUUUUUGGGAAAUGGGGUGGGAAGUGGGGGAAAAAUAAUCCCCAAAUUGUUAAUGGGGUGGGGUUUGGUAUUGCACUCCCCACCCCAAUCCCCAUUAUAUAAAAAUAUUUUUAAUUUUUAUUUACUAAUUUUUUAGUAAUUAAAAUACUAAUUAGUCCCCACCCCAAUCCCCAUUAUAUGAAAAUAUUUUUAAUUUUUAUUUACUAAUUUUUUAGUAAUUAAAAUAUUAAUUAGUAAUUUUUUUAUUUUACUUAAUAUAGAUUAAUAAAUAUAUCAGAAUAUUUUUCAAUUCUAAAACAUUAUAAUGUUUUCUUUUCUCUUUUAAGGUGUUGCUCUCUUUAAAUAUUUUUCACUUUUAAUAUCAUUUUAAGAUAUUGUUUCAAACUUUUAGACAUUUUUAAAAAAAAAUUAAAUACUUCAUAAUAUGGUGAUGAUUUUAUUUUAAGUUUUUAAUUUUUAAUUUACUGAAAUCAUAUAUUUAUAUUUACUAUAAAAUAGGUAAAUGGGGAAUGGGGUGGGGAUGGGGAAAUCAUUCCCCAUGUGGGGAUUCCCCAUCCCCAACCCACUAAAUUUAUUGGGGAAUGGGGUGGGGAAUGGAGGCAAAAAAUUUUAAUGGAGUAGGAAAUGAGGUAAGCCUCCCCACCCCACCCUACCCCAUUGCCAUCCCUACUGAGACUCUGGGUGCAUUUUUUCCUGCUCAAAUACCGAAUAGUCACUAAGCAAUAUGAAUUCUUGAAAAAUUCCUCUUUAAACAACGAAACGACAGCACAACGGCUUUUGAAGGAUCAAAACUCAUUGCUCUGCACCACGUGUCGUCCUAUGUUCUUCUUUGCGGUUAGAUUAGAUUCUUUUAACCAUUCGACGGUCAAAAGCUAACAGACUAAAAGAAAAGCGAACCGUUGUGGGAUCCGCUUCAAUGAUGAAACCCGACAUGUCGCUAUCAAAUUUCUUUUUAAAUAUGUGGUGGUUGUGGAAAUAACAUUAAGUCGCUAUUCAUAGAAGCCAUAUCCUUAGAAUUUGUUAAAAAUUCACAAGUAAAAUCAAUCAUUUAACCGUUAAAUAUUUGAAAAUCAGCUAGAUUCAUUUAACCGUUAAAUAUUUGAAAAUCUAAAAAUUCACAAGUAAAAUCAAUCAUUUAACCGUUAAAUAUUUGAAAAUCAGCUAGAUUAACUUAUUUAUCUCCAUGUUUUGAGAAACAUAUUAUUGAACUUUCAACAAAACUUGACAAUAUAUACGAUAUAAUUUGUAACAUGACUUACUGAUUCAACAUGAAAAUGAUAUAAAUUAAGUUAAUAAAUUUAAAUUAAUCAAAGAUUACACAAGUAGUAAUCAUAUAAAAUAUGUGUCAUUUAUUUACCAACCUGUUUGGGUUUAGAUUUUUUUUUAAUAUUAUAUAUGACAUCAUAAUUAUGAUAUUAACCAUAUAGGUCCUCAAUAAUAUUUAAAUAAAAAUAUUAAACGGGUGAAAAUUAAAACAAAAUCUAAUUUAAAGAUAUGUUAAUAAUACUUUUAUCAAUCGUGUGCUAAAUUAGUGUUUUAAGCUUUUUAGUUUCAUCGAACUCGUGCCGCCCAAAAUUUUCAUGAUGAAGAAUACGAUAAAUAAUCCAACCUAAACUACUACAAGUUUAUAACAGGGUCUCUGCAAAAAUAUUAUCUAUCACUUAUGCCCUUUCAUUUAAAUUUCUGUAAACAUUAGGGACCUUCUUGCUAUUAUCUCAAGCCUGCAAAUACCAAGAGUCAUUCGCAGUCUACUCAUAUUACAAAAACCAAAACAAGAUAUAAUUCGGGGGGGAAAAAAAUUCGUAUCACAAGAUAAAAAUUUCUCACACUCUUAAGUUCUAAUACAGAGAUGGCGCAAGUUAAUAUUUGCAGAGCUGUGGCUUUGAUUCUCUUCAUUGCAGCGCUUUUCUCAAUGACAGCUGUCGGCAGUGCACAGGAUGUCGACCUAGCGCCGUCGCCGAGCAUGGACGCCGGAGCUGCGUUCCCGGUGACUGUUUCCGCUGGCUUUGUUUGCCUCUCACUCUUCUCUCAGUCAUUGCUCUACUAUUGCAGUAAUAGGUUCUUGAGAGACUCAGAUUUUUAUUUUAUUUUUAUUAUUAGGAUAUUUAUUAUUUUUGAAAAUUUUGGGUAUUUUUUUUUUUAAUUGCUAUUUGGUGGGAGUGCAUGUGUUUGAGUUGCUGAGAGUGAGAAUGUAUUAGUUUUAAUAAUGCAAUUAUUUUUUCCCCUAAUCUUUGGUUAGGGUUGUUUUUUCUUUUUAUUUUUUUAAUGGUCUUGAUAUUAUGUUCUAUUUUAAUUAUAAAAAUUAGUAUUAUUAUUUAUCAUCUUGCAUCUCUCUUUAAUAUUCAUCGGGCUUUAAACUUAAAAACUCCCAGAGAUCAUUUCUAUUACAAGUAUUGUUAAUUUUAAGUAUAUUUAGUACAAAAUCUAGCUGAAGGAAAUUGACUUUUAAAUAAGAAAAAAAAAUCUAUUUAGGUGGUUAAAAUCUAAAGCUACCUGAAAAUCUAUUGCAAAUUAAUAAUUCAAAAUCCGUGUCAUUAUUUUAAGCCAAAAAUUUCUCAAGAAAAAUUGAACUGGGGAUAGUUUUAUGUAGUUUCGUACUUUCAAUUUCAAAUGGGCCGGUUUAAUAAUUAGACCAUUUACUUAAAAUCAUCAUACUUAUCUCUUUUGUGCGUAGAUCUGCGAACGCCGCUGCCCACAGUGUAGCUAGGGUGGGGGGUUCUAUGUCAGGUCCUGGAGAGUGGAGAGAUGUUCCACCUCUAUGGUUAUGUCCCAUGUUGGCUAUUCCUCUUGUUUAAUGACAUUUCCUUCAUCAAAAAAAAAAAAAAAAAUCAUCAUACUUAUCUCGAAAUUCAUUUUUUUUCCUCGCAUACUUUAUAUUAAUCAACAUAUAUAAAAAUUUUAAUAGAAACACGAUGCUUUUCCAAAAUCCUCUUGGCAUACGAAGUCUUCAUCUCGAUUUGAAAUUCAACCAUAUCUGUUUUUCUUUUUCUUUUUUUUUCUUUUUUUCACGUUUCAUUUACCAUUAUCCAUUCGCAAAUGCAUAUUGAAUCACCUUAGGAAUUUGCAAAACCUGUGAGGUUGAUACAAAUUAAUUAACAAAUCUUGGUUUGCAGACAAUUGAUUUUAAUCAGUUCCCAACUCUUUUCAUUAUCUUCUGAAAGCAACUUGCAUCUGUUGAGGUUAACUGAUGAAGAAGAUACUCAAAAAUACAAACAAGAAAUUAAAAACAAAGGCAACAAGCAAGAGACAUGCAAAUUUAGAGUGCCCCUCUCUGUGUGGGGCUAAUGGUCAAUUUUGGAAUUAUCGUUCGAAUAGUCAAAAUUGAUUGUUUGAAAUUAACUACAAACGUGUUGUUCGGUAAAUUAUUUUAUUUGACUUCAGCCCGAGAUAUAUUAAUUUGGCACUUAAAAAUUAAGAAAAAAAAAGAAUAUUCUGGAUUAAACGAACUUGGAAAUUAAGAAGCUACACUUGUAAACCAAUUAUAUAGCCCGGAAAGACCUUGACUCCAAUAGAAAUCUACUUCAAUCUUUGGAAAAUUUUGAUACAAGUUCUAAAUUUUCCACAAGAUAUCCCAAAAUGUAAUUUUCAAACAAUUGUUGUUGGUGUGGUCGAGCUCGUUUUAGACGUUUAGGCAUUGUUAGAACUUGUAUAAGGACAAUGACUUCUUGAGUCAUGAAUAAAAGACCAUUUAUGGAUUAAUAAAAAUCUGUAUGGGGCUCCAAAACCAAAUUUUACUGAUUAUUUGAUUAUUUUUAAUGCCACAAUGACACAAAUUACCAAUUUAUAGAGUAGAAAAUAACUUGUAAUGAAUAGAAGAUCGAUUAUUUAUACAUGGAAUUAUGGAUUAAUAAAAGUCUUUGCUCCUCCAAAACCAAUUUUUAUUGAUUAUUUUAUUAUUUGAUUAUAUAUUUUGGACCAAAAAUAAAAUAAACCUAAUAAGACCCAAAUAAAUUUAAUCUCAAUAAGACCCAUUUAAUAAAUUUUCUCUCAAUUAAGCCCACAAAGUGGUGGACAAAUCACUUAAAAUAUUCCUCCUAAGUAACAAGAUUUCAAAGCCUAAAAGAAGCCAAGGUCCUAGAUUCCUAUUAUAAGACAAACCACCUAGGAUAAAUCAACUAGGUGGCAAGGAUUUAAAGUACAAAACGUGCUGAGGUUCUAGGCUCUUAUCCUAGGACAAACCUCCUAAGUUUGAGGGCUUUUAUGAUCCCAAGAUCUUAGUAAAAAUAACCUAAGGAUAAAACGUUUCUUCCUUUAAUCCGUAAACAAAUCUGUAUAUCCAUGUGUCAAUCAACAUACUAGGGGGCAAGUGUUGUAAAAUGUCAUAAGAAUAAUGACAUUUGUCAUCAAAAUAACUAGGACCCAAGUCAAAUCAGUUUGGUCGAUAAAUACGUCUUUCAUUCUCACUAAAAGAUAAGAAAAAAAAAAGAGACUAAAAAGGAGAAAAGACUAACUUUCUCCCUCUAAUAUUUCUCUUUCUAAAUUUAUGUUUCCAAAAGUCCGGUUACUGACUUGAUCGUCGGAGGGCCCUCUGAUCUUUUUCUUGUAUUUACAGAGUAUCACUAGACGAAAACAUUCUGAUUGCCUAAGAAAGUGAAUUGAGAUGAGCAUAUAUAAAGGCCCAUUAAGAUCAGCUCAAAGGAUAAACUCAUCAUCAUCAAAUCUAAAAAAAAGGAACCCAAGUCCUAAGGGGGCUAUCCUCAGUCGAAAUUUCCACAUCAUAAGUUGGGACAAAAUUUGCACCAACAAUAUAUAUUGCCAAAAUGACACCAAUUGAAAGCUUAGGUAGAAAAUGUCAAUAAUAAUAAUAGUAUUUAAUUUUUUUUUUGGUGGAUGAUUGAUACCAAUUAUAAACUUAGAAUAAAAAAAUUGAAUGAAUUUAAAAUUUUAUAUUACUUUUGAUAACAAGAUAAAUAUAAAUAGAUGACUAAUAAUUUUUCUACAAUUAAUCCUAAUUCUUCAUUUUUGAAUUUGAGUGGCCAACAAAUAAAAUUAUUUGAAAACUACUCUAUCCUGAGAGUUAUUGUGAGAGUUAUUGGUAGAUGUGUGAUUGCUAACCACCAGAAAAAAAUAAUAAAAAAAAAUUUAAUUGAGGAAAAUCAAAUAUCUAUAAAGAUUUGUACCAAUCAUGUACACAAAUCAAACUCCCUCAGUGUUCUAAAGUGUAAAGGCCAGAGAAGACCUUGACUCACUAUUGUGUUUGAAAACGAGUGUUGCUAUUCAACGCGGGAAGAAGAUGAUUAUGGGCCUGUUCAUGGUGUCCUUUUCCUGCGUUAAAGUGUCUAUAUGAACUUUAUAAGAAUUUGCAGAAUCCAAUCAACUGAAAAAUUACAAUCAUGGAACCGACUUCCUCCAUUUUCAGAUUGGCGGCCCUUGUAUGGGCUGUAAUAUUUACAUGCGAUAACGUUGCUGUUAGAACUGGUACAAUUGUCACAGCAUCUGCUUUGUCACCCAUACAGUUAGAAAAGAAAGCUUUAAUCAAUACUGGCUGGUGGAACUGCACCUGGACGACGGCCGACUACUCUUCGGACCAUUGCACGUGGGAACUGGGAAGGCAUCACUUGCAAUUCAGCAGGAAGCAUAAUCGAGCUACACUUGUCCUCGAACGGACUUACAGGUAACAUACGAAAUUAACUUCAUUACCGCAUAUUAUUUGAGCAAUCAUAUUUAAAUGGAUUAAGUUUGAGAGAAUACUGACAAAAACAAAGGUAAACCAGACCUAUUUUAUCAUAUUAAUUGAAAAAAUGAUAAUAAUAAUUAACACGGUAAAUACAUCUGUUUGCCGUUGUUUAAAUUUCUUUAACAUUUUUUUCAUUAUUUUUGCAAACUAAUAACAUAAAUGUAUAUAAUAGGUACAAUCCCUUCAGAGAUUGGAAAUUUGAGGAAUCUCACCAAUCUUGAUUUAUUUGAUAACGUCCUUACUGGAACUGUUCCUUCAACUCUUGGUCGUUCAACCAAAUUGAAUUUUAUGAGCCUCUCUCGCAACAUGCUCGGUGGUAUACUACCUUAGGAAAUUGGGAACCUGAAGAAUUUGAUCGAGCUGGACGUGGGCAGUAACAGCCUAAUUGGACCGAUUCCUUCAACUCUAGGUCUUUUGACCGAUUUGAGCUAUUUGGACCUUAGUCGUAACCAAUUCAACAGCUCAAUUCCAAAUGAGCUCACCUGGCUAACUGGACUUCUUGGUCUUAAUCUUUCCUCAAAUAAACUUUCUGGAAAAAUUCCUUCACAGAUAGCAAGUAUGAAGAAUCUAACCUGGUUGGACAUAUCAAAUAACAAGAUAGAAGGUUCAAUUCCCGGUGAGAUCACCGAGUUAUCUCGACUUGAUUAUCUAAAUCUUUCCUCUAACAAACUUUCUGGCCCAGUACCGUUUUCAAAUGAACAACUCUCAAGCAUGUAUAUAGUAAGACUCUCUCCUAACAAGGGUUUAUGCGGCAAUUUUAGUGCUCUUCCUUCAUGCGAUGCAACCAAACCUGCCACUCUUUUUGUUGAAAUUUUUCUUCCCCUCGCCAUAGUCCCCUCAGUUAUAGUCUUUGCAUGCUUACUAGUCGUCAAACGUAAGUACAAGAAACCCAAACUCAAGGCAAACGCAACCAAUAGCAUAGGUGUAUUUUCAAUAUGGAAUUAUGAUGGUAGAAUUGUCUACGAGGAUCUGAUUGAAGCCACGGAAGGUUUUGACAUUAAAUACUGCAUUGGUACUGGAGGGUAUGGCAGCGUCUACAAGGCACAGCUUCCCAACGGCAAGGUAUUUGCAUUGAAAAAGCUUCACACUUCAGAAACAGAGGAAUUGGCGUUCAUCAAGAGUUUCCGAAACGAGGCUCAAGUACUUUCUCAAGUACUGCACCGUAAUAUUGUUAAAUUAUACGGUUUUUGCUUGCACAGAAAAUGCAUGUUUCUCAUUUACGAGUACAUGGAGAGAGGAAGCUUGUUCUGCAAUUUACACAAUAAUGAGGACGCCGUGGAGUUGGAUUGGGCUAAGAGGGUGAACAUUGUAAAAGCCAUGGCACAUGCUUUGGCGUACUUGCAUCAUGACUGCUCACCAUCAAUUAUUCACCGCGACAUAUCGAGCAACAACAUUCUACUUAAUUCAAAAUUUGAGGCAUUUGUUGCUGACUUUGGCACUGCCAGGCUUCUACACGCUGAUUCGUCCAAUCGAACUCUAUUAGCAGGAACAUAUGGAUAUAUAGCUCCAGGUUUACCCUUAUGAUAUCUAUUCUUCUCACGAUCGAUCCUUUAUUUGGUUCAAUUUUAUUUUAUUUUGCUUUAUACUGCAGUCAUAUCCCAUAACAUCUCUCUUAAAUAGAUAGCCAGCUGGCUAGAGAAACUCACAAAUGAAAUUAUCUCUUUUAUUAGCGGGAAGCUACAUUCUAUGAUUACAUUUUUUUGUUUUGGGCAGAACUUGCCUACACCAUGGUUAUGACGGAGAAAUGUGAUGUUUAUAGCUUUGGAGUGGUGACACUUGAAGUAUUAAUGGGAAAGCAUCCAAGGGACCUUCUUUCGUCAUUAUCAUCAUCAUCUGAUCCAAAAAUCAUGUUGAUUGAUGUUUUAGACCAACGUCUUCCACCUCCAGUUGAUCGAAAGGUUAUUCGAGAUAUCCUUCUUGCUUCAACAAUUUCAUUUGCAUGCUUGCAAUCGAACCCAAAGUCUCGACCUACCAUCUGAUCCAAAAAUCAUGUUGAUUGAUGUUUUAGACCAACGUCUUCCACCUCCAGUUGAUCAAAAGGUUAUUCAAGAUAUCCUUCUUGCUUCAACAGUUUCAUUUCCAUGCUUGCAAUCAAACCCUAAGUCUCGACCUACAAUGCAAUAUGCGUCUCAAGAAUUUCUCAUCACUCGCAAGACUCCAUUGGUAAAGCAUGCUGCUAUUCAAGAUAUUUCCAUCUCAGAACUUAGAAACUAAUAAAGGAUGUAUUGAUUGAUCAAUAUGAUUGCUAAUCUUAAAUGUAUUUCGUUGAUAGUACUUUGUAAAACUUUGGUGAGGGUGAAUUUUGGUUUCAUGAAACCAAAACCUUUCUUGAAUAAAGAUGAAAAUAACUCUUCUAGAGUGAAAUUGGUGCUUCGAAUCUAAACUAAUACAUCCUUAAUUAUUGUUUCUGAGUGAAUUGCAUGUGCAAAUAAGGUCAAAAAGUUUUGCUAUUGUGCUUGGGAAAUCUUCUUUCAAAUGGACAAAUAAAUAAUCAUAACAAUAGCAAUAAUUAUUGUAACUCAUGAGUUCUGUUAACUAUAAAUCAAAGUGGGAAUAUUUCCAUAUUGUGGCAUGACAUGGGCUUUUCUUCCCAACCAAAAUUUAAAAAAUUUUAGAUUCUCUAUUUGACUAUUUAAUUGUGUAGACUCGUAUAUAAAGGGAGAUUGUCAAUUUUCUCCAUAUUGUAAUCAAUAUAUACCAUUUGUCUCUUUACUGUUUUUAUAAUAAUCAAUAAUCUCUUGACAACAUAACUUUAUAAUAUUACCCUUAUUUUCAAAUACACUUUUAUUCAUUGCUGUACGGCCAAGGCGGAUGUACGGUACAGCAGCUUAUGUAAUAUCUAUCCUUAAAAAAUUAAAAAAAAAAGAUAAAUUAUAUAGCCCGAAAAGACCUUGACUCCAAAAGUAGUCUCUACUUCAAUCUGUGGAAAAUUUUGAUACAAUUAAGUUCUAAAUUUUUCCACAAGAUAAUUGAUGUUGGUGGUACACGAUAAACACGUCUGCCUAGGUUUGUGGGAAAACUGGAAUAGAUUACAAAGACUGGAAUAAAUUAUAAUAAGGCUAAGCAAUAAGACCUGGUGCUCAAAUUCUAAAAGUAUUACAAAGACUUUUGGUACCUUCCUUAAAUUCACUUUAUACUUGAAUAGCCAUAUCUGUUCUUGAUAAAUUUAUGUUGUUAUGGAGGUUAUUAAUUAUUAUUAAAAAAAUAAAUAAUAUAUAUUGAUUACAGUAGGGGAAAAUUGACAAUCUCCCCCAAUAUAAAUGUAGACAAACUGUUAGCCUUACUUCACAGAAGUUUCAUUGCAUGUCGUUUCGCGGUGGUGCAUGAGAGUGAUCAAUUAAUUGGAAACGGCAAUGUUGAAGUUGAUAUGAUAAAAGUGAAAAUGAUUAGAUAUUCCACCAUGUCUAAAUUCAAGAAAUUGAAGCACAAAUCAAGUGAUCAAAUUCUCUCAUAUAAUUAAUUAUCAAUCACUUGGCCUGAAGGUCAUCAAGAAUCGGUUGACAAAUUAAAUUACAUUGUUCUUUCGUAAAUGGUAAAAAAAUAUAAUCUAAGACUUAGGUCAUAUUUGAUAUUAAGGUGUUAUAUCUUUUAAGUUAUAGUCGCUGUGAAACAAAACUGUAAUUAUGAAAAAAUUGAGAGUGUAUAAUCAAUAUAACUUUUAACUAAUAACUUUGACAAAAAUAAUAAAAAUAUUAUAGACUUCUCAUUAUACAAAUGUGAAAUCAAAUCAACUUAACUUCUAUACCACAACAGUCAAUACUUACCAAAUAACUUAUUGCUAUAACUUAGAAAACUAUAACUACCCAACAUUGAUGCCGAACAGGACCUCAGUUUGUAAAUAGUGUGUCAUUCUUUCCUUGCUUUAAAAUACUAGUAGUAUUAAGUCUUCAGCUUGAAAUCAAUCCAACGGUACAUAGUUUUUUCCAAGUUCCAUCAGCACCAAAUUUAUGCAUGAUCCACGUCUAAAAUGAAUACUGAAUGUCUGUGGAAUCAACCAAAAUUACCAACACAAGAGAAUGAUUUAACACCAUAAGUUUCCAAUGAUUCCACACCAGUAUUAAAAGAACAAUCCAAAGUACUCCAUAGUGUCAUCACUUUUUAUUCAUUGUCAAAUGCCAACUUGUAACAAGCUCCAUUAAGGUCUAUAGCAAAAUUUUGUAGAAGCACUUUUAUUUUUUUGGAGAGCACUGAUAUUUGAAAGAAAAAUUAAAUAAAUAUGACAAAAAAAAUCUAACUCCAUGUGCGUUUAAGAGUGUGUUUACUUACUAGAAUAAGAGUAAGAAGCAUGAAAUUCUCUCACUCUAGUGUUUACAUGCUUAUUUAAGGGUAAAAGUGGGAAUCCUACUUCAUGACUCUCACCCACUUUUGGAGUGUGGAGUGAGAUUACCACUCCAAUAUUCCCACUUUCACCUAUUCUUUUUUUACCAUUCCCUUUAAAUAUAACAUAAUUAUAUUUAUUAAAAUAAAAUAUUAAAUAAAAUAUAAUUGUAUUUAUUAAAAUAAAAUAAUGUUACAUUUAUUCAAAAAUAGUAAUAUCAUAUCUACUUACUGCUGUACUUGUCUAAUUUUAUCCAAUGUAUCGACAACUCUGAUUUCUUUUUAAAAUUUAAAUGAUCACAUUAUCCUUAUGAGGCUGAACUUUACCCAUUUUAGACUUUUAGUUGUCUAUUGUGUAACAUAACUAGAAAGAGCAUUUCAACUAUUUAAGUCUCUUAGAUCCUUUCCGAAUUUUUUUUUUCUACUAGUUACUUCUAUAAAAAUCUGCUGUACCGUACAUCCGCCUUGGCCGUACAGCAGUCUACUAUAUUAUUUAUAAUAAGGUUUCAUUUGUGUUGCUCUUAUAAAUAAUUUUUAUUUUACUUAAUUGAAAUUAAAAUUAAUACAAAAUUUGUGAUUUACAUAAUUGAGAAUGUUAAAAAUAAUUGCUAAGUCAUAUGAUUAAAAUUAAUAAUAAAAUAACUAGUUUAUUUUAGAAAUAUAUUUUUAUUCAAUUUUUAAUUAAGAACUACAAUUCUUUAUAUAAGGGUAAAACUGUAAUUAAAAAAAUUCAAUCCUAAUACAAAACAAAUUAAACACAUAAAUGAGAUUCUAAUUUUUAUUCCACAAUCUCAUUCCAGUGUAAGUAAAUAACCGACUCCCACUCCAACUCUACACUCACAAUCAUAAGAUUCUCACUCCUCAAGAUUCCAAUUUAAUCUAAAAAAUAAACGUUACCUAAAUACUUUGUUUACAAAAUUGUAAUAAUAUCAUAUGGGAUUACUAUCCAUUAUAUCACCCUAUGGUCUGCUUUCAUUUAUCAAUUAAUCUGAUGGGUUCGCCUCAAUCUGAGAUGUAGAAAUAUGGGCCUCGUCCUAGGUCCAAUUUGAGUUUAGAAUCGGGUUGAUCCAUUAAGGCCUGUUCCUGCCGAGCCCCAUAAAUUACAAAAAUUACAUAAAAUAUAACUAGAAAUCUUAAUAACACUUCUCAAACAAAGUGCAAACGUUAGGUAUAUAAAAAAGAAACGCAAAUGAAAUGAAGAAAGCAAAGGAAAAUGAAAGGAAACGAAAUGGUGAUUGAUGAGUGAUGAUUGAUGAUUGAUGAGCACAGCUGAUAACAUCUACUUAGCUUAGCGCAGUUGUUUUUGUCAUUGCUUGCACCCCGCCAUUGAACAAUCUCUUUCUUCCACUGUACAUAUUCCAAAUAUGCUCUCAAAUAACGUUUUAUUUAGUGUUAUUAAUUAAUUAAUUAAUUCAGUGGAGUCGACAAAAAACCAAAUCCAAUUUGUUAUUUUGAUUUGGUCAAUUAUUUUAAAACCCAAAACCCUAUAAAUAUUAUUCGCCAACCUCAAAUACCCACUACAGUUUUUGAGUUUUUGAAGGGAAAUAUAGGACAGCCUAGAGGAAGAAAAUGGUUUCUCAGGUUUUGGUAGCUCUUGGGCUUUCACUUGUGGGUGGAUUGAGUACUUCUAUUGGUGAGUUUUAUUGGAAAUUUAGAAACUUUUGGUUCAUUUUUUGGUUAAAUGUUUCUGGGUAUUUGCUACCUUUCUGUUUUAACUCUUUGGCGUUGCUAGUUUUUCUGCUUAAAUUCAUGAAGUUGACUUUUUAAGGUCUUGUGCUUAGAAGCGUCUGAUUGAAAUUUAAGGUCUUUUACUAAUGUGAUUGUGUUUGUUGACUGCUAAUUAUUGAUUGUUUUUAUGUUUUUGUGGUAUUGGGUAUUUGUUGAGUUUGUAUUUUACGUCAAAUUUAGUGGAUUCUGCUUGUUUAUAUGGAAUUUAGAGGGAGUGAAUGUGGUAGAGCUGAGCCGAGUUAAGCUGAGUUGUGAUGACUAGUUGAGAAUAAUGUGAUUAAAGAAUUGUGCAUUUCAGUUAAAUGGAAAUCUGAAUUUGGCCUUAAAAUUUUAACUUAUGAUUUGUUUAAAUGGAUUUUUGAUUAAAAGGACAAACCAUGGUUAUCAAAUUAGAUGGCUGGUUAUAUUCAUCGGAAUAGUAUUAAAAAGUCCUUGCUUUAUAAGAGUUUAUGGGUGAUGUCUAUGACUGACAAGAUAACUAGAAGUUAAUAGAUGAGGGAAUAAUUUGUCCUUUUUCUAUUUCUCUUCUUUAUGAUGGUAGUCAAGGGGACUGAGUGAUCUAUGGUAUGAUAUUCCUCUUCCCAGAUUCGUGUAGCUAGAAAAUGGCAUGAAUGAGAAGUUGAGAUAAGUCUUAGAAUAUAUCAUGCAUAAUGUUUGUAGAGAGUGAUUCCAAUGAGGUCUAGUUGAUAAUCUGGUUCUACAUGCUUGAUAUUGUUGCAGGUGCACUUUUUGUUGUUCUUAAUGAAGCUCCCAAUUUGAAGGUGCUUGGGCUUUUACAGGUAAUUUAUAAUGUUGUGUCUUCAUUUCUGUUGUAAAAAACUGAGUUUUUGUUUUUAAUUUUAUUUUUUUGUUUUGAGAAAGUGCAUGUCGCUUGUGUAGUGUUGAUGGAUUUUUUGAAGUAUAGUUUACUGGGGCAUGAGAUAAAAAGAUGAAUGAUAACACUCUGAUUAAUGACAUUGUCUAAAUCAUAGUUGGCUUAUGUGCAGGGUUUUGCUGCGGGUCUGAUGCUGAGCAUAUCGUUUCUAGAUUUGGCUCAUAAUGCCAUAAACUCCAUUGGCUUUUUGAAAGGGAACCUUUGGGUCGGCUGUGCUCCCUGUAUUUAUGUUUUUAUUGUUUAACUUUUAACUACACUGGCUUAUUCCUGUUGAUUCUAACAAUAAUUUUAACAUCUUGGCAAUGUAGUUUUUUUCUGGUGUUAUAUUCUUCGCAAUCGUUGCCAAUUUUAUCCCUGAACCAUCACUUGCUCAGGGUUCUGAUCUAACAAGUAAAAAGGUUUCAAAGUUCUAUCCUCCUAAUAAAUGAUUAUAUUCAUGAUGUUCUUGCAUAUGAGAUUGACUUUGGAGCUUCUGUAUUCUGCUGAUAUCUUUACAAGUAUAUUAACAGUUUUUUACAUUGUGCUUGAGAACAGAAAAACAAGGAUGAAGGGGGUAAGGACAUUAUGAAAAAGCAUCGUCGCCAAGUUCUUUUUAGUGGGAUUAUUACAGCCGUAGGUAUGACUACAUUGUCGUUAUGGUUGAGCUCUUCUAGUCUGAGAUUAUCCUUUCAGUAGGUUCAGUCAUUACUUGCGAUUUCUGUGCUAGAGUAAUGUAGGCAAACACCAAAGGUUGAAUCGAUGAUGCAGCCUAUUACUUGUCUAAUUAGUUGAUCAUUGACUGCACUUCCUCAAAAGUUUGCGAAGAGAACACUUAGUGUUUAUAGCUUCAUUAAGGGCUAAGAAGGGUUUUAUUUUAAUUUUUUCUUUAUUUUUAAUGGCAUCUAAGUUUGUGGAAACUGAGAGAACUGAUAGCAUAUUGUGGCGCAUUGGCUAUUUUAAAGAUUUGGGAAAUGCUGGAGGUGUCAAUAACAUUUGGCUAUUUGAGCUGUAAAAAGUGGUUUUUGUAGGGCUUAGGGUGGGUUCAAUGAUGAUAAGAAUCGAAGUUGAGGAGGAAAAAGGAAAAGAGAAUUGCAUUGCAGAAAUGGAAAUUCAUAUCUGCUUAAAAUUUAUAAUCUUAGUUUAUGCAUACAUUUGAAAGUUCCUGGGGAUUUUGGUUCCACAAUAAAUGGACUAAUAAAUUUGAAACUUAGAAGUAGAAACCUGAAUGUUGAACCAAGCUAAAAUUCACGCAUGAAAGCUCGAAAAGAAGUUAAGUUGUUAAUCAAAGAAGACACAUGAGAACAUAAACGCAAGCCAUACAGAAAACCUUGUAGAUCUUCAAACAUUGUACUAUUAAGAUUGAAGAGAUCAAAGGGAAAAGGAGAAAAAAAAAAGCAUUUACUGCUAGGAACAUGAAGAGUAAUGAUUAAUAGUAGCUAAUUUUGAUAAAAGUUCCUAGUAGAUCAAGGAACUAUUUUGUCAAUGUUUGCAAUUUUUAUUUACUUUUUAGGAAAAUUCAUUUGUCGAAGUUAGAUAAAACGAGACAAAACCCACUAUAGGCACUAUGUAGUUGAGCUGGUAGUUCUCUUUUAAUUUUACAAGAGGUCUUGGGUUCCAGUCCAAGAGAGAGGAGCGUAUUGAGUGAAUUUUCUACAAUGACAAAUUAAAUGCUAUUUUUCUUGGCCUGAUAAUGAUAGAUAAUCUCAAUUCACAAUAACCUUCACAACGCUUCAAUAUUUCUAUGCAUAAAAUUAGGAGAAACUCUUAUCAAUCAAUUGAUGUGUAAUAAUACAAUCUCCAAUUCUGGAUAAAUCGAGUACUUAUAUUGGGUUUCAACUGAUAAAUUUCUCUCUGGGUUGUAGGCAUAAGCUUGCACAAUUUUCCUGAGGGAAUGGCCGUAUUUCUUGGAUCAAUGAAGGUAGCCUUCACUGUUUAUAUUUUGGUAACAAUUUAUCAUGUUAAUGAUAGGUUAAUUCACUAUGCAGUCAUAUUAAUGAAUAGACUUGUGGCAGCCCAUUGCAGUGUUUAAGUUAACAUCAUAGUUGUAAUAAAUUACAUAGGAAACCAAAACAAACCAAUUUCAUUUUAUAUGGAUGAUCCUGCUUUGGCAUAGGCCAAUAUUGAAUAAUGACCUGUACUUUUAUUCUGUUAUUUCGCUUGACAUAACCAACUCAAUAUGCUAAACAGAAAUUCGGAAACUAUGUGCUCCAUGAGUUAUGAUACCCCUUUUGGCGUACCAUGUGGGACUGGAUAAGCUCAUAAGAUAGAAUAAUAUUUUAUCUUAUAUUUGGUGUAGGGUUGAGUAAACUGAUCUAAUUUUGAAAACCAUAAAAUGAAUAUGAUGAAAAAAGGAAAAUAAAAGAAAAAAAAAAUUUCGUUAAUGAAAUGUUCAUUAUACAUAAUGUUAUUGUCAUAUGAGUUUGAUUUGGUUGAAUGCUGAUAUUUCUUAUUUUAGUUGCAAGUUAACCUACUAAUGGGUCUACAAGCAUAAGGAAUUGAUGCCAUAUUGUUCAACUGAUACACAAAAUUCUAAAUGAAUAUUCCAUUAAUGGUAUUGGAUUAGUGAUAUGGUAUCACAAGAGCUUGUGCUGAUAAUUCCAGUUUGUUUGCCACUUGCUUCUCAUGUAGGGCCUUCGUGUUGGCCUUAAUUUGGCAGUUGCCAUUGCUUUGCACAACAUCCCUGAGGUAUAUAUUCUGAGAUCUCGUACUAUGGAAUUUUUAGUUUUCUUCGUUCAUUGCUUUACAAUAUGUCACAGGUUAUUCAACUACAUUACUUUCUACUGUAGCUGUAUUUACAUAUACUUGGCUGAAUCAUUAAUUAUAAAUGAUAAAAGUCAAGCCAAGUUUAAAAUCAUUGCUAUAUCUCUCUUUUUUUUUUUUUUUUUUUUUAUGUGAAUCAGUUUGGUCCAUGAAAGCAAAUAUCAUAAUAUUGGAGAAGAGAAUUUGCCAUCUUAAUUUCUUAUUAAAGUCAUGCCAGAUUGCUAGCUUUUCGUAGCUUCAUAAUCAACAUCAUUUCUUGUCUCUUUCUGGAUACUAAAUUAAUUGAAUUUGAUCACAUGUCAGAAAAUUAUUUACUAUGGUGACCAAGCUUUUUGAAAAUUAAAAAUUAUGAGAAAGUGAUAUUUCAGUAAAGGGAUACUAUUUAUUUUAAGGAAUACAAGUCAUCUAUUGAUAUAUUAAUGAUGUUGAGCAAUAAUGAAUAUCCUUUUAUGUUGGCAUUCAUUCUAGUUUUUCUUAUUCAGGGUGUUGCUGUUGCUCUUCCUGUUUAUUUUGCAACACAGAGGUAAGAAUCCCCAAGGCACUAUUUAGCACAGCAUUUUCAAAGCACUUAAUGGAACAAGAAUAAGAAAAUAAUAGGAGAAAGAUUUAUGCAUUUAUCACAUUUUCGACAUGAUUGAAUUUGAUUUUUAUUACUCUCUGCUCAAUAUGGGUUUUCUCAACCUGAUCUAAUUUUGGCAUUGGAAGGUCUACCCAACUUAACACACUUUUUUGGCUCUUGCUGAAUAUUAUUGCUUGUUCCAAGAUAAUCGGAAUACGUGCUUAAGAUGCUAGCUUGAACAAAACAACAUUUAAUCAUAGUUUUAUCAUGCAUUGUGUGUGUGCAUGCGUGUAUGCCCCAAUUACCUCCUAACUGUAAUUUUUUAAGUAUUGCUAGUUGUUAUUGUGAUACCAUGUGAUGCAAAUAAAAUUCAUUUAUAGGAUUACUAUUAACUUUUCAUUGUAUUUACAUGUCUUAGCAAGUGGCAGGCAUUCAAAUUGGCUACUCUUUCUGGUUUUGCGGAGCCUCUUGGAGUUAUAAUUGUGGGUAUGUUUACUAUCCUUGCGGAGCAGGUGAUAUCUGAUAAAAAGGGGAAAAAAUUAAUUUGUCCUAAUUUUUGGCUCUUUUGUCUUGUUAGUUUGUAAAGAGUAAAUGAGUAGUGGGGUGUCAUUAUUUACACAACUUGGCUAAAUAUUCUGCUUUGCUGGUAAAUGGUUGCGAGGUAGUUGUUACUCGAGUAGACUGUUAGACCAAUGAAAACUUAUGUUAGGCGCAAAUAUAAAGAGGCAGAGGCAGUUUAGUAAUUUUAAGGGCGGGGGCAAUUUUAUUAUUAAUUAGGGUUCAGGUAUAAAUAAGAGGUUAUGGAGUCAUUUAGGGUUUAUGUUGAAUUUUGUCUAGUAUUAGGAACCAUUAGGAGUUUUGGGAGAGAUUGACCUACCUCUCGAAUUGUAGGUGAGGAUUGAUUGUUUGUUUUCUUUUGAUUUAAUCAAUAAAAGUCAGCCCUAAUUUAGCCCUAAGUCCUAUCAUAGACAAGUGUUAGAAGGUGCAGUAAAAUACAUUAAGGAGCAGUUUAGCUUAUUAAUUAUGAUAAAUUUCUGACAAAGUCCUCUGUUGAAUAUUAUUGAUAACUUUUAUGAAUAUUAUAGAAAUGUUUAACUUCACAGAUAUAUGUAUGCCGCAAAGUGUCUAUUUCAAUACUGUAAUUUGUGAAAUAUUAGUACUUGUCAGUAGAAGUAUUAUAAUUAUGUGUUUUUUGUAAGAACAAGUUUUAACAGUAUAUAUGAUGUCUUUAUAUUGAAUCUUAGUCUCUUUGCUUGCAAGAAUUUGUUUUAACUGUUGAUGAAGUGUAUUUGAACUGCUUACAAUGGAUGCCUUUUCUUUUGUUUAUCAGCCUACUUAUUUCCAAGCAGUUUAAGUCCUGAAAUUCUCGAGGGUUUGCUAGGAUCAGGUUUGAUUUAUUGUCAAUUGUUUGACAUCUCUAGUUAAUAGAAAAUUAUGUUGAGUUACAACGACUUUCCCAGCAAUUCUAUUUUUAUGAUUGCAGUUGGGGGAGUGAUGGCCUUCCUAACUUUGCAUGAAAUGCUGCCGUUGGCCUUUGAUUAUGCGGGUCAGAAGCAAGCCGUGAAAGCUGUAUUCGUUGGGAUGGCUUUCAUGUCUGCAAGGUAAUUAAAUUUAUGACUAAGAAACUCUGUUUUGGUUGCUACAUCCGAAGCACUCUCUCUAGUUAGGAGGAUAAAUCAGGCUGCAGAAUCUUGCAGUUACAUGUCUACUUUGAUUACGGAAAAAUGUUAUAAGAAAAUAUCUUUGUUUUGCAAGUUUAUGAUUAUAUAUAUGAGCACAAAGUCAUCAGACUAGGCCAAUUAUUUUGGCAAGAGAACGCUUGAUAUCCAUUGCUGAGUCAAUGUCUUGGCUCAAUCCUAUCUUCCCACCUGUAGAGGGAGGAGGAAAAAGAUGGCAUUUGCCUUUGCAUUUGUUUGGGCAUUAGCUUGGAUUAUGGUUUAUUCACCUUCAGCCAAGCUUGUUAAGUUGGUGCGGUCAAUUCGGCUGAUACACGAGGUCUAAUGAUCAGUUUCACUCUCACCAAAUGAGUAAACAAAGAACAAUGAUAGAACUUCUUUAUUUGUUAGAGAGAAUGCAAAGUAGUCAUCUUCCAAUUGACAUGAAUAAUAAGCACACAAGUAUUUCAGACUGUCCUCACUUGAGUUGUAUUCUGCUGUAAAAGCCCUUAUAAUACAGACCAAGUCUUCAUCAGUUUGCUUAAAUUUUUUCUUUGUAAGGAUAUUCUUACAUGAAUCAUUUCUGCUUUUGCAGCUUAUAUUUUCUUGAAAUCAGCUUGCCGGCAGAGAUGAGCUUGUAGCUGCCACAUGUCAUGACAUUUGUACAUUCCUGAACUGCCUCGAUGGUUUCUAUCAUAAGGUUGCUGCCUGCCUUACUGUUCUUUAGCCAAAAAGCCAACCUGUGGAGCUGCUAUGAAAAAUAGUAAUUCUUAUGAUUCAACUCAAAAUUGUACGCUCAAAUGGAAAAUGUAUGUGACAAGAAAAAGACCCCAAAGGCUUGUGUAUUUUUUAUUAUUGUCUUUCCUCCCUAAGCUUCUUCGAUAUUACGCUGAUCGAUCCAUUUAUUUUCUUGCCUUUGAUUUUACUUUUUAUCUUUUUAAAGGUUCAGCCGGAGAUGAGAGUCCUCACCCAUUAAAUACCAAUAUUUAUCCUCGGUUAUUACUCGAACUCGAAUGAUAAUUUGUGUGCAAAGCGCAGUGUUGAGCUCCCCUAACGGGCAAGCCAUUGAUUUUACUUUAUUUGCUGAUUCAAAAUGGUUCCGUUGAAUUUUCACACUCAUCUCUUGUUCAAAUCUAGCCCACUGACUUCAAAUGAUUUUGGUCAGGGCUUCCCCCAGCUUGGGUGAUAAAGUUUUUGGGUGUGCAUUCAGGUUCUGCAGAAGACAAAACGGAACCACUCAUUUCGGCUUUUCAUUCUGUUUUUAUGAGUUACUGCUACUGCAACAGUUUUAUGACAUUUAAUUUGUUGUCUUCCUAAAGAACAAGAUCUCUUAAGUACAUAUUCCUUCAAACCUUUCAUUUUCCUACAAGCUCCUCAGAAACUUCACACAUAAUGCCUAAUAAUAUUCUAAACGCAAUGCCCCGACUUGAUCAUUCCGUAUAAAGAGGUGGGUUGGGUGACAAUAACCAGUACAAGAUUAAUUGAAUAUUUUGUUGUCAAUUGUCAUACACACUUAUGUGGGUCCUCAGAUUAAGAGAUACUCUUAAGUCUUAAUCAACUCAAUAUUAUUCGGCCUUUAUUAAAGAUAUUGGAGGUGGCUUUUUCUCAUUAGGAAGUAAACGAUGUCCAUUUAUAUGUAUAUGUUCAUCCAAUUGAGGAUAGAGCUGCAGCACAACUAUUGUCAAAUAAAACGUUCAUCUACUCUUCUCUAUUGCAAAUUCUAAAUUCCUGGUUAGAGCCUCAAGUCACAAUCCUCAAAUUUUGGGAAAUUUACGCAACUAACUAUAAAAUUUUAUGCCGUUUCCAUUUUAACCCCACAAACUAAUUUCUAUCAACAUUAGCAAAAAAAGAACGUUUUAGACCAAAAUGCCCCUCUCACAUCUCUCCCCCAACAAUCUUUCUUUCACGUAAUCUCUCCCAAAGCCAAGAAACACCCAUAGUCGGCGGCAACUUCAACCCUCGUCGGCGGCGGCUCCACCCAUCAUCGGCGUCAGAUCUACCUUCUACGGCCUUCAACAAAACCUAGGUUAGUCAUUUUAUUUAUAUUUCAUUAAUUUAAAAUGAAAUUUUAAAAUAAUAGUGGUGGUGGUGCUUGUAGUGGGGGUUGUUAUUUUGGGAGUGUGUUAUUUUGGGCGUGAUUUGUCAUUUUGUUGUUUUGGGGAGAAUGGUGCUUGCGGGAAGUGCUGCCCAGCGACGGGCGCUAGAGCGUGCGUCGCUGGGCAGCAACAUGCGCGCUCGAGCUGACAGCAAGGUGCGCGCUCGCUCGCGCGCGCGCCUGUCGCACUAAGUUUGGUGCGACAGGCAGUACAGUUUUAUUUUUUGUUUUACCAAAAAUUAAUUUCCUUGUUAUUGUAUUAUAAAUGCAAUCUAAUAAUGUUAAAAAUAUUAUAGAUACAUGGCAAAAUUAGAAGUGUCAAGAAACGAAUUAGGCAAGAUGAUAUUUGCUUAUGUCGAUCACUUCCCGGGGCGAAUUUCGAGUAUGUGUAACUUAUCUCCGGUCGAAAAGUCAUCGAGCGAAAAUUAACAAAACGGCAACCGCAUCUAUUCAAAAAAGACAUAUUUGGGCAUUUUUUGGAGUGCCAAAGUUUUCCGUUUAGUGAUGUAAUUUUGCACAAUACUUUGCUUAGGCAAGUGGCUCAUGGAGAAUACGAGCGAGAUGAUCAAUCAUGGUUUCAAAUUGGUGAGCAUUUGAUACGCUUGUCAAUUGGAGAAUGGUGCCUAGUUAUUUGACUUUCCUAUGGCGCAGAUACCACACUGGGAAAUAAUAAAUCGGGCCAUAGGUUACUGAAAACGUAUUUUGGUGCUGAUUUAUUUUGCAACAUCACUGUUAAGCAAUUCGAUGUAUUAUUUGAGAAGUUGAAUUUUUAGGCUAUGGACGACAUUGACACAUUAAAGAUCACGCUCUUUUAUUUUGUGGAUAGAGUUUUAAAUGGAAGAAAGGGCCACUGUCAAAUCAAUUUCGAUUGGCUGAACGAAGUUGAUGAUAUAAAUUACUUCUGAAAUCGUCCAUGGGGUUGUUUAUCAUAGGAAACGAUAUACGAGAGUCUUGACAAUGCACUGUAUGAGAAAGACGAAAAAUUUAAGACGACUUAGUUGGAAAAUCCAUAUCAUAAGAUAGAAAAGUACAAUCUAUACAGCUUUACGUCUAUGGUUUAGGUGCGUUGUUUUUUUUAGUAAUAAGUUCUGUAACAUUAAAUAUUUAAUGAUAGUUUUAAUAGCUUUUUCACUUUGGUUGUUACAGGCUUGGAUUUACGAAGCGAUUGGAGGUUUGUCGUCAGCAUGGGUCGUGAAAACGAAGAAGAAGAUUCCCCGCAUCGUGCAAUUGAUGCCCAUGGCUUCUUUGAAAAUCAACUUUGCUGAGGUUUAUUCAUUCUUCAAUGACGACCAGCUUACGGUUAUGUCUAUCUCAUUCGACUCGACGCAAUGAGAUUCUUACAUCGCUUACGGUUAUGUCUCGGCUCAUUACAUUACCCACAUCUAACAGUCCGCCGGUUAAUGUCCUCACCAGCCGAGGGUAUUAUGAGCUCUUUACGACGACCAGGUGGUGGUGCCUCAACUGGUGGAUAUACGUGCAUCUCUUGAAUUUCGUUUGGAACUUCCGAAUCAUCCACGUCGCCAACCAGCUCCACUGGUUGUGCAUAAACUAUCGCCAAUGAUUCUAUGGUGUAAAAGUCCGAACAAAUGUUAAUGAAAUCCACUCGGACAAUUAGACACGCCGCAAUUGCAUGAGCGCAUACAAGUUGAUCAAGCUGAAAUACUCUGCAGGAGCAAGUUUUCUUUUGUAGGUCAAGUAAAUAUUCCUUAAUCUUAUCACCUACAACUUGAAAUCGAUGCGAAGACACCGGCCGAACGAUCAUUCUUUCAGCUAUAGUUUUUCUCUCAGUGACAAUUUCAUCCGCCCAUGUUGUUAGCUGAAUACUCAUUAAUUUAACUAUAAUUUUUCUAUCAUAAAACCAUUACGGUAAUAUUUUCCUAAAAUAAUCAACAAGAUGAGUAACAUGAAAUCUUCGCGAAUCCCUCAUGAAAGAAUUAACACUCUCCGCGAUAUUGGUGGUAAGUAUGUUGUACCUCCUACCUUCAAACUGAGACCUUGCCCAUUUACACGUACCCACAUUAUUUUCUAAAUAAUCAGCCGCACCCGAGUGGAUCAUCCACAACCCUUCAAGUCGUCUUUUAAAUUUCUCGUGUCCAUAUGUUUUUGCUGCAUUAAUAAAGGCAUGCUCAAAUUCAUCCCAAAAAGCUUUGGACAUCUUAAAUUUUGACUUAAUGUUACCUUUCACAUGGUAAAAACAAACGACAUGAGUUGCAUUGUGAAAUACUUUCAGAACGGCUCUCCUUAUGACAGUGCAUCGAUCAAAGAUAAUUACCAACUCAGGUCUAUCGUCAAUCACUCAGUGUAACUUCAUCAUAAACCAUUCCCAAGCAUCAUUAUUUUCUGAAUCCAUGACCCUAAUGGCUAACGGAUACAAUUGAUUAUUACCAUUUAGACAUGUUGCUACGAACAUGCUUCCACAAUAUAGCCCCUUUAGAUGAGUACUAUCUACAGUAAUGACAGGCCGAAUGUACUGCAUAAAACCCUUGAUGAAAGAUCCAAGUGCUACAAAGUAGUACAAGAAAUUACCAUCUCCAUCCCGCUCGAGGUGAGUGACUGUACCCUCAUUCGCUUUAGUCAGUACGUGAGAGUAUUUAGGGAGCAAGUUGUAUGACUCUGCAGGGUUGCCUCAAAUUAUUUCAAGAUCAACUUCUCUGACCCAAUAUGCCUGCUAGUAUGUUAACUGAACAUCGUAUUCCUGCUGCAUAACUACUCUGAUGUUAUUCAGAGUAUAAAUCCUCUUUUUUUGAAUAUAUUUAUAUGUGAUAAUAUGACCGACAACUCGGCUUCUUACUUGAUGACGACCAUCAACCAAUACCUCGUUAUGAUAAGUGUGUACAUUGUCAAUUCUACUAAUCACCCAAGGCACAUUUUGCUCGUUCGAACUUCUCAUUACUCAAAUACGCCAUUUACAUGAUUCCGAACAACAGUGAGCCUCGAAACGUGUCGUUGUAAACCGUGCAAUCUUGAAAUCAAACUUAUCCCUAAAGGCAACCUUGCGCAGUUGUAAUAUUAACUCAUUCUUCUCAGCAAAUAACUUACCCACACUGAUAUCAUUUGAGUCAUAACUACUAAGAAAGCUUGGAGCAACCAUGUUUGAAGGCAAAAUUGGAGCAAGACUUAUGAGGGAGUCAAUCCUCCUUCUCGAUCGAAUCAUUGGAGGAAUAGAUCUAUUGUCUCUGUUAUUCACAGGAAUAUUGUCUUCACACUCAUCCUCAUGCUGAAACGACAGAAUAUUGGAAGGACCGGCUUCUCCAUCAUCACCAGCAUUAUUGAAAUGAGUGCCCCUCAUGCUAUUAGAAGGUUCUGCAUAAACAUUAUCCCCAUCUGUCUCAUCAUGAAGAUCAUCAUUGUCCCGAAAAUUAUUAUUGUGAUACGGAGAAUAUCAUUGCUCCAACGACGUCGUUAGUGGUAAUACAUUUUCUCUAACAUCCUCUAACGUAAUGUCAUUGUCAUUAAUGUUGUCAUAAUUAUCGCGGAUUGGAGAGUAAUAUUACUGCAGCAAUAUUUUCCUUAGCAACACCUCUUCUUCAUUAUCGAGGCUAGACAUAUUUGCUCUAAAGGAAGUUUCUGUUUCGAUAUGUGGCUCAAUAUCUUCGCUCGGAACUCGAGGUGAUGUGGUAACGAGUAUAGGAAUGCAUCCAUAGUUGGCCACAUUGGAUGCCAUAUGCAACACAACCCUCAUCAUUUCAUCAUCAAAUAUAUCUAUGGGCAGUAUACAUAUAUAAUAUAAUGUGUUACUAGACCUCAAAGUUGUCUUCAUUGUGAUACUAUAUUCAUUAGGAUUUAUUUGUAACACCUCGUAUACUCUUGCCAAAAAUUGAUAAAAAAGACAAUUUUUUUCCAACCAAAAAAGCUCUAUUUUUACCAUUCACAUACUCCAUACGGCCAUCCUCUAACGUCUCCCACCAACCAUCAUAACACAAUUCAAGCACAACUGAAUCCAUUAACCCUGAAAUUAUAUAAAAAAAAUUAAUUGCACACUAUCAAAUUAACAAAGAGUCAGUUGCAAUGAAUAUGCCUUUUGGUGCGACAGGCUGCUUGUCGCACCAAAAGGCAGAGUCGGUGAAUCUGUCUCUUGGUGCGAUAGGCUAGCUUCGUGCGACAGGGUGCCUAUUGCACAAAAAAGGCAGAUUGUCCACGAAGCCUGUCACAAGAAAUUUGUGCGACAGGUGCAUGUCGCACCAAGCAAUCGCACUGAAACUCUCUCGUAAGUUCAGAAAAUAACUCAUACCACUCAGUGAUGUGGAUUAGUGUUGGAUUCGGAUGGAUUAUGAUCGGAUUUCACUUUUACCGUUCGCCGCCAGCGUCUGCUGUUGCCUUUUGUCGUCGUCGGUGAUGAUUCAAGAGUGCAAAGCUGCGUUUGGUUUAAUAAAAGAAGAGAAAGAAAGUUGUUUUGAUUUGUAAACAAGGAUAAUUUAGGGAGAAAAACUUGUGUUUGGCUAAUGUUGAUAGAAAAACGUUUAGAGGGUUAAUUGUAAAAAUAACAAAAAUUUAGAGAAUUAAUUAUAAAAAUAAUAAAAGUUUUAUGGUUAUUUUUAUAAAUUUCCCUCAAAUUUUCGUGUAGUAUAUAUCGUAUAUCAUUCCAAAUGCACUAGUACCACUAUAAAGAAAAAAUUUGGACGUGCAAUGAAGAAUUUCUCUUCAAUUAAAAAGUAUUGUCUUAAUUAAUUUUCUGUAGAGAGUGCAAAUAUGAACGAGUGAUAUGGGGAAAUAAAAAUCUUAUCAAAAGAUCCAUUCAUGGGACUAAAGCUGUCUAGUCCUAUCUUUCGUUAUUACACAGAAAUAGGGAGCUUUUGAUUAGAUUUGUGAAAGUUGACGUGAAAGAAAGGGGAAUGAAUCAAGUGAUACAGCUAGAGGGAGACAAAAGAGACCCGUAUUUUCUUAAAGCAAAAGAGAAGAAAAGUUAUUUCAUCAACCAAUGAGGAAAUUAAUAAGAAAUAAAAACAAGGCCUCUUUCAAAUUCUCUAUUGGAAAGAGAAGAUCAAACUUGUUAGUUGUUAGAUGUACGCAUGGACUGAUUGAAGGAACAUAUAUUUGAUAAUUUGAAAGCUUGAAUGCGUACAUGCAUGAUGUCCUUAUUGCAAGAAAAAAAAUAAUAAUAAUAUAAAUGUACUUAACAAUAUAGUAUUCCGACAAUAAAUUUGUUUCUUUCAAGAAUUUACAUGGUUUAAUUUUUUUUUUUUAGAAGAAAGUAAACCUUUCCAAUUAAAACAACACUAAACCAGAACAUUCAUCACCUCUGCUGGAAUAUAAUCUAUCCAGACAGCAGACAUAUUUGCUCCCACAACAAAUUUUGCUAGGGAAUGAGCACAAACAUUACAGGUUCUAGGGAUAUGAUUGACAGUUACAUUACAUGGUUUAAUUAGCUUAAGGAAUAUGUGUUUUCUACUUUAUUAUAUCUUUAUUUUGUUUUUUUUUUCAAAAAUUAAAUAUGGCUUUUUAUAUAUCUUCACUUUAAAUAAAGGUGAUUCGUGGGUCAAGAUUAGUGUUACCUUUUGUCGCUUCUCUUGGUUAUAGCAAUCACUGGAGCAAAUUAAUUAAAGUUACUUUCGUCACUCCGAAAAUACAAACAGCCUUAUAUUUUUCAGUAGGUAGAUCUUUUCAUGGAUUUAGAUACAAGGAUUUUGCUCGUCCAAGACAUCGUUCUGCUUGUAGAUUUUGAAGUUUCUAAGCUUCAAAUUUGACGAGAAAUACCAAGUAUAAAUCGGUUCUUAUAGAAGAUCUAGAACUCCCAUUAGUUGUUAAGAGGAGAUUCUUAAAAAGAAUGUUAUUAAGGACUAUUCCAGGCGGUGCCCUGAUAUAUUAUUUGCCUAGUUAGUGGGGAUAUCCGUUAUUUAUAUCUAGUGCUCUAGUUUCGAUCCUCCCAAUUUAACAGUAAUCAAUUAAUAGUUCAGUCAAUUUGUUUAUCAUAAUAGAUGAUGUGUAUAUGUAUUGAUAUAAAUAUAUAUAAUAAACCUCUUUAUACUGUUAUCUUUUAUGAUAGAAUGUAAUUUUUAUUUACUUUAGGGUGCAUUUGAUAACUUGUAUUAUAUUAUAUUAUAUUGCAUUAAAAUAUUAUUUCUUAUGUAAACCCAUCUUUGGCCAUAACUUUUAAUUGCAUUGCACUGCAUUAAAAAGGUGGUUAGAAUAAUGAAAGGAACAAAAUCAUGGCGAGUAGGGUUUAUGCUGGCUGUAUUGUGUUAAUACUAUUCAUAUUUUAAACGUAAUCUUUUACUUUCUUUACUCAAUAAUUUAUAAUAAAUAUAAAUUUUGUUAAAAAUUAAUUUAUAUUUAUAGUCAAAUAAAAUUUAAUUUAAAUAAAAACAUAAAAUAGUAAUAAACCUAAAUAUUUAAUAAAUAAAUAAAUGAUAAUGCAUUAUUUUUACUUUUAUUAAUAAAAUCACUUUAAUUAUUUUACUUUAAAUAUGUAAAAAGUAUUUUAAUUAUUGAAACAUUUAUUAUUUACCAAAAUAUUAAAUUUAAAAAUAAAUUUAAAUUAAAUAACUGCUGUCAAAAUUUAUCAAUAAAAAAUUAAUUUAUAAUUAAACUGAAAAUUUAAUAUAACUGCUGUACCGUACAUCCGCCUUGGCCGUACAGCAGAAAAUAAAAUAGAUUAAAAAAUAAGUGUUCGUAGGGUUUUUUUUUUGAUAAUAUAAUGUAAUUUAUAUUAUAUAAUUAUAUCAUAUUGUAAUUCAAUAUAAUAUUAAAUUAUAAACUUCAUUUAUAUAAUGAUAACUAAUUUAUAAAAAUAAAUUAUAUUAUGGUAUAACAUUGUAAUAAUAUACUAUAGUAUUUUAUUAAUUGAUAAUAUUAUAUUUUUAAUUUAUUUUUAAUUUUUAGUGUUAUUAAAAUUCCUAUAUAAAAAUAAUUGUUCAGUAAUUAAUUUAGAAAAUUGAUAUUAUAACACAAAAAUAUUAAUAAAAUUAACAAUACUAAUUUAAUUUUAAUAUCAAUAAAAAAUAAUGUCACUAAAUAAUCUUAUAUAUAAUAGAAUCCAUACUACAUAAGAUAUUGUACUGCAUUAGAGCUUAUUACAAUAUAUCCUAAUAUAAUACAUCAUAAUACAAUAACAGUUAAUAUAAUAUAAUACAACACGGGAUGCUAAAUGUACUCUUAUCAAAAUAAAAUUACAAUACCAUCCACUAAACCAAACGUGGUAUAGGGUCAUUUGAAAACCAUACAGUAAUACAAUAUCCAUCCUGUGUACUACAGUUAAGUGGCAGGCUUAAACUUUUAAAGGUCAUGAGUAUCAAAGAAGAUGAUGAUAUGAUGAUGAUGAUGAAUUGGUGUGACAAUUCACUACUGUGCUGUGAAAAAGAAAACGGAGAGCAAGAAAAGAAUCACCUAUACAUAAAUUUAACUGUAGAUCUUUUUGUACACAGAAACACACCAAUAACUAUCAAAGCACUGCCAAAACUUACCUCUCUAUAAAGUGGACCUGCAUGAACAGCAACAGCUCCGAGAUAAUUAGAUAAAGACAUGAAAACGUGGAGCCCCAGCUGUGGGGCUCUGUUGGCUGGGGCUCUUUCCGAAGCAACGUAACAGUACAUGCACAUACUCUGAGUUAUAUUGUAGCUUGAGAUGACACUUCGAUGGCUUCUUUUACUUUCCUUGAGUCUUUUCUCUCUCUCUAGUCACACCAAUUCUCUCUCAGAAAAAGCUGUCGCCAAGAUCCAUUCCUUUCCAAAUUUUUUUUUUAACAUUUUCCUGCGAGAGUUUAAGUGCUAUAAUAAAGUGGGGGUUAAUGACAUUAGGAUCUCGGAAUUUUUUUAAUUGUAUAAAUUGCUGUAUAGGUUAUAGAUUUUAACAAAUAGGUCCACAACGAGUCACUGUUGCAAACUUGCAUUUUGACUAUCAAUUUGAAAAAAGAAAAAAAAAACAAUAUAGUGGCAUAGUUUCUCAACUCCCUCCCCUUCUAUGAGGCAAUGUAGUUAAUUUUUCUCAUGAAUAAGUAGAAGGUGUUUUUCUAAAAUGCUAUACAAAGCAUCUCAUCAUAAAUACUAGAUAAAAUCUUUAUUUUUUCUUGUAAAGAGCAUUCUAGAUAUUUUAACAGUAAUUACUAAUUAUCAAUAGGCCUUUGGUCCAGUAGGAGAACCCUUACACUUAGAAUAAUAAGUGCAAGGGUUCGAGCCUCUAUAAAAGUAUUUAUAGGGCUUAUUUACAAUCCUUCCUCAAUUAUCCAAUAAUUGAAUGAAACCAAUAUAUUCCUCACGAAAUGUGAGUAGAGUGGACAACCCUUGAAUAUUUGAGAGGGUUUGAAGAAUUUGAGCAGCGCUUCAGAGGAGUACAUGCCACGAAGAAGGUCUCAAUUAUAGAAUCUGUUUGUAAAUAUUAAUUGUAAUACCUACAGUCCUGUAUAACAGUACUAAAAAAAACAAUAAUUACUAAUUGAGGACCUAUUUGUUAUAAAUUGAAAGCUAUGUCUUUAUUUGAAAAUUACUAGCAACUGAUUGAUCCAAAUUAUUUAUUUGAAAUAUGCCAAGCUAGAUAUCUUCCACAAAGAGAGAAAGAGGGAGAGGCUAAUCAUUUGAUUUUAUUUGAUUUUUUUUUUCUCAUAAACAUAGUAUAUGUUCUGUCCAUAGUAUAUGUUCUGUCCAUCAACUGAAAACACACUCCCUACCACACGGUAAGAGGGGAAAGAAUGGCAUUAAGUGCAAUACGUACAAAAAGGCCAAAGCCGAAGCAUUAAAUUUACAGGUUGAAAAAUCAUCUAAAACUGAAAUCUGUUAGCCAGCUCCUCAAAGUGAAAAUGCUCACCUAUAUCUCAUUACUUAUUGUCUUUAAUUUUAUUCAUCCAAGAGGAUCCAAGCUAGCUAGCUAGGCAGCCUAUAUGCUACCUAGUAAAUGCUAAAUGCUAAAUGCUAAAUGCUAAAUUGCUAAUAGCAUACCAACCCUUCAAUUGUCCAUUUGCUUUGGACCUUACAAAAGGUUUUUAUCUGCUGAUGAUCAUGACAAGAAGUUGACAAUACCCAAAUGGAUAGUAAAUGCCCUUGCAUUAACUAUUACCUCUAGCUAAUUCAAAGCGGUAGUGCUGACCUUUCUCUUCCAGUUCGUCAGGAGGUAGCAUUCUCUUACAAACAUCUUUCAAGUUGUUACCUCCUACUUGUACAGCAUUUAAAGAAGGGGUGUGUCUGUAAUACAGCCAUAUAUCACAUCUGAGAAAAAAAAAUGUUAUAAUAAAAGUAGAUGAUAUAAAUUACUUGAUAAUAAUUAUCUUGAACAUUUACGAGUUUCUGGGUUCGUCAUAUCCCUUUUGCCUAAAAAAUUAACUCUCUCAACUAUGGAUGUCUGUAAUUUAAGAAAAUAUGGGCGAACAACUCUUCAUAAAAGAAAAAACUUUCUAACUUCUUACAUAGAGAAUUAGAAUAUGAAUGCAUUGAAAUUGAUCAUGAUUACCUAUAUCAAUUCUUUAAAUAGAGGGUGCAUUUUGAGAAAGUGCAAACUAACGUAUCACACAUGAGAAAUAGGGUGCAUUUUGAGAAAGUGCAAACUAACAUAUCACACAUGAGAAAUGUUCACUUACAUAAAAUUAGAGAGAAAGAUUGAGUGCACAUAAUAUUAGAAGAUAUGGAGUGUAAUUGACAUUGAUCUAUUAAAGUUUUAAAAAUAAUAAAAGACAUCUAAAGUACAACAGAAAGCAAAAGGGGAAGAGGAAGGGGCCGGAUAUAGAUCAUAGAAAGCAAGAAGAAACACAAAAACAAAAAAGAAAAGAAAAGAACUACAAAUGGCUCUCAAAAUACUUUUUUUGCUUAGUAUAAGUUUUACUUCUAGAGCCAUGAAGAGUACUGAAACUCAGUGUUAACAAAAGGAUCUAGAGAAAGGCCUUAUUUUAAUCUAUGUCCCGAGAUGAUUCAUUAUUAUCUUGCUCAAUUUCAGAGGCUGGCUCGUCAUCUUCAAAAGUAUCUAUGCCACAAGAUGCAUGGCCAUUCCCAAAUGCCUUGAUAUGAUCUUUGAGUGACCUUUUGUGCUUGAAAUCAGAGCCACAAGUGCAAUACCAAAGCUUGCCGCAAUUCUUCUCAUGGGUUCUCCAGUCGCCUCUUACAGCAAAGGCCUUGCUACAUUUUCUGCACAUGAAAGGCUUGAUUCCAUGCUUUCUCUUGUAAUGAGUUUGUAGGGUUCUAAAAUCUUUGAGAGGCUUUGAUCUUGGAUGGUCAAUGUUGUUUCUGCAACCUGGAGCACAGCAAUAACAUGGAAGCCUAAGCAUUGCUGUUGGUUGUGAUCCCCUUAAAGAUUCUGGCCCUUUUCUGUAUUGAGAUCCAUGCCCCCACAUAUGCAUCUACAUGUAUUCAUAAAUUUAAGCGAUAUUACCCAUUAUUAGGGUUAGAAAAAACCCAAAAAAAAAAAACAAAGAUUAAAUCUAGUGUAGGCAAAAGGAAAAGUACGCAAAAAAUAAUGAUAAUAAUUACCCAUUAAUUAAUAAUACACAGAAUCGAGUUUAAGGACCUUCACAAGUUAAAGAAAGAAAAAGCAAACAAAUGUAUCGAUUGAAUUAACCAAGGAAUUAUGGUAUAUGGGUUGGGGUCUAUGCAUUGUCUCAAAAUAAGAGGUAUAUUUGAGACUUAUCUAAAUUUAAAAAAAAAAAAACAUUUGGACCAUUUGUGGAUUAAGGGUGCCUUUAAAGAGAAAAACACAGCAGAAAUUAGGGGUUUUAUGUGCAUAUAUAUUGCAUGAACAUUUUAGUAACGGCUCUUCUAACAAGUUUCCUUAAUUAUAAUUAAUAGCAUUAGAAAUUUUGUUGGCCUUUUCCAUGUGAAUAUAAACAAUUUUGUAAGCCUAGAAGAGAAAGGGUGUAUCGAUAAUCGUUCUUUGCCCUUUAAUUUGCAUGCAUUUUCUCUUCACACAAAAACAAAUGGAAAACAAACAGACAUGUGUUAUUUAACUUCACAAACUAAAAGUUUCAAAAAAUUUGUUUCUAUUUAUUGAACAUAAAUCUAUAAACAAUUUUUUUAUGGAGCCAGGGAAAAUUGGGUGGUUUCAUCCUUGUUCAUCAGAAGAGCAUUAAUUGAUGAACAGAACUCCGAUACACUCAGUUUUCAAGCCUGACAAUACAAAAACACAAACUUCAAGGUAAUACAAGAACCUAUUGGCUGAGUAGUUCAAUCACAUAAACAGAGAGACUGACUGAUCUUAUUCUCCGUUUGGACCAUGUUGAUUUAUUUUUAUUUUUCAAAUCCCAAGACCCAAAAUCAUGCAAAAGAAAAGGGUGCAUAGGCUUUGAAUUUUUUUUAAUAAAAAAAGGAGAAAUGGAAUUAAAGUCCAAUAAAGGAAAAGGGGAAACCCUAAGGUCCCAUAUACUCCUCAUUUUCAAAUCAGUCCAGCUUGUAGUAAAAGUGAAAGAUUGAAAUCAAGCUAGAAAAUUAAUAAAGGAUAUAUAGGAAUGAGAUUAAUUUUUUCGUUUUUGCAAAAAUCAAAAAGGGAGAAAAAAAAAGAAAAAAAGAGAAAGGGAUAGAUGGAGUUAUCUAAAGGAACCCUUUAUAGAUCAAAGGAGGUAUUAUAUCAAGUAAUUAAUUAAAUUACCUGCAUGUUGUUGUAUCUGUUGAAGGUUUUGAAGCAAAGAGGACAUGAAAAUUGUGUAGGACCAAUCAAUAUUUGAGCUGGUGUAGGGAUCCAAUAUUGGCCUUUGUUGAGGCUGCAGCCACCACCACGACCAGAAGCAAUAGUUACUACUUCUUCUUUAUUAUUGUUAUCAUUAUUAUAAUCUGAGAUCAAAUCAGCAGAACUUGAUUCGGCGAGCCCCAAAUGAAGAGACACUGUCAGAGAAGCGCUUUCAUGAUGAUCAUCACAAUAAGCAGCAGAGCUUUCUUCGGUGUCCAUGACACUGCAUGAGGAUUCAUCAGCUUUUACUAUUCCGUCAUGCCUUGCUGGGCUCAAACUGAGGAGGGGAAGUGCUUCUUUGAGAGGGGGAGAUGGAGGUGAUGAAUAUUGAUGGUAGUGAGUGCAAAAAUUGUUAUUGUUAUUGUUACUUGAGUAGAUAUUGAAGGCAAAAGGUGUAUAGUAAUUAGAAGAAGAAUUAUUAGAAGAAGAUGAAUGUUGAAGAGCGGCAAAGUUUAACCAUCCAUUGAAGUAAUUUGAGUAGGGAUCAGCCAUGAUUGAUGGAAAGGAAAGAGAGAAGAGAAAGUUUUGGUAGAUGGGGUAAGUUAUAACAUAUUUGGGGAGAGAGAAAGAGCGUGUGAAGGGUGAAAGUGAGAAAAGAAAAUUUUAAACAAGAUCAAGGGUUGAUAAAGUAGAGAUCCAAUAUUGAGUAAAAAAGGAGGGACAAGAUGUAUGUAUAUCACUUAUGAAAUGUGACUAAACGAUAGAGGGAAAAAAAUAAAAAUAUUAUGCUAAAGCAAAGGAAGAGAAGAUGAUAAUAAUCUUAUCGGGACUUGAAAAAACAAGUUAUUUAUUGAAUAGUGUGUGUGAAAAGAUUGAUAACAUCAAUAUAUGAAAACUAAAUAUUAUAAAAAAAAAAUUAGGGCAAAGACAAAGCUUGUAAUUAGGGCUUUGGGGAUUUGUCUGUUACAAGAUGAAUCCCAUUAUCCAGCAGGACAAGACUAGAACAAGUGCAAUAUUACAUAGAGGGGAGCAAAGGGUAUGUGUUGGAUUUAUUAGAAAGCUCUUGUUCACAUAUUCAUGAGCAUAAUUUUCUCUUCAUUGGGAAAUAAAUAGAUGCAAUGACACCCAGCAGUUGCUUUGGUGGGCGCGCCUUGGUCGGCUUGGCUCAGUACCACAGCUCAUGAGACUGAGACUGUUGUUGUUGUGUGUGUUGUGUGUUGUAUGAACAAGUAACAACAGCAGUGUCUGUCGAGUACUCACUUACUACGCUUAUCUUUCUCUUUUCUGUUGCUUUGCUCACCCUUUCAAUCUGCUGAGCCGUCACAUGGCUUCCAUUCAUUGCUUCUGCGAGUGUUGUGAGGUCUCUAGUGUCAAUAUAUGGAGGCAACAGACUUGUAAGUUCAUAUCAUUCUUAAUUUUAUCAUAAAAUUCUUAUGGUACAAACUUGUAUCUAGUGUGACCCAAACAAAUUGAUUGUAAAAGAAAAUCGUUUCAUAAUUCCAACCAGAUUUCUAGUUCCCUCAUAAUAUUUUUUUUUUAAUUUUGUGAACAUCCGGCUUUGGAUGAAAUAUUAAAAAAAUCCAAAUGAGUUUGGAUCCAAUAUUGAUCUUUUAAAAGUACGAUCAAAAUUUAAUUACAUAUACUUUUGCAAUAAAAGUUUGACUUUGUAUAGAAGGAUAAAUUUCAUAAGUCGAAAAUAAAGAGUUAAUUUCGGAUGAUGGAGAAUCCCAAGGAUAUAAUAAGGAAAAUCAAGAUUAACAAUUUAACGAUUCAACAGCAUAUGACUUUCUUGAAAAGUGAUUAUGUUAGUUGUAAUAUAAGGAUAGUAAAUUAUUAGUAUUCGGUUGAAGUCUUAACACCUAUAGUUUUGAUGAUUAACCGCUAUCAUUAUUUGAAAAAGGUUAUUGUUUUAUGACUAAUUAAUGAUUUCUAUUAGCUUUUGGUGGGUCAUAAUUUGACUAGCAAUUUUUAGUAAAUUAUGAUUAAAGAUCUCACAAGUCAUUAAGAUACAAAUUAUUGCAUUCGGUACAUGUGGUUCAAUACCAUGAAAUAUAACAAAUUAUUACCAUUACAUUUUAACUUCUUUCUUUUGCACCUUAAUUAUGAUAAAGAGGGAGAGGGAUGUCUUAUUCUUGUUGCAUGUGUACAGAUCGAAAAUAAAUUGCGAUGGGGUCCUCCAAUUUGGAGAAGAAGCCAUGAGAUUUAUGACAAUAUGUGUUAGCUAUACUAGUUUUAAUUUCAGGAGACAAAUUGGAGGGUUGGGAAAUAUUUAUAAGUUGGCCAAAACAACAAUGGUACCAUAAAAUUAGGCUUUACUCAGCUUUAUAAAGUUGAUCACCUGCAAUGUGUACAAAACAUUCAAUAGUUGUGCUAAUAAUCAUGUGUAGGGGUCCUAGGGGAGAUGGAAGCCAGAAAUUUUUGCUGUGGGGCUAAUCCAUCUUGAAAAUAAAAAUAAUCAUUAUAAGAAUAUAACAUUGAUAGUUUUUCUUCAUUAGAAUACUUAAUUUCUUCCUUGAUGUAAUUUUCUUUUCAAAGAUUUGUGUGAUAACUUUAUUAGUAUUAAUACAUUUAACUCAUUGGUAACACACAUGCUUUUGAAAAAGUAAGUAUUAGACAGGCUUAUUUCCUCUCCUAAUUUAAGUCCCAUUUGGAUUUGAGGUUAAAACCCAACAAACUGCUUAUUUCAUAAUUUUUGAAAAAAAAAAUAUUUAGUAAAUUUUAGAAAAGCAGUUUAUUUUAUAAUUUUUCCUAUUUUGAUAACAGCUUUUAAAGGCAAGUGGGGUUGCUUUCCAUAGGCAACAUAUUAAACAAGUCACUACAUCUUUUUAAAGUUUAUAUUAUAAUCUUAGUAUUUUAACAAAAAGAUAAUUAUAUCUUACUUUUACAUAAUCCCUGAUAUAUAUACACCAUUAGAUAUCAUAUUACUACCGCAAUCAAACUACCGCCACAAUUAUUGUAUAUUCUUUCUAGUAUCAAUGUAAUGAAAAUGUAAUAUAUAUUACUUUUUAUUUUAUUUGGAUUAUGUACAAGUAUGAAUUUUUAUCAUAUGUUAUGUAACAAUAUGUAACAAAUUAUGAAAUUCAUUAGAUUUUAUUUAAUUGAGUUUUUUUUCACUUUAUGUAAUUUUACGUAUUUAAAGAAAAUGUAUGUCUAAACAAUUUUUUAAACAUACUCUAAAAGACAAAAGAUAAUUUGAGCUUAUGUCUAUUUGUUCAUUGUAUAAUAAAACAACACUUUCAUAAUAAAAUUUACCAAAUAUAUGUACUAUACUUUUCAAACUCACAGCAAUCGCAAUAACACAGUUUAUCAAACACCAAACUGUUUUUUUAAUCUGCAUCUUAUUUAAUCAGCCACCAUAAUAUCAAAUUGGCCCUUAAUUGGGUAGAGAUAGAUAUCUCCUCUACCAUUGUGUAAGAUAUCCCUCCAAUAUUAAGUGAGGAUAGAAAUCUGAAUUAUGUCAUAAUAGACUUGAUCCAAUCUAGUUCUAAAAUAUAUGUAAGUAUUUUAGUCAUUCAAACCUAGGGAUGACAAUAAACUCCGGAUCCGCAAAGAUUCAAAAUAUCUGGAUCUACAUGUUAAAAAAUACGGAUCCAAUUCUUAAAAACCAAGAUCCGUGCGGAUCCGGAUCCGAAUCUGCAUUCUUUUAUAAUUAAAUUAUUUAUUUAUUGAAUUUCAAUUGAAAUAUAUAAAUUAAAUUAUUUACUUAAUAUGUAUAAGCAUAAUUUACUCUAUAAUCUUCAUUGACUAUGAAAAAUAUGUUAGAAACCAAUAAUAAUAAUAUUGUAAUGAAUCAGUUUACCUUAGAUUUUUUUUUAUGUUUGAUUUAUGUUGUGAAAUUAUCGUUUGUGAAUUUAUGGUGUUGUACGUUAUUUAUGUUGAAUUGUUGAUUGUUAAAUUAUAAUAGAAUUUUUUUUAUAUUAUUUGGUAAAUUAUUAAAUUUAAAAUUAAAAUUAAAACUAUUAUUAUGUGAAUUCAGAUAUUCAGAAAAUCCACCCGCAAUCCGUGCGGAUAUUACCUGCAUUUGGAUAUGCAAAAAAGUACGUGGAUCCAGAUGCCAAAUGUUCAAUGCGGAUGCAGAUUCGGAUGCCAAAUGUUCAAUGCAGAUCUGGAUCCGAAUGCACCUACAUCUAGAUCUGGAUUUGAAUUUUACCAUCCCUAUUCAAACCUCAAUAUACUAAAUUAAGAUCAAUCAUCUAUUGAUCUAAGCUUAAUAAUUGUCUUCUUCUUUUUUUUGUUAACUCUUUGAUCAUAUGAUGGUUCAAAUUCUAAUUAAAAGAAAAUCACGGAUUGAAAUACUAGCAUCAAGAACGAUCUAAUCAAAUAAAUCAAUUAAUACCCAAGAAACAAUUACUUAAUCUAAUAAAGUGACACUUGCUAGUGUGAAUUGUGGAAUUAGUUAUAUAUACUCAGUAAAUCUUUCUUUUCUUUUCAUAUUGUUUAAUAGGAGAGAGCAUAGAGGCAAAAGGAUGGUAAGUUGGACCGAUAGAAGGAAUAAGAGGUGAACUGGUGAAAAGGGUAGGUCUCUGUUUUUCAGAUUCAAUCUGAGCAAGUUCAGCUUUUAAUCGCCUGAUUUCCCUUUCUUUUUGGUCAAAUUCGGGACCAUUGUAUCUGUGGGCUAGCAUGGCUCGUAACUCUGAAUCGAGUUGGCCAAUUCGGGAGUGAAGAUUUUGGUGGAUCUGCUGCAUCUGUGCAGAGAUGGAGUCAACCUUUGUCUCAAGCUGUUCAGUUCGUAAACUGAUUUUCUCAACUUUGGAAUUGAUAUUGACCAAAGUAUCAUUCUGUGCUCUAGCAUUUUGGGUUUGCCAGUUGAGGACUGAUUCAAAAGGUUUGGGAGGUUCUAGGUGGCCAGUGGAGGUAAUAGGUGAAGGGAUAAAGGGUUUGGACACAACAUUUCGUUGAGAAUCUGUAUGGGGUUCCAAAGGAGGAAAGGAAGAAGAGUAAUCUGAAGAAGUAGAGGAAAACAUCAUACAAGCCAGUGGUUGGACGAUAGGUGUUGGGUGUGAGAGUGGUGAUGGAAUCGCAGAUUUGCAAUGUUUGGCAAUCCAUGUGAGUUCUUUUCGGUAGAUGGGUAAUGGAGCCGGUGGAGGUGGAGGAUCUGAUGGUGGUUUAGGGUCACAAUGUACGGUACAGCAGGAGGUUUGGAUGAAAAUUCUGGAGUUUUGAAUUUCCGAAAAUGCCGUUUUUUCUUUGAACUGCAAUCGCAAUCCUUUUUCUUGUGGCAUUUGAUCUGUAAAUAAGGCUUUUUGCAAGCACUGCGGAAAGGUUCUUUGUCUUUCAACAGUUCUUUGAAAAACUGUUUUUGCUCGCAAAGUUUGUCAAGACAGGUUUUGGCAAGCUGGAAGAUUUUGCCAAGGGAGAUGUUGUCUAGGGAAAGAUUGGAUGCUGUAAGUUGUCUCUGGAUGUCAGGUUGGAGUUCUUCGGGGAGGGAAGCCAGAAAGACAUGCUUUAAUGUCGGCUCAUUGAAUCCAUUANNNNNNNNNNNNNNNNNNNNNNNNNNNNNNNNNNNNNNNNNNNNNNNNNNNNNNNNNNNNNNNNNNNNNNNNNNNNNNNNNNNNNNNNNNNNNNNNNNNNNNNNNNNNNNNNNNNNNNNNNNNNNNNNNNNNNNNNNNNNNNNNNNNNNNNNNNNNNNNNNNNNNNNNNNNNNNNNNNNNNNNNNNNNNNNNNNUAGUACUAUAUUUAUUUAAUAAUAAUAAUAAAUACUUUAUUCUAAGAAAAUAUUAAUUUUGUACUAAAUAAUAUUAUAUUAUUAUUUUAUAUAAUAAUAAAUUUAAUAUAAUUAUAUUAAAUAAAAUAAAAUAACAUUUCAUUUUAUAUUAAAAUUACAAUUAAUAAUUUAUUGUUCAUAAUUAAGAAUAUUAAUAAUUAUAAAAAAUUUACAAAUAUAACUGCUGUACGGCCAAGGCGGAUGUACGGGAAGAGCACACUGAUCCAGGCGGGAAGACUGGAUGUAUUCUUUAGGGUGAGGGCGUCUGGUAGAGAUAAGGGUGCGGAUACUGCGGGUAAAGGAGCUAGGUCGUCUAUACAACUGAUAAGGGCUGAGGAGAGGGUAAGAAGAUUCACUGAUUUGGGCGGAUUCAGGGAUGUAGGAGUAUUCUACAAGAUUUUCAAUUUUAUUAGUAGUAUGAGAAGUGCAAGAUUUCGGUAAAGAAAGAGUGGAAGAAAGAGUAACAGGAGGUGAAGAGGAAGUGGAUGCCAUGAAGGAGAAGUUCUCUCUGCGCCUGAAGUUCUAGAGAUUUCGGUAAAGACAAUAGUGUAGAAAUGAUACAUUUUGUAAACAUUAGGUGGAAUUGUUAUAAAAAAAAAGUGGUCGUGUAUUUUUUAUAAAGUCUAAAACAUCAAGUGAUUAGAGAAUAUUUGUGCUCAAGUAUUUCAUUCAAAAUAAUUUCCACUCCUAUGAAGAGGAAGUGGAUGCCAUGAAGGAGAAGUUCUCUCUGCGCCUGAAGUUCUAAAGAUCAAACCUCUCACUAGAUGAUCCAAACCUACCCACUACUCUGAAGGUUCAAAUCCAGAUCCAAGGUGCUAAACAAAUAGUCUCUUCAGUUGGUAUACCACUUACAAAAUCAUGCCCUUGAUCUUUCCACACCUCAAACCACAUCAGAUGCACUAAUGAUUCUUGCAGAUUCCUCAGAAAGCAUACUUUCCAUAGUCCAAAUCCUAAGACAAAUACAAAAGCAAGAGCUUCUUAAGCUCAUGCCCCUGUAAUGGCUUUUCAAUUAUGAGAAAUUCCAUCAAAACUCCCAGCUGGCCCAAACUACUAAUGCUCAUUUUGAAAAAAGAAUAGAUGGAACUGUAAAGUUGACUUUCUCAUCCACCCUCUGAACAAUCAACACCUAGAAACUCCUUUUUAUACUCCUCCAUGAUCCCAGUCAUAUCUACGGCACAAGAAAAAAUCCCCAUCCACGGAUUUGCCUCAGAUGGCUAUCCGAUCUACCCGGACAAAAUCAAUGGUCAUUUUUUAUAGGAUGUUCUAGGUUCCCAUAUGUGUGAUCCCAACUGUCCUUGCCUCGAAGAAGAGGAAAACAAUGAUAAUUUCAAUAGGCGUCCUAAGAGUUGUAAAACGGAAAGUCACAAAUUAGAUCCAUGUAACAAAAAACCUCCUCUGCCUCCAGAUGAUCCAGACAGUCUAAUGCCUUUACCUAUUUAUAGGAAAGGUUUAAGGCUCACACAAAAGGACUAUAAACAAAGAUCAUGCAAACAAGAGACAUCCUUGUUCUCAUCUCCUGCUAUGUCUGUCCAACCUUGCAUGAUGUUCUCAUCAAGCUCUUUUCAAGAGCAGAUCCAUAGACAAAUGUCACCACCAAACCUUUUGUCCACUCUCCUGUUACACCAAAUGGUCAGUUGGAAGAACCAAAACCUUUUGAAGCUGUUCUAAACUGGCAAACCCAAAAUACCAGGGCUCAGAACUCAGCUUUCAGAUCUCUUGACAAGAAAAUUGAGAAAGUAGAAGUUCAAGUCAAACAGACGGACACAAAGGUAGAUAAGAUCACAUUUCAGCUUGAAUAGAUACAUGCAAAAUCGAGUUACCCAACUUGAUUCAGAUCUGUGGUUUAUGAUCCAAAACAGAUAUUGGGGUCCACAAUUUAACCAAAAAGAAGCAGAGAUUAGGCAGUUAAAAGCUGAACUUGCUAGGAUUGAUGCUGACAAACAACAACCUUCAUUGUUUGCAAAAUUCCCUGCUCUACCCUUACACACACCAACUUUCAGCACUCACCAGCCUUUCUACACACCAUCUACCUCACAACAACCUGUAGACUAUGCCAAAUUCUUUGGCCUAUCUCAUCUCAAAUAUGCUCCAACUACUGCUCCUCUAAAACCACGGUCCAGACCUCCUAAGCCUGAACUACCUCCAACUUAAUCUACUCAGAAGAACAAAGAACCUAUGCACCAAUACUCAUCUCAGGUCCUGCCUCACCUUUUAGAAUCAGAAAAAAUCUUCAGAAUCCUAUUCUACCUCCUCCAACUUUGAAAAAAGCUGCACUAAUAUCUCUAAGCGUCUGAUGGUCCAGCCAUCAACUGGGUCGAAUGAUCCUUCUCCCUCUUCGCCUCUUCAAACACCUAUAGUUGAGGAAGCAGAUUUUGAUACCAAUCCUACACCUCAUCAAGAAAAUUCCUCUUCUAAACCUUCUAAUGGCCCAUGGUUUACUUUUGAUGACAUUCCAAGAGUAAACUGGCCAACCAGAUUUCAAGAAUUUUUUGCCUAGAUUGAUGUACAAAUGCUCAGACCUGGAGCAGCAACUCAAACCGUCCUUAAGGAGUUCAGUUCUCAUUUUACUAGAUCUUUAAGAGAUUGGUUUGAAAGUCUAGGUCUAUACAGACAGCUCCAGGUAAUUCAAGCCCAGAUUUCAGAGGUCCUAGGAAUAAUUUAUGAGCAGUUCCUUGGAGAAGCUACAGUUACUAAUGAACAAACAAGAAGAGAGUUCAAUCUAAUGAAGUGUUGUUCUCUCCACUACAAGAGAAUGUCCACAAUGUAUUACAAGCUCAAUGGUUUUAAUGAUCCCUCAUUAAAACAUGUCUUUGUAGCAUCUCUUCCAGAGGAGAUCCAACCAGAACUUCAGAGACAAUUCACAAUCCACUAGCUGGACAUAGCCAACUUCUCCUUGGGGAAAAUCUACCAGUUAGCAAUCAACUAUCUUAAAAGACUUUGUGAACAGAAGGAAUUCUUCAAAGACCUUAUAGAAAACAAACAGCCUUUCAAAAGUGCUUGUAAAAAACCCCAUCUUUCCAUUAAGUGCAAAAGUGAGAAGGAUUGCACUUGCUCAACCAAAAAGAAAUCCCACUUCUGAAAAUUCUGAAAUUCAAAAAAGAAAAGCCAAACACCUUCCAAUCCAAAAAACCUUAUCGAUUUUUCAGAAAAAAGAACCCUGACCAGUCCUCUAAAUCCAAAAGCAGCCGUUGUUUUAUUUGUAAAAAGAAAGGACAUUUUGCAAGGAAUUGUCCAAACAGACCUACAAAAUCAGUUCGGCUUAUUGAGCAUCUCUAGGAUUCCAUGUUACUUUCAGAAAGUGAUGAUGUUGAAUCAUUCUUCUCUUAACAAGAUGAAUAUGAUGAACAAAUAACCUUUGUCCUUGCUGAAACAGAAGAUCAUUCUGAGUCUGAGAAUGUUUCUGUAAUUCAAACUGUACAGCAAAUUUAGAAAGUCCAAUCAGCCGUUCCUAUCCCUUCAAUUAAAAUACACCUCCUCUCCGGAAGAUUUGAUAAACCAGUUCCCAUCAUUGGUUUUGUUGAUACUGGAGCUCAGAAGAGUAUGCUUAAUCCUUCAAACCUUCCUCCCCAUUUAUGGGAAAAGCAUACAGAAUAUUUCAAAGCUGCUAAUGGAGAAUUGUUUCAUACAGAUUUGAUUACUAGAAAACCCAUUGGUAUUCAAUUCUUUCCAGGAUGUAUCCUUUGGACCAAGCUUGUUGGAUCCAAUCUUCCUGACAAAGAUCUUUUAAUCGGAUUUGAUGUCCUUCACCUAGUUAAAAAGCUCCAUAUAACAGUUUUUGUAAUCCGUUAUAAAUAGAUGUUUAAGCCUUAUAUGAAUUCCCUGAAAUUGUUCUCUAUCUCAAGCUCACCUCCUUCAUAUGAUCCUCUCAAAUCCCGUUUUCUUCUUCACUGUCCAGAAAGUCACAGUCAAUUUCUUCAUCCUACCCCUCUAUGGAAAAAUGAAAACUUCUUCAUUAAGCUCCCUUUCAAGCUUAACAAAGACAUUAACCCAACUAAGGCUACCCAUCUAGGAAUGACUCCGUCCGACCUGAAACUAGCCCAAGAAGAGUGCUCUCAGUUGCUAAAACAAGGCCUUAUUGAGCCCAUAGAUUCAGAAUGGGCUUGUCAAGUUUUUUAUGUGGAAAAAUGUAUGAAAUAGUUAGAGGCAAAAAACGUCUUGUUAUCGAUUACCAGCCUCUCAACUAUUUUCUUAGAGAUGAUAAGUCCCCCUUGCCAAAAAUCCAAUCCUUAUUUGUUCAUAUCCAAAAUGCUAAGGUCUUCUCAAAAUUUGACCUUAAGGUAGGUUUCUAGCAAUUAGGAAUCCACCCUGAUGACAGACCUAAAAUAGCCUUUUUCAUACCAAAUGCCCACUACCAAUGGAAAGUAAUGUCAUUUGGCCUUAAGAUAGCCCCCUCACUUUUCCAAAAGGCCAUGAUCAAGAUCUUUGAACCAAUAGAUGACGUGCUAUUAUUCUCUAAAGAUCAUGAUUCCCACCAACAAUUACUUUCCCACUUUCUUGAGAUAGUGGAAACAUAUGGCAUACUGUUGUCUGACAAAAAGAGUAUCCUAGGCCAAAACACUGUUACCUUUCUUGGAAUGACUCUAAAAGAUGGAUACUAUGGUCCUGGACCACACAUAGCCCAGGAACUCAUUCAUAUCCCAGAUGAACAUUUGUCAAAAAAGAAUAUCCAAAAAUUCCUUGGUAUUAUCAAUUACUUUCGGGAAUUUUUUCCACAUGUAGUAGUUCAUACUAGUCAGCUUUCAAAAAUGCUCAAAAAAUCAGCCCCACCAUGGUGCCCCUCUCAGACUGCUGCUAUCCAACAUCUCAAAAACAUCGCCCAGCAUCCACCUCCUUUGAGAAUCCCUACUGAUGGUCAACGUAUUCUGCAGACUGAUGCGAGUGACGAAUAUUGGGGGACCAUCCUUUUAGAAAAACAUGAUGGUAAGGAAUCUUACUAUGCCCAUGCUAGUGGACAAUUCAAGGAGUCAGAAAAACACUACCAUGUGAUCUACAAAGAAAUCAUUGCCGUUAAAUAUGGAAUUCAAAAAUUUGAAUUUCAUCUUAUUGGCCAUAAUUUCCUUGUCAUAUUAGAUAAUUCCUCAUUUCCAAACAUCCUUGAAUUCAAAAAUAAGGUUCGCCCGAACAAGCACCUCCUCCGUCUUAAAACUUGGUUCUCAAAAUAUGAAUUCACGGUCCAACAUAUAAAAGGAGACCAAAACCUUAUCCCUGAUCUCUUGUCCCGACCUUCAUCUUCAUCCCUAAGAGUCUCUUUUGCCUCAGUUCCAGUCAUCUUCAUGGCUCAUACUCUUCCCAAUACAGCCUUGACAAAAAAGCCUUUUCCUUGCAAUCUCACUUUCUCNNNNNNNNNNNNNNNNNNNNNNNNNNNNNNNNNNNNNNNNNNNNNNNNNNNNNNNNNNNNNNNNNNNNNNNNNNNNNNNNNNNNNNNNNNNNNNNNNNNNNNNNNNNNNNNNNNNNNNNNNNNNNNNNNNNNNNNNNNNNNNNNNNNNNNNNNNNNNNNNNNNNNNNNNNNNNNNNNNNNNNNNNNNNNNNNNNNNNNNNNNNNNNNNNNNNNNNNNNNNNNNNNNNNNNNNNNNNNNNNNNNNNNNNNNNNNNNNNNNNNNNNNNNNNNNNNNNNNNNNNNNNNNNNNNNNNNNNNNNNNNNNNNNNNNNNNNNNNNNNNNNNNNNNNNNNNNNNNNNNNNNNNNNNNNNNNNNNNNNNNNNNNNNNNNNNNNNNNNNNNNNNNNNNNNNNNNNNNNNNNNNNNNNNNNNNNNNNNNNNNNNNNNNNNNNNNNNNNNNNNNNNNNNNNNNNNNNNNNNNNNNNNNNNNNNNNNNNNNNNNNNNNNNNNNNNNNNNNNNNNNNNNNNNNNNNNNNNNNNNNNNNNNNNNNNNNNNNNGCUAGUGGACAUUUUUCUGACACACAGAAGCACUACCAUAGCGUGUUCAAAGAAAUCUGAUACCAGUUAUGAGUGUACGUGGCGUUGUUAUACCAGAACUACAACAGUUAAAACUGUUCUUUGGACCAGUAGUCCGCAAGCUCGGGUUUCCAGCCGAUAUACCUCUGUAAUCAAAAACCUUUAAAACAUUUUUCUCAGGUUAUACAACCCAAAACAGACUUUCCUUUAGUCUAAAACAGGGUACCAAACCAGAUAAAAAAAUGUUUUAAAGGUUUUUGAUUACAGAGGUAUAUCGGCUGGAAACCCGAGCUUGCGGACUACUGGUCCAAAGAACAGUUUUAACUGUUGUAGUUCUGGUAUAACAACGCCACGUACUUCACCAUAAUUGUUAAAAGUGUUGUAAAUUUUUUCCUUGUACACAAUAGGUUGAACAACUUGGUAAUUGGUUAUGCAUUAAGGUUUGUCUUUUGUUUCCUAGAGACUACAAGUAGCUUGCUUUAGAAGUUGUUUGUAAAAGCAAGAGGGACUGAAUGUAAUAAUUCUUAUGUCAUUCCUUUGAGUGUAUUUGAUAUUUCUUGAUCACUUUUUGAGCUAAAAUACAGUAAAAUCUCCAAGAAUGCUUAAUCAGUUGGGUUUAUAUGAUUCUUUGUUUAUCAAAACUCAAAGCAAAUAGAAUAAUUUAUUGCUAUUUACAAUUUAUGUAUGUAAUAUGUGAGUCUUAUGUGGAUUCCCCACAAACAAUUUAUUGUUCUUCAUCUAGAUUAGGUACAUAAUUUCUCCAAUGAUGGAUUUUAACAUAAAAAUAAGAGUUAAGACCUUACACAAGAGCAAUCAGAUAAAUAAGAAACAAUUUAUCUUGUCCAUUCUCCUCUCUCCCUUCUUUAAUAAGACAGGUAUAUACUUUAUCAGCCAAGUCAAAGAGGGCAAAGCAAUUGAUUUCAUGUUAGCAAAACUUUUCUAACUUGAUACCCCUGCUCAUAAAAUGCUUUUAUAUUUCUGGUCAUUAUGUGGCAAGAUACAAUCAAUAUCAUGACCCCUAACAGAAAAUAAUGAAAAUAUAGGCCAUGUCAAAGUCACGCUUUUCCAGAAACGCAUCAGUAAACUUAAAAAUGUUUAAUUGAGAUUUCAAUGUAUCAGCACGACACUGAUACUUGGAUAACAUAGGUGUGCAUAUGAGAUUAUGCCAAUAAAUGCCCGAAAGCAAUGCAACUAAUUUUUCGUCGAUGAAUAAAUCAAGAUGCCGCUAGGUGUUCAUCACUUCAGCAGUGGUUUUAUGAAAAUGAAGUUAAAAGAUACUAUUUCACCAGAAACUGUACACGUCCCCAACAGCACAAUAAAGUUGGUUAAACAAGUAUAACUAACAUCUAGAACUGAAAAUAAUCAUGCAAAAAAGACUUUAGUUCGGAUGACCAACCCCAAAGUGAAAUCUCCUUGUCUGCCUGUCAUUAAAUGCAUACUCAAGUCCCAAAGGUCCCAGAGGAGAAUCAACACGGAUGCCAAACCCAUGUCCAUACCCACUUCCAGGCUUCAACCUUGCUCCAGCAGGAUCACCUGAUGAAGUUGAAAAAAGAAAGAAAGAAAAAAAGGGGACAAGAUAAGGCCAGCCAGAUUUAAAUAAAAAAACAUUUUGAAAAUAAGUCCUUUCACUCAUUAAACUGCAAACAUAGAAAACAAGGGGCCCAAUCAUUAAGAAACCUACCGGGCGGGCACAGUAGGGCCUGAUCCAAGUUCUGUUCCAUGGUCAGAAAAGAUAACUCCUUCUGCUGGCCCCAACUGCAAAACAGGAAGAAACAUUAGAGGAGCAAUGUGCAAAAUACAUUUUUUUUCCCCCAGCAUAAGAAACAUGAGCACAUUGACAGGGGAACAUGUAGUCUCAAAUUCGUAGAGUGAUCAUCAUCAAUCCCUUUUGAUCACAUCUACAUGCGUUCUCCAAGUGCUUCUUCACAUUCCUCUUGUAGAAGUCUUCAAUUUAGAGUAGCUCAGUAAUAAUUGUUGCUACCAGUGAGGAAAGUAGAGUGGGCCCAUAUAAGGGGGGAGACAAUGGCCCCGCCCUAGAAUAGAGAACUUUUGCGUCUAUAUUUGCAGAUAGGCUCCUCAGAAGUCUAUUAAUAUGUCAGGUCCUCCAAGAAUUUUUCAAAGUAUUUUGAAGACUCUGUCAUAAACAAAUAUAUUACAUAGUCCUCAAGUUGCCCCAUUUAUUCAAAACUGUUUGUGACUGUGCUUGUUUCAACAAGUACCUUGCCCUCAAACAAUGUUACCUUUAACUUCUAACAAAUGUGUACUUUUAUUGCCUUAUUCUUUCUUCGUCUAAUCACCCAUUUUUCCCCCCAAAAUUCUCAUUUCAGCAAACUGAAUACCGUAAAAGAAAUUGUUGGCCGCCCACUGCUCAAACUGAGAGCAUCAAGGCCUUGACUAGAUCAUGUGAAAGUGUCCUUGUAACUUAACUAGAUCAACACCAGCCGAAUCAUUUUCCCACAACUGUAAUCACCACUUCAACUUUUCCAAUUAAAAAUGAAUAAUCAAGAAAAUGGAAAAAAAUCUUCUUUGUCAACAAUUCUCAUUUUUGGAGCUGUAAACUUGCAGCAAAAGUUGUUUUUCUGAGCACUAAUAUUACUUUUUGUAAUAUAAUCUUCGUUCAUUUCUCUAAAUAUAUUCAUAAUGUUUAAGUCACAGAUUAGGUGUGAUCUGCCUGUCUCUGUAUUUGCCGGACUCUCUACCCAGCCUUUAUCUGGAGUUAUAAUAUCUGUCUUGCCUUCACACAAUUCCCCUUGAAUCUAUGAGGCACAGUUGCAAGCAGACUUAAGCAUCAUGAACAAGCAGUGUUAAGCUUCAAAAUAUUAUUCUCAGCUUUUUAUCUAGAUAAGACAAAAAGAUUGGGUUGUCAUCACAUACCAUCGGAAAAGUGAUCUCGCCAGAGCCAACCACGUAAGAUCGACCAGAGCCCACUGCACCUUCUUCAUAACCUCUCACACUAUUUGUUCCGCCAAUGGCAAAUGCUUCAUGAGGAUAGAAAUUACCUAUUACAUGUCCACCAGACAAACUAGCCAUAAGAAACAGUGCGCAUUAGCAAACUGAUCCAAAAAAUCACUUGUUUGGUUAUCAUAAAUGGCAACUUAAGCAUGGAAGAAACUUUCAACAUGCUAAUCAUCGUCUAUAUUAUGCAUUUCGAAACAUGUUUGAAUUCCACUUUUGCACAAUAAAUAAAUAAAAGAGAGGAAAUGGUAGCUUACUUUAAACGAAGGCGAGCAUGACUUAUAUCUACACCCUUUCUGGCAUGAGCAUUCACUCUAUUGAAGAACAACCACUUUGGCAAAACAGGAAGCCCUUGUUCCAUGUCGAAUACAAACUGCAGGGACAGCAAGAAUGAGGGUCCAAGAAGCCAGUAGAUAAAAGAAAAUACAAAAGGCUAAAUGACUAACCAUUGAAGAACCGUGAUUGCCAGAACCAGUAUAUACACUCUCAAAUUUAGCAAUUAACACAUCAUCAUGGGUCUUUCCACUGCCGAACAGAAAAAUUGAACAAGCACAAUAUCAAAAACAUGCACAAUGGACAUUGAAUAAUUGAAACCAAUAACAAAUAGAAAGCAAAAUAAUGAAGUUCAUCAUCUACUUUCAGGAAAGCAUACCUUCCUGUAAAGAGGACUGCUAUAGAAAUCCUUGAUAAUAGGAUUUCCUUUUUCAUCAUGAGAACCAGCACGCUGGUAAAAAGAAAAUAUAAUCACAGGAAUUCACAGCUUACUAUAAGACAAAGCAAUAACUCCUCGUAAAUAAAUUGUCAAAGAAGCUUAUUCAAAAUACCUACAAAGUUUUGCUUUAUUGUUUAAUUGACUGACCACAAUAUUCAUAUGACAACAAACUCCCAGUUAUAAAUAACAGACCAGCAGUUAAAAAAUAAAUAAAAAUAGGUGAAAACAAUCUACAUUUUGCCAAUUCAGGUCUCGAUAGAAAAAAUAUUUCAUCCAGAAAAGAUGUCUCAAGCUCAUAUUCAUUGCCUGACCAAUUCUGCUUGGUGCCAAAGGUCAGACAACUGGUAAAGAAAAGAAUGGUUCUGCCGAAGCACCUGAAAAAUAAUCAUGCCGUCCCACUCCAUUUUGGCCUGAUUGGUCGACUGAAUUCUAUACUGGCUGUCACACGUCCAAUGGUCUGACUACUGUUGUCAGGUUGGUUCCUAUGAACAAGCGGUCCAGGGGUUCUUGAAUUCUAGUUAAAACAGCAUACAAACAGCAUCAGUUCAAGCAAUUAUCAGUUGGCACCACCAAGAAAGUAAUUGUUCUUGAUAAAGCAAAAACCAUAGCACACCUGAACCAUCAUAGUUCUUGAUGUUUGUUUGUCAUCUCCUUCAAUCCAAGGGUCAAUGUAAUUUAUGCGCAAUAUAGAAUCAAUUUGGCCCCUCUCUAAGGAAAUAUUGAGUUUUUGGUUUCUUCCAAAAACAUUCCUAUGAGAAUAAACAAAGCUGCAAUGGAAAAAUGAUAUAAUAUUAUGCAAACUGCAAACAGAAUGAUCAUGCCAUGUCACAAGAAUACCGUACAAUAAUAUAUUAUAAGAAGUGCAAGUGCAUGCCUUGCAAGAAAGAUUAGUACAACAUCCUACACAAAAAGAUCUCAUUAGCAUUAAGAAAUCCACUGUCAUUUAAUUGCAAGAGAAUCUUUUAAUCUUCAUAUGCGAGUACCUAAAAAUCCAUUUAUAUAAUAACUUGCUGAAACUAUAAGGAAUGUAAUCUUCUCAAACAAAUAAUAUUCAUUAGCAUUUAGGAACGAAGAAUUUGUUAAUUACAAGAGAACAUUACAUAAUAGAUACAGUUCUGUAUUACUAGAAAAUUAUACAUUUUUAGAAAGAAGCAUCGUAAGGUUUGAACUAACAAAAUAAUGAUCCACAGACAAUUUUUUAUCAAAUACAGCAAUGUAAUCGAUCCAACAAUAAAAAAAGAAUUAAAUGAUAGAAGAAAGACCAGAUAAUUUAAGACUGUAACCACACCUUCCAAUGAGUCCGGAUAAAGGGCCACUUGUGAUCCUGUAAAUCAAAAAACAUUUAGUUUAUAUAGUUUCCACAAAUGACUUAAUUUUGAUGUACAAGUACAACAAAAUUUGGCAACAAAAGUAACCAGUGCAUUUAAUUUAAUGUCACCUACCCACUUGAUAUACCACCACCAGCAGAAAACCCUCCACUUGGCCGCUCAACAACAUUCAAAAUCAAAUCAACCAUGCUAGUGUCUUCAAUGUUGCCAAAACAAACGAUCUUGCAAUCCAAACACCAUAAAGGAGGACAUCCACAUGCAUACAUCUUCAUGUUGCCAAAACAAACAAUAGUGCAAUUCAAACACCAUGAAGAAGAACAUCCACAAGCAUAAAACUUCCUGAAUAGAUUAUGAACAAUACUUUUUCGAAAUGUUUCCAAACGGAAGAAACUCCCCAAAGACCAAUUCUUUUGGUACACGAGCAACAUCUUCUAGAAAAUAGUCAACUUAUUUGAAAACUAACUAACUUAACAUAUCUUACCACAUAACAUGUAAACAUAAUUCAUGUCAUAAGAUGAUUCAAAUGUUGCAUCUUGCUUUACCUCCUGCAGGUUGAGGAAUAAUGCUAACAUCUUCCAUGAUUCCCAUGGUCAAUACAGUCUCCACAUCUCUUUUCCCUUGAAGCAUGCUGUAGACCUACAAAAAUUAUAUUAGACAUAUAAACUUUAACUUUAUGAGCAUAGAGGAAUGAAUAGUGGAGGAUAUCUAUAAGCCGGCACAUAGAGGAAUGAAUAUCUACAUAAAGGAAUGAAUAUAUAAGCCGGCGCAUAGAGGAAUGAAUAGUGGAGGAUCAUGUCACAUAAAAAAAUUACAUAAAACCACCGAUUCUUGUCUUAACUUUAUGAGCAAAUAAAGAAUUCAAAGAACCAAGCAAUAGGAAACAGUAAUGUUGCGAAACUAAGAAAAUUUUAAAACAUCUUCUUUCCUAAGAGAAGGCAUUAUUAUUAUUAUUAUUUUGAAAAGAAAAAGGAGGAAAAAAGGAAGAGAGGAAAAUAAGAUAAGCAAAACAAAGAAGCCAAAAUUGGAAUUCACAUUUUGCUCUGCCUCAAAAAUUAACAUCAUAGACCUAUUUUAGAUACUCGAUAAGGUGAGCAUACACCCAUCCUCAGUAUUACAACUCAGAAGUCUUUAAAAGUUUCAAAGACCAUACCUGUCCCUUCUUGGUAGUAAGUUGUCUAAGAAUUGUUUCAGGCCUCGUCUUCCCUUUAGUUGGCUCACCACUGACAAUUGCAAAUACAAUAUAUAUCAUACGAAAAUCCUAUGAUUACUGUUUCUAAAGGCAAAAAAGCUAAACUAAAUAUAGGCUUACGUCUUCCUGUCAAGGAAACGGAUGGAAAUAUUAUUGACCUCAGCUUCUGCAACUUGUAAUCUAAUUACUCCUCCAGAAAGAAUUUCAACACCAGAAACCUACAGAAGAUAUCAGAACACAUUACCUGAUUAGCAAAAGCAGCUGUGAUGACAAACCAAGGUAAACUCUACGAAACGAAACUCUAAAUCUCUAUAAAAUGGAGCAUGAAUGUGAGACAUAGACAAAGAUAAAAACACCGACCAAGCCAAAUAGACCAUGCUCCAUAUACCAGCCAUUGAUUGAAGUUAUCACUUCAUCCAAACGCCUUAUAUUGAUAAUUUUUCCUGCACAGCUUGACACCAAAAUUCAAAAUCAAUGAAUGUUCUCCGUGAACCAUUCCAAAAUGGCACACUAUAGAAAUGUUUUUUAAACAUAAUAGAUAUGCAGAAUAAGUAAGAAGUCUACCAUAACUAUUGCGAAAAGCAUGCUCUAGAAACUUUGAAGGAAGAACAUUUGCUCCUUCACAUACCAUCCCGUGAAACUCUUGAUUUGGCUCUACCUUGUGCCACAAGAAACCACAAAAAGUAAUCAUCAAAGAAAUUAAAUACAACAUAAUGUCUAAGGCAUAAUUUUACAGAAAAGUUAAUUAAUUUUUUCUUAAAAGAUUAUUUUAAAUAUAGCUGAAAUAUCAAUCUGAUGCCAUCACGCGUUGCGAUGGGCAUACACGAGCAGAAGUAACCGCCAUCGAUGAUCCUGUUAACGUCCUCUUGGACCUCGCGAACAGUCAAUGCUGAGUUGGCAUGGCAAGCUUUUAACACAGUUAACGCCUCUGUUCCGAGGUAUUUUCUCUCAAGUUCUUCACCGUCUUUAUUUCUCACCAAAACUUCACUUAUCAACACCCGCUCUUCGUCGCUUCGGCUCACCGAGUGCGGCUGCUGCUGCGCUUUCUGUUGCAGCUGAGUCGACGACACCUCGGGCAAAGCUGCCGACUCGGACGUCGUCGACUGACUCAGGGACAUCCACGCCGAGCAUAGAAGUGGUAAAUUCACUAACGUCUCGCCGGCGCCAGUUGUUGACGGGUACAUUGAACAGACGCGAGCCGAGUUUCCGUACGCGCGUUCAGCAAAUAAUUGGAGCUUCCGAGUGAGUGACUCCGGCUGAGUUAACUCAGUUGACUGAGUGGACUCAUCAGAGCGAGUUCUGAGUGAGUGAAUUUGAUGAGAGAGAGAGUUUUUGGAUUCCGUUAAUGUUUCGGCGAAGAAAGGGAGAGGAGGCUGAGGUUGAAAGCGAGGGAUUUUGAGAGGAGAUGAUGUGAACCGAGCGUCGUCGUUUUUCUGAGCCAUUGUCAGAAUCGGGCUGCCUCUGUUGCAAAAUUAAAAGCAAAAAAGGAUUGAAAUUUCGGUUAAUUGAAUGAUGAACUGAAGCUGAAUUUAGUGGAACGCAUUGGAGAAGAAGAAGCAACAGCAGAUAAACCCGUAGAGGAGAGUGACGUUUCGGCUGAGUAAUAAUAAUAUCAGAGUCCCUCAAUUCGAACAAAAUUAUAACCAAGGACAUACAUUACCAUCAUUUUUAUUUAAGUGCAUAUUUGGAUUAUGAUAAGAUUUUUAAAUAAUCACUUACAUUUAAGAAUUUAUUCUCCAAAUAAUGUUUAAUCAUCACAUGUCGAUUAAGUUUUAAAUAACAUUUCAAAUCAACUAAAUUUGAUAAAAAUAAUUUAGUAAUUUAAUUAAGUGAAAUAUAAAUAAUUAAUAUUUUUUAUGGAAUUUAUUGUGUUAUGAAAAUCAUGUGUUUUCUUUGUUUUAUCUUAAAUGUACUAAUUUAUUCACACAUUCUUUUAUUAAGUUAUUAUUAUCCAGGUAAUAUGGAUAGACAAAUUCCAAUUUACGUCAUCUUGAUUAUUAAAAAAAAAAUUCCUCUACAACAUGCUCCAAAUAUUGUUGUUUUUCUAGCACUCUUCUUUAAUUUCAUGAGUUAAAAUUAACGCUAAUGUUCCCAUUGAAGAAACUAUUAAUAAAAGGUGGCAAUAUAUUUUAAGAUAAUUAAAUAAAUUUUAAUAUAAAUAAAUAAAUAAAAUAUUAUAAAUAUAUUUUGAGAGAAUUAAAUAUACUUUGAUAUAAAUAAAUAAAUAAAAAUAUUCUAAAACUAAUAAUCUCCAACAAAUUCAUGUGAUAAAGGAAUUGAUUCAACAUGAAUUAACAUGAUUAGAGGGUUGAAAUCCGAACACAAUCAAUUAUUGAACUAAGAGUAAAGAAGAACUGGGCCUAUGUAAAUAAAUUACGAACUAUGCAUCCAUUUGUGAUUUUUCUAAAUGACAACGACACAGGUGAUAAUAACCUAAAUUCAAAUAUAUUUUUACUGGAAAAGGCAGUUGGCCACUUCGACCACUCCAAUCUAAAAAUUUUGAGCCGCCACGAGGCGGAGCUCAGACGUAUUCACACGUUACCAAAUAUUUUUCCUUUCCAUGGACUCUGAGUCUGUAAGUAUCCUCAUACGUCCCCGUUUCAUUCAUCAAAUUUAUCGAUGCUUAUUUGUGCUUGUUUAACAUCUGAUUUGGGGUGAAAGCUAGGGUUAGGGUUUAGGGAAUUUAGGGUUUUUCCAAAAGAAACAAUUUUUUGGGGAAAGAAAUUUGGGAUGUUCGUGAUUGGGUUCUGAGAUUAGCAUGUUUACAAAAAGUUUCUAUCUUUCGAUCGGUUGCUUAGAAAACAGGAAGAAGAGAACAAAAUUUUUGUGUGCUGUCCUCUGCUUUUUUUUUCUUUCUUUCUUUCUUUUUUAUUUGUUUUUUCAGCUAGUAUUUCAAAUUAGAUAUUCAUUAGACACUUUGUAUUUGGAUCCAUGUUUAUCUGUUUAUAAUUUUCUUUCUCCUAAUGAUCCGUAAGCGCACCCAGAGAACCAUGGCAUCAUUACUGUAAUCCAUUGUACAUGUUAUUGGGGGCAUUCUACACUUUCUUUGCAAACUCACUUUUUUCGUGCUAACUAACCAUGUGUUAUCCAUUUGUUAGUUUAUCUAGUUGAAACACAAAAUGUCAAAAUCUUGCAAGGGCCUUGCUAUGGAACUGGUGAAGUGUCUUAGCGAAUCUGACUGUGUUAAGGUCAAUCCUACUCUUUCCUGAUCUCUGGUUUUAUCUCAAUUAGCCUCUGUUCACUGAAAUGUUUUGUUGCCACUUAGUCAAUUGGAUGAUGACUUUUGUUGACUUUUUUUUACAAAUUGUGAUUAUAGGUGGAGAAAAGAUCUUUUAGGGAAUGUGCUGGAGAGAAGAGCCCAUGUAUACCAAGUGAAUGUGUGGGACUAAGGGAAACUUAUUUCAAUUGCAAGAGAGGCCAGGCUUGUUCUCUUUUCUCUUCUUUUCAUAUAUGUUUUCUUUUUCUUUUGACUUCCUCUGAAAACUUGUAAGGCUACAAGCUCUGAUUUAAUUGGAACGAGAUAAUCAGUGAUAGCUGGUGAAGUUAAAUUCUUCUACAUUAUAUUGUAGAAACGGAAUGAUACGUCCUGUAGAGACACCAUAAACUGUAGAAGUACAUGUGCAUCUAUGGUAUUUUUCAUAUAUAUGGUUUCUGGUUUUGUGUAUAAGCAUGACUACAUAAAUAGCAUGAAAUGGGUCUUUGCAUUCAUUUAAGUCUACCUAAGGAACUUGCCUGUUAGUAUCAAAUUUUAAAGAAACCUGGUGGAGCUGGAGGAUAGAGAAGAUAAUUUGUAUUUUGUGACAUGAAGCCAAACUCAUCUUUUUUCACCUUGAUAGUGUGAUGAAACUCAAUAGAUAAUCCAUAUCUGUGUGAGCACACAUGACUGAUUAAGGAAUAGAAUUAUGAAAAUCUAAACUCCUUUUUGUGAUAAGUUAACUAACGCAAGGAACUCAAUACAGAAAAUUGUAAUCUGUAUGAGUACGAUUGAUUAUAGGAUAGAAUUAUGAAAAUUUGAACUUUUUUUCUUGAUAUAAGUUAACUGAGGCUUUAUUACUUCAGUUUAUGUCACUUGGUUUAUCUAGAAGCCUAUAACCCUACAGGGCAGCUUGAGCACUUUAAACUAGGCAUAUCUCAUGUAUUGGAAAAACUUAAAUUUAUGCCUAUAUAUGAGGAGGGAUAUUAUGAUUUUACACUUACACUUUAUAUGCAAUUUGUAAAUUUAUUCUUGAAGACUUCUCAAAUGUUGAAGUUUUAGCUAUGUUGAACAAUGAAUACUGGUUAUCAUAUGGUCAAUUCUGUAACAUAACAAUUAGACUUUCUAUAAUAUUUGAGUCAACAAGAUCCCUUCUUUUAAUGUGUCAUUCCUUUUCUUCCCCUUUUUGGUUGGUCAGGUUGACAUGAGAGCUAGGAUACGUGGAAACAAGGGUUACUAAAAGCAACUGCAGGAUCAAGCUGUUGGCAUCAACAUUAUACUCUCAGACAAUUGAUGCUCCAAUAAUAAUCAAAAGGGGAUUACAAAGGAAAAAGUAUUCAGGCUUAAGAGACUUGAAGGAAUAUUUUGAUAUGUGAGCUUCUGGUUGCAGUUUUCUUAGGCUUUGUGUACAAACAAAAAUUUGAUUGGAUAAAAAAUGACAUUUUAAGUCAUUUGAGAUUUUUUUCCUCCAUUUGGACAAGAAUUCUUCAAAAUAAUAAUAAUAAUGAUGAUGAUAACAAUAGAUUUAGCUAAAAUAGAAGCAAAUGAAAUUAGAUGCGCAUGUAUGGUACUGAUUGUAGUUGAGCAUAUCAGUGAAAGAGCUAUUUCCACAUUAACUUGUUUGAGUUGAAGCUUGAUGCAUUCCACAAAUUUUGAUUGUGAACAGAAGAAAGUAACGUGAUAAAACCUGUAAUUGCACUUGUUUAAUUUAUAAUUUUAAUUUUAUGAAAAUUGGAAAGCAUCAAAUAUUUGUUUGCUUUGCAGCGGUGCUUAUUUGGGCAACUUGAUAUUAUGUCCCUUUCGUUACUUGCAUUAUUCGGUGUUGAAAACCAGAAUUGGAACAUCAUAUUUUUGCUUCUGCUGUCAUUUGAUGAGCACAGGUGUCAAAUUCAUAUUGUUGUUCAUGUUAUCUCAUGUAGCUCGAGAAUGCAGGAGUAUAAAGAGAUAAGACACGAGAAUGGUGGAAUCCAAAGUGGAAGCCUUAAAGGCAAAAGAUGGAAUAUUUACCUAAAAGUUAGGAAUGAUGGAGUCCUUUUUAUCUGUUUUGGAUCUUAUAAAGAAUAACACAAUGGUGGCCAUGACUCAACAUGCUAGCUUGUAUUCUUUGGAAUUCGAAGGGAUUAGCCAUAGUGGUAGUGUUUAUAUAGGCAAAAGUAUCUCAGUUGCGAAAUCUGAAACGUAACACUAUCGUUGUAUUAUAACAUUUAGGUUUUUAAGUUAUAAAUUUUGUGGUUAAGAUUACCAAAAUUAUGCACUUUAAUAAUAUUUACGCUGUAUGAUAUUUAAUUCCUCUUUAACAUCAACGGUGGAGUACGAAAAAGUGUGUGUGUGCGCCCCUUAAGAUAUGGUACACCCUUACACGGCACAUGAAUUGAGGAACAAAGUGAGCACGAAGUAGACAUUAAAUGGCAAAAAGGAUUUGAUUGCAGUUGAAAUCGAACAACUUGCUUAUUUUAGCAAACCCAUUUAUUUGGGCUAGUUAGAAAAUGAUGACCAUUUUGUUUACUCUUGUAUUCUGGGUUAAAGCGAGAAGCAAAACAUCAUUUUAGUGCUUAGGUUGUCUUCUGGAGUGAGUUUUGCUAUAGUUUUGUUCAUUUAGUAUCAAGUACCUAGCCAUGAUUUUGAUCGAGCCGGGACACAUUUAAAAUCAAACAUGACUCGUGAUAAGUCCUCAUUUGGGAAAUUGUAUUUUGGGCUCCAUAAACUCCAAAUGGGAGUUUGCUACUUGUACAAUUGUGCUCCUUAUAGAGUGCGUCUAUAUGAUUGAAACUCUAUUUAAAAUAUAAUACAUUUCUAAAAAUUUAGAUAGCAAUAUAUAACAUUACAACUAUAAUAUUCAUUGAUAAUAAAUUUACUUAUUACAAUGGUUCUCCGUGAAAAUUCAUCAAUGAGAUUUUAUGAGUUGAAAAUAAUACAUUAUCAAUAUAAGCAAAAAUAUAUUUUUCAAUAUACAAGACUAGGUUAUUACUUAAUUUACUCUUAAAAUCUUUUAAUAAUAACAAAAAUAUUCAUAUAUUGCAACACACAUAACAAAUAUGAACUGCAUGAUAAAAUUAUAAAUUUUAAAACUAGACAAAAGAUUAAUUAGAAAAUUAAAAAUUAGAAUUAGGUAGACUUACAACUUAUGGUUCAGUGUUGAAAAACUAAAUAAUUGAUUUUACUUGAAUAAAAAAUAAAAAGAUUAAAGACUGGUCCAUUAACCAUUAUACUAACAUUUUGUUAUGAUUGUUUUUUAUUUUAAUAUUUGUUCUCGUGUCUUUAAUCAAGUUUCAUGAAAAUGUUAAUAACUAAUUAAAUCAUUUAUAAUUAGAAAUUUAAACUAGGGACAGUAUGAAAUAUUUUAAAAUUAUUGGAGUCAAUUUUAAAUUUUACAAUUCAACUGGAGCAUUUUUCAUAAAUAGCAAAUAAAAUACAAUUUUUUAGUAUAAUUAUCAAAAAAAAAAUUAAAAGCCAGCUGGGGCCUGUGCCCCACCUUGUCCCAUGGUAGCUCCGUCCCUGUUUAGUAUUGCUCAUUUAAACAAAAAAAAAAAAAAGGAAGAUGAACUUUAGGUUUGUCACAGCAUGAUGAUAUUACAAAGUUUUAAAAAUAUUAGAACGUGGGUUAUUGUAUUUGAAGCAGCUGUGCGAUGGUAGAGUCCGGAUAUCUGAACUUAGAAUUGAUUAAAAUUUAUCCAAAAAUAAAAUAAAAAAAGUUAUAAAGAUGAAAAAAGUUGAUGUAAAGUUUUGCAAAGCUAUGGCUCGCUCACUUGGAAUUUUGAAAGAAUGAUGAGACAAUUGAGUAUUAGAAAGUGAAAGUCUCAACAAAUUUGUAAAAUUUGGUAGCUUUUGGUAAAUUUGAUUAAAAGAUAUGCUAAAUACUGAAUUGAAUAUAAUUAAGUGAAACAUAAUAAUUCGAUUUAUGUUUUGUUUUAUUUUUCUAGCUUUAAUAUGUUCACGUAGUGAUAUCUUGUAAAAUUUCUAAACCAACCUACCGCCGAUAAAUGAUGAAGCCAUGAUUUAUGAAUGUCUUUGCUGAUAAUAGCUAUCAUCAUUACUCAUUAUGUCAACACUUCAUGAAAAUACGUAACCAAUUACAAGUCUCCACGUAUUAAACUUGUUAUUAACUAAAAUGUUUUCAAAGAUUAAAUAAACUAAAUGACAUUCCAAGAAUCAGGCAAAAUGGUAUCAUACAUGAAAUUUCGAAAUUAGGAAUCUAUCGCCAAUAACAAAUUGAUUAUUUAUUUUAUUUAUGAACGUUUUUAGUCGACCAAAUUGGAAAAGAAACAAAAUUGCUGUCUAUAAUUUUUUAAAGAAAGACAUAAUCUAUCUAUUUGGUAUCAAAUCACGUAAGUCCUUUGCCAUAAUAUUACAAGAGUACACUUGUAAUAUAGAUUUUUGUAGUCAUAAAUUACAUGCACAAUGAAAUUUGAAACAUAAGAAUAAGAGAGAAAAUGGUCUAAAACAAUAGGGAAAAAAAGUACACAUACUUCACUGUUGUAUAUAAAUAUUGAUAUUCCAAAAUAUAAUUACCCCAGAAUAGUGGAAAGGAAAGAGAAGAAUAUUUGAUUUACAUAAGGAAAUCAAUUUUAGAGUUGUAAAAAACCCACAAGGAGGAAGUCUAAAUGCAUGAGAACAAACCUAAAUGAGGACUCACCCAAUUCAGAAGCCUCUUAUUCACACUUUUUUUUUUUUUUUUGCAUAACUUGAUCUUUAGAAUAAUGUUUUGGGCACACCUUUAUGUCUUUUUUUUUUCAAUAUUCUUUGCCAUUAUUUUGUAUCUAUGCUAUUACCAUUCGUUAUAUUCAUUGUUUUCCUUGUUUAUUUAUAAUUAUUUUACUCAUUAUUCAAACAUAUAUGUGAAUUUUUCAUACACACAACCAACAAAGAAUUAACACCCUUAAAUAUGAGUAACAUCAUAAAAUAGAAUGACAUGUAGCACUAUUUAUGUGGCACAGUGGCAGUGUGAGUCCACUCAAAUUACAACAUUUUACCAUUGUUAGAAUACAAUCUCGCAUCAUGGACCUAUUUGACGCAACUCAGAAAACUAUGAACUUAUCGGAAAAUUACAAAAAUGGUAGGGGCCAGGUGUAAUUACAAAUAAAACAAAACCAAAAAGAAAAAUAGUGGUUCGCGUCAUGCUGUCCUGGUCCUCAUUCGAAGAAAGUGGGCCCACGAACGCGUAGUCAACGGUUGUCAACACGUAAUCACCACGAUGUUUAAAAUCAAAUCAAACGGUGGUGAUUACGAUGAAACCAAAGGUGGGAAAGAGAUCAAAGACGUUAAGGAUUCAAAAAUUUAAAAAGAUGUUAAAAUAAUACAAACAAAAAAAACUCAACUGUAUACAUACACCACCAAGGAUUCUCGCGCACUCUGGACUCUCUCUCUCUCUCAUUCCUCCGCCUCUUUCUCUUUGACCAAACGCCGUCGUUCCGCACUCUCUCUGGCGCGUCGCAAAUUUCACAAACCCUAACCCUAAAGUUUUUAUUUUUUUGUUUUGUUGCUUUUCUAUCUGAUCGCUCUCUCUGUCACGUGACGUGGUCACUGAUCACCGAUAGCGACCUCGCAAAAAAAGGUAAGGUACCUGCUUGCCGCUUGCUAAUUGCUAUCUAUGUAAUCUCGAAAUAUGUGUCGGUGAUUAUUUGGAUUUAUUUAUUUUGAUUUUAAUACUUGAAAUAUUUAAUCAAAUAUUUGGUUUUUAUUUGGUUUUAUUGUUUAUACGGUUGUUUUAGAAGGGAUGAAUUUGAACUCUGUGAAUGGAGAAAUGGAAGGGGAAAGGGGGGAUGAUGGCCUUAAGGAGCCUUUAUUACUGCAGCAUGUAAAUGGUGUUGCAAUUGAUAUCCCACCACAACAACAGUUUAGUUAUGAUGGGAGUAAGAAAUUGAGGACGGUGAAGUUCAAAAUUAGGGAGAUCAAAUGUGCUUCUUGUGCAACGUCUAUUGAAUCCGUGCUGUCGAACCUCAAUGGGGUUGAGAGUGCUGUGGUGUCACCCCUUGAAGGCCAAGCUGUCGUUAAAUUUAUUCCCGGGCUUAUUACCGUAAGUGCUCUUCAGGAACUUGCUUGAUUUUGGAUUACGUUGUUUUCCUGUUAGAGUUAUUUCAACAUAUGCACACGGCACACAUGAAGAGAGUUCGUAAAUUCAUGUACCUUGUAAAUGCUUGUGCUUGAGCUCUUUAGCUUGUUCUGUUUCUCAUUAUUAUUAACAUACAUCUUUUACAGAAAUGAAUUUAAUAUUUGCCUACUCUAUCUAGUAUCUAUAGUUAAAAAAUGGAAUUAUUUACAAUUAACUACUAUUUUAGGCAAAACGAAUUAAGGAAACUGUAGAAGAAGCAGGAUUUCCAGUUGAUGAUUUCCCUGAACAAGACAUAGCAGUAUGCCGCCUCAGGAUUAAAGGAAUGAUGUGCACCAGCUGCUCUGAAUCUGUAGAACGUGCCAUUGAAAUGGUUGAUGGAGUUAAAAAGGCUGUGGUUGGUGUAGCUCUUGAAGAAGCAAAGGUCCACUUUGAUCCAAAUCUCACUGACACAGAUCACAUUGUUGAAGCAAUAGAAGAUGCUGGCUUUGGGGCCGACCUAAUAAGCUCAGGGAAGGAUGUAAACAAAGUUCAUCUAAAACUUGAAGGAUUGAACUCAUCUGAAGAUGCUACUUUUGUUCAAAACUUUCUUGAGUCAACUCAAGGUGUAAGUCAGGUUGAAAUAGACCUGUCAGAACAUAAGGUGACAGUUAGCUACGACCCAAACCUCACAGGUCCGAGAUCCAUUAUACAGUACCUUGAAGAAGCCUCUCACGGCCCUAAUAUUUAUCAUGCAAGCUUAUAUACCCCUCCAAAACGAAGAGAAACAGAGCGGCUGAAAGAAACUCAGAUGUACAGGAAUCGAUUUUUUAUUAGCUGCCUCUUUUCAGUUCCUGUCCUUUUAUUUUCCAUGGUACUUCCAAUGAUUCCUACUUAUGGUAACUGGUUAGACUACAAGGUUCACAACAUGCUCACUAUUGGGAUGCUUUUAAGAUGGAUCCUUUGCACGCCAGUGCAGUUCAUUGUGGGCCAAAGGUACUGAGUCUAACUUUUAUCUCAUCUUCUCUUCAUGUUUACUGCUGCGUGCGACAACCUAGGCAUUUGAAUUUUCGAAGAAUUUUUAUGAGAUAAUUUAUGAGAUCGCUUGAUUGUAUUUUUCAGGUUCUAUGUGGGAGCAUAUCAUGCAUUGCGACGAAGGUCAGCUAAUAUGGACGUUCUGGUCGCAUUAGGCACUAAUGCUGCUUAUUUUUACUCUGUAUACAUUGCUGUAAAAGCAUUGACUUCCAAUACAUUUGAAGGGCAAGAUUUCUUUGAGACUAGUGCCAUGUUAAUAUCCUUUAUCCUCUUAGGGAAGUAUUUGGAGGUUGUGGCAAAAGGGAAGACUUCGGAUGCUUUAGCAAAGCUGACAGACCUUGCUCCUGAUACUGCACAUCUCUUAACAUUAGAUGGUGAGGGAAAUGUAAUUUCAGAAAUGGAUAUUAACACUCAACUGAUGCAGAAGAAUGAUAUAAUUAAGAUUCUUCCGGGAGAAAAGGUUCCAGUUGAUGGGGUUGUUACAGAUGGUCAAAGCUAUGUGAAUGAAAGUAUGAUCACAGGAGAGGCUAAGCCCAUUGCUAAAGGUCCUGGGGACAAGGUACUAACCAUUUUUCUUUUACAUUUUAAUGUAUGUGGCAUUUUAAUAUGUAAAGUGAAGGUUCUUUUAAUGUAAUCAACAGGUUAUUGGUGGGACCAUGAACGAGAAUGGAUGCUUACAGGUUAAGGCCACUCAUGUUGGGUCAGAAACUGCACUUUCCCAAAUUGUUCAACUUGUGGAAGCUGCUCAGCUUGCCAGAGCACCAGUUCAGAAAUUAGCUGAUCAGAUCUCAAGGUUUUUUGUUCCUAUGGUGAGUUCGUCUGUUUCUAUAUACAUUAUACUUUAAACAGUAUUUGUCCAGAUUUAGUGGAGGACAACAUUAUUUUGUUGGGAUUGCAACUAGAUAACAUUUCGAGAGAAAGAAGAGCUAACAACAAGUAAAUUAAUAAAUAUAAUAUUUUAUGGGGUAACUUGAAGAGGAUUUAUUUGAAUAUAUCAAAUGAUUAUCAGAAAUCAAAUUUUUGUUUUAUAUGUAUAUGGUUUGUUUCAGUAUGAUCUUAUUAGUGUCACAUUCCCUAGAACGUAAGUAAAAUGCCUCGGUUAGAGGGGAAUUAUUGCUUUUAUGUUUUGUAAAAGGUGACAAAUUCCUCAUCCACUAGUUCAUUAGAGUGCUAUAAGUGUGCAGUACAUAUUUUAUUGUUCCAAUGACACCUUCUCUCACUGGUAUAUGAUUUCUUUAGUUAGAGAACAAAUGACUAGACCCUUAGUAAGGGCUGCAAAAAGAAUCCAUACCGCAUGUCAACUGCUCAUGUUUCGGUCAAGCUUAUUCAUGAACUAAAUGAUCCAAAGUAUAACUUGGCAUUAGCUCAAUUGGCAAGAAAAUAAGCUUGAACAUACCCAUGCAUGACUUGAUUUGUUUGUGAGGAUGGAUAUAUACCUUGUAACAUUUAACCCAAAAUAAAUAUGUUAAGAGAGAAGAGUUUUACUUCAUGUUUAGCAAAAAUUAUUUAUCAAUGGUAUUAAAAAAUUUCCUUUUAACAUAUCACACUGUAAGAACAUCGAAUGUUAUUAUAGAAGGCAUGUACUUAAGUGAGAAUUGUUCAUUCUCUGCCUCAUAGAAGUAGUAAGCUUGUCAACAAGCAUAAACCUGUUAAAAGUUCCAAUGAGUCUUAUUGAAUAGAAAGUUGACCUUGAUUUGGAUCUCAGUUAGAGGCAAAGGAAUCUACCAUUAAUUGUGCUCUGGUGCAUGGAUCUUUUACAGCCUGUGCAUGGCACUUGGUCAAUAAAACAAUCAUUUUGUUUUUACCUCAUCUCAGGUUGUUGCUGCAGCAUUCAUAACAUGGCUGGGAUGGUUUAUCCCUGGAGUGGCUGGGCUUUACCCUAAACAUUGGAUACCAAAAGUCAUGGAUGAGUUUGAGCUUGCACUGCAGUUUGGCAUUUCAGUAUUGGUUGUUGCUUGUCCAUGUGCUCUAGGACUGGCAACCCCUACUGCUGUCAUGGUUGCUACAGGGAAGGGUGCUUCUCUAGGUGUGCUCAUUAAGGGUGGAAAUGCACUUGAAAAGGCACACAAGGUAUGGUCUUUAUCCCCUUGUAAACAACUAAGGCUGAGUAACUUGAGUUUGGGGUUGAUGUACAAAAUUUCGCUAUACUCUGGGUGUAUUAAGCAAGUUGCCUUUGCUGCACACACAUGUACACGUGCGCUCAAGACAUGUAAGCGUGCAAAUAUUUGCCCAUCAUCUUUUGUGAAAUAGAUCUAGAUUUUCUGGUUUCAUUGAUCUCAUAUGAUCAAAUAAUUAAAUAAAAUAGCCUAUGGACAUUUUUAAUCUGAUUAAUUCCUGCUUCAUCUACAGACUAUAUUAGAGUAUAUUUUGAUAUUGUGAUUUGUGAGUCUCCAUUUGAAUGUCACAUUUUCCUUGAAACAAAUAGAAUUUAAGUUUUUAUUAUUUUGAAUAUUUUACUAGAAAAUAGCUCUUUCUUCCAGUGCAGUCAUGUUACAGUAAGCAUAAAUAGCCUUACUUGACUAUGUCAUACUGUCAUCAUUAUCACAGACAAGUUUCUUUUUCCUUUUUUUUUGGUUUUGUUUUGGGGUUUAAUAGCUGACAAAGUAUAAUGGUUAUAGUCAUCUAUAAGCAUUAUUUCUCUUUUUUAUGGUUUUUGGACAUGAUAUAAGUUGAACCUCUGGUCAUGGGAAAUUUGAUUAAUGCCCUCAUUACUGCUAAGUGACUAUAUUGAUUGCAUUUCUUUUAAUUCUGCAGGUAAAGACAGUUGUCUUUGAUAAGACGGGGACUCUGACAGUUGGAAAGCCUGAGGUAGUCAGUGCGGUGCUGUUUUCCCACUUUUCCAUGGAGGAGUUCUGUGACAUGGCUACUGCAGCAGAGGUAGAUAUUAAUAAUUAGUAUGAUACUCUGAUUAAUCUGCAACCUGUCUGGGGUUGAAUACUAACAGUGUUCUUGACCUUAGUUCCAAUAGUUUUUGAAAACAAUCCCAAUGCCCUUCUUAACCCAAUACUUGGCAAGAAACUUGCAAUACAAUGCAGGCAAACAUUAUAUGUAUACAGGCCCUGUUCAUAAAAAAAUUGAAUUUUGCUUUGGUGUAUGUGCUUGUACGAAUCUGAUUACACACUUUUUUUUUUCCCCUCUUUACAAAAUGUUCAGGCAAAUAGUGAGCACCCAAUAGCAAAAGCUGUGGUGGAGCAUGCAAAGAAGCUGCGGCAGAAACUUGGCUCUCCUACCGAACAUGCCAGUGAGGCUAAGGACUUUGAGGUGCACACUGGAGCUGGGGUCAGCGGAAAAGUUGGUGACAGAACAGUUUUGGUUGGGAACAAAAGGCUCAUGAUGGCUUUUCAUGUUCCCGUUGGUCCUGAGGUUGAUGACUAUAUGAUGAAAAAUGAGCAACUGGCCAGGACAUGUGUAUUAGUUGCUAUUGACGGAAGGGUUGCUGGAGCUUUUGCUGUAACUGAUCCCGUGAAGCCAGAGGCUCAAAUUGUUGUAUCCUCUCUCCGCUCAAUGGAAAUCUCAAGCAUCAUGGUGACUGGUGAUAAUUGGGCUACAGCGAAUGCCAUCGCAAAAGAGGUUGGAAUAGGAAAGGUUUUUGCUGAAACAGAUCCAGUGGGAAAAGCUAAUAAGAUAAAAGAACUGCAGGUAAGCCUAUUCUAUACAUGGACAAUGGUGCACUAGAAAAUGCUGUUUCUGUUUGUGUCAUGUUGAGUCAGUGAGGCAACAUUUUAGUAACUUGUCUUUUUGAAUUUACAAUGGAUGCAGUUGAAAGGAAUGACUGUUGCUAUGGUGGGAGACGGAAUAAAUGACUCACCAGCAUUAGUUGCAGCUGAUGUUGGGAUGGCAAUUGGUGCUGGAACUGACGUAGCUAUAGAAGCAGCUGAUAUAGUUCUCAUUAAAAGCAGCUUGGAAGAUGUAGUUACUGCCAUAGAUCUUUCCAGAAAGACCAUCUCUCGAAUUCGACUCAAUUAUGUGUGGGCACUUGGCUAUAAUGUACUUGCCGUGCCUAUCGCUGCUGGAAUUCUAUACCCCUUCACAGGAAUCCGUUUGCCACCCUGGCUUGCCGGGGCUUGUAUGGCUGCUUCAUCACUUAGUGUGCUUUGUUCUUCUCUUUUAUUGCAGUCUUAUAAGAAGCCUUUGCACAUUAAGGACUCAAAAGACAGCUCACUUGACUAGUUUAAACUUGAACUGUACCUUCCAUGGUUCUCAUUAUUGUGCUGAUAAGUAUGCGUAUAUGCUUUUAUGCCAAGAAAAAAUAAAACCAUUUUGUUUCUUUCCCCUCUCUAGAUGUGUUUUUGUACCUUAAUAUUUCUCCUCUUCGUAUCCGUUUUUGUGACUGUUAGUUCAAAAUUUGAAACCCUAAUUUGGGUUUGAAUCUUAGCGAUGGUGGUAUCUAAGUUUGGGUGCUUUUGUUCAAGUGAUCCUAUGAUUAACUUGAGAAAAAUGCAUCCAAAUAAAUUACACUGUAUAAAAAGAACAAUAAGUGAAAGAGGUAAACAGUGAAAUCCCAACAAGCAGAAGCCGCUCGGGACUUUUUCAAGAAGCUGCAGCAUAAAUAGAUUUCUCUUGUUUUUUGAGUUGCUGGGAACUAGAAAGCUGCUACUUUUGGGGGAUGAUUAGUCCACGACUGUCUCCUAUCUUAUUAUAUAGUCCCCAAAAUAAUGCCAAAACGAAAAUGUCUCCCACUAGUACACUCAAAGCCGUCUGAAAAAAUUAAGCUCUUACAUCAACUCUAUUCAUAAAUAUGAGUUGCUUGUUGUGGAUUAAAAUAGGAAAGUAUCUAACAUGUAUGUAAAUAAUACAGAUGAUAAGAAGUUCAAGGAUCAUUGUGAUAUCAGUCAAGAAAAUGGAGACAAAACUUGGUGAGAGCUUCGAUUGCUAUCACGUUUAAUAUCUCAAUUGAUUUCUGAAUGUAUUUGAUCACAAAUGGUAAUCAAUGUGCAUUUAACAAUGCAUUCUUUGUAUUAUAAGAUGUUAUGCGAAUGAUAUCUUAUAAAUUGAUUAGUGUGAUACAAAAUUCAUAAUAUAUUGAAAAAUGUGUAAUACAUCUAUUAUAAGUUAUGUGGUUACUUUUACAAUUCACUUCUUAAAGUUAUUAAAUAAAUCACACAUUAUUUUUAUUAAAAAGGAUGAAUAGAUAUAUCUCAUAACGUUACUAAACUUAUUAUAAUUUCAAAUUUUUUUUUAACUAGUAAUAAAUUUCUCACCAUAAUAUUUGGUUUCCAAUAUUAAAUUUACAUGCAAGUUGUGAAUAUUAAACAAACAAAAAAUCAAAAGCAUCGUAUCUUACAAUCUUAACUCCAUCAAAUAGUGAAAUUUUAUUAUCUUUCUAAUUAGCUUACAACUCAUCAAUGCAUAUCGUAAUUUCAGAGUAUUUUAGUUGAUGAACACUCUCAAAUAAAGAUUUUCUUAAGUUAUAUUUAUUGUAACUAAAAAUUAAAAUUUAUAAAUAUAAAACUAAGCAAUAAAAUAACAGGACCAGAUGAAUGAGUGAAUAAUUAUAUUAAAUUUAAUGAGACCUUACUGUCUAAAAAAUAGUGUGGUUGUAAAUAAUAAUGUAGUAGUCCCAUAUAAUAUUAAGGGUUAAUUUUGUCCUGCCCCCAACUGUUUCAACAUUUUUCGCCACACACCCAUAUGUUUCGAAAAUACUCACUCCACACCCAAUUCCGUUAAUUUGAUCGUUAUGUUUAACGGAGCUAUUUAAAAUUUAAAUAAAUGUCCAAAAUACCCCUUAUCUUGAAUUAGAGAAAAAUAACAUGAGAUAAAAUAUUAAUUUAAUAAUUAAUGUUUACAUUAAAAAAAUUUAUUUAAAGGUAAUUAAUAAUAAUUUCAUCAAUUAAAUUAUCAAAUAAAUUUAAUUUAUCAUCAUCAAAUAAUAUUUAGGAUAUGAAUUUUCAAAUUUACCCUUUGACCGUUAGAAUAAACGGUCAAAUUAACGGAAUUGGGUGUGGAGUGAAUAUUUUCGAAACAUAUGGGUGUGUGGUGAAAAAUGUUGAAACAGUUGGGUGCAGGACAAAAUUAUCCCUAAUAUUAAUAUUAAUCUGGUUGCAAUAUUUGUGUAAAUUAAAAAAAAAAGGUACACGUGUCCUUUUCAUUAGGCAUGAAAAAGCAUCUCAUGCGUGGAAGCCGAUUCCGCCAUGAGUACUGACUUGCUAUUCACUUUAACAAUUUUCAUUUGCACAGUGGCAUCUCCUAGAAAAUUGAAGUCCCCUGCAGCUUCCGUAAUUGUCUCUCAACGGCGAACAACAUCUCAACACGUCUCCUCUCUUUCUUACUUCCAUGUCUUUUAUCUUGUACCAACACAUAAAGUCUCACUCUUUUUUUAUUUUUUUUGUUAAUCAGUCUCUCUCUUUCUCUGACUAAACAUCUGAGUUCUUGAGUCUUGAUCCCCUCCAAAAGGUAAGCUCCGAUCAUCUCUUCUUUCAUUUUGGAUCAUGUUGUUAGGAUCAUUCAAUUUGAUCAAAAGGGUUUCUUUUUCUUCAUACAAGUAUGUGUAUGUGUUUUCGUUGGAGAUUUUUGAGUUUUGUGAGUGAAUAGGAUGGUGGUUAAAAGCUAAGAGAAGACGCUUGAAAUGUUGAUAAGUUAAAUUAAAUGUUAUUGGAUUUUCAAUUUCCUAGCUGCCCUUUUGUUUGGCCGCCGAGAAAAUGGAAUGAAAAUUAAGGAAGAUUGGAUUUUGGGAUUUUUUGGUUUCUGGCUUUUUCUGUCUAUUUAUGGAAUGAUGAAGAAUUCUGGGUUUUUAUUCGUUUUGGCGGUUAUGUUUCUAAUAAUGGAAGGUUCUGUUUUCUUUAAGCUCAGUCAACUGGUUGUGUCAGGUAUUUAGAUAGGCUCUGUGAAGUAGAAAAGAAUUAUUGGUAUCUUGAUAAUUGUAAUGAUUGAGAGUUGAAAUUUUUGGUUCCUGUUGAGAACAAAUUGAGAGUUUGUUCUUGUGAUUUUGGUCUGUUUUGGAAUGGAUAAUUCUUCAGGUUUGGGAGGCAGGUUUUUGUCGGGUCAAAAUGUGGGGUUAUUGGACCUUGAAUCAUCAAUUCCCAGAAACCAACAAAACCAGCUGGGCCAUCCAUCUUUUAGCCGGCCGCAUCAAAUGAAUAUGAUGCAUGGUCUUGAAAAUGAUCACCACCACAUCGGGCUACUGGAAGUGAAAGGGUCAAGCAGGAAAGGAUUACCGAUGAAUUUUGGUAGAGGGAAGAUGGUCAGUCCAAUCAAUGCCUCAAAUAAUGGCAAUACAAGUGAAGAAGAUGAACCCAGUUAUACAGAUGAAGGAAAUGGUGAAAACUCCAAUGGAGGAAGGGAUAAAAAGGGAUCUAUGUGGCACAGAAUGAAAUGGACAGAUAAUGUGGUUAGGCUUCUUAUAGCUGCUGUUGCUUGUGUGGGGGAUGAUGGUACGAUUGAUGGUGUAGAGGGGCUUAAGAGGAAAUCUGGAAUUUUACAAAAGAAGGGCAAGUGGAAAACAGUUUCAAAGAUAAUGAUUAGUAGGGGUUGUCAAGUUUCACCACAGCAGUGUGAGGAUAAGUUUAACGACUUGAAUAAGAGGUACAAGAAGUUGAAUGAUAUUCUCGGUAAGGGAUUAACUUGUCAAGUGGUGGAGAAUCCUGCUCUUAUAGACACAAUGUCAUGCUCACACCUCUCAGCAAAGGCAAAGGAUGAUGUGAGAAAAAUUCUGGGCUCAAAACACUUGUUUUAUAAAGAAAUGUUUGCUUAUCAUAAUGGGAAAAAGAUCCCAAAUUGCCAUGACAUUGAUCUACAAGGUUGUUCUGUACCUUCAGACAGGUCUCCAAAAGGUAACGACGAGUCAGAGGAGGAAGAAGCCGACCGGAACAACGACACUGAUGAUGAUGAGUCAGAUAAUGAAGAUGAUCGUAAUGAUGACGAGGAUGAGGGGAGAAUGGCUGAGAUUGGCGAGAGAGGGAAGGGGAAUGAAGAAGAUGGCCAUUCAUGGCCGCAAUCUGCUGGCCGGAGUGUCUUUGAGAUGGAAAUGGCUAGGAUUUUUCAAGACCCCUCGAAGUCAAUGUGGGAGAGAAGGGAGUGGAUUAAGAAGCAGAAGUUGGCACUUCAGAAUCAAAGAGUCAGCAUUCAGGCUCAAGCUUUUGAACUUGAGAAACAACACUUAAAGUGGCUAAGAUAUUGCAGCAAGAAAGACCGGGAACUGGAGAGGUCAAGGUUGGAGAAUGAGAGGAUAAGAUUAGAUAAUGAACAAAUGAUAUUGCACCUGAAACAGAAACAAUUUGAGUUAGAUUUAAGGAAGACAGAAGUAUCCUUAGAACCCACUUCUCUUGGAAACAGGGAUAGGGAUAGAGAUCAAAUUGAUGAUUUGGGCAGGCAUCAAUAAUAUGUCCUCUGCUAAAGCCUGGAGAUCUGAAGGUUUGUGGCAGGCACCAUGGUGUACUUUGUCUAAUAAUUCUGCACAAAAAAAUUUUAACUGCUUAGUCACACUAACCUUGUUCGUCAUUGGUAUUUCUUUACAUUAACAUGCACGGUACUUGUAAGUCGUUUUUUGAGCUUUUGAUGAAGUUUAAGAAUUAAGCAUUAGCAUUUUACCCUGUACCUCUUUGAUGUCCAGAUUAUGCGAUAGAUAACUCUUAUGUCUAUCUAUGGUUUAAUAGGCCUUCAGUUAAUCAACCACCUGUCCGGCAAUACCUUCUUAGGUUUUGGAAGGGAGGAAAAAAAAAAAAAAGGUCUAUGCUCCAACAAUGAUGUUGGAGAGUAUGGAAUCACUACCACACAGAUAAAAUUUUUUCGAGUUUUGUGUUCAUUUGUCAAUUUUAGUAUUGAAGGUUUCAAGAUGUUAUAUAUAAUUAAUUGUAUGUAUAUUAGCUAAUCCCGGGAUUAUAUACAGUAUUAGCUUAUUUCAUCAUGCAACUAUUAUGGAUGAGAAAAUUUGAUGAGCAUUCUAAUGGAGGUGGUAUAAUCGUUUUCUUGGAAAUAUCAUUGUAAACAUCUAUCUUUAGCAUUUUUUUUUUCAAACCCCAUAUAUGGAUGUUCAGUGGUUCACGCGUAUUAUAUAUUUGUAUUAAAAUCAAGGGAUAAUUUUGUCCUGCACCCAACUGUUUCAACAUAUUUCACCACACACCCAUAUGUUUCGAAAAUACUCACUCCACACCCAAUUCCGUUAAUUUGACCGUUUAUUCUAACGGUCAAAGGGCAAAUUUGGAAAUUCAUAUCCUAAAUAUUAUUUGAUGAUGAUAAAUUAAAUUUAUUUGAUAAUUUAAUUGAUGAAAUUAUUAUUAAUUACCUUUAAAUAAAUUUUUUUAAUGUAAACAUUAAUUAUUAAAUUAAUAUUUUAUCUCAUUUUAUUUUUCUCUAAUUCAAGAUAAGGGGUAUUUUGGACAUUUACUUAAAUUUCAAAUAGCUCCGUUAAACAUAACGGUCAAAUUAACGGAAUUGGGUGUCAUUAAUUAUUAAAUUAAACAUAUGGGUGUGUGGCGAAAAAUGUUGAAACAGUUGGGGGCAGGACAAAAUUAACCCUAAAAUCAAUGGUGAAUCCUUCACUCAUGAUAAAUUAAGUGUCAAAGUUGUACUCUCCAAAAAGUAUGGGCCAAUUCAAAUUUCAAAUGGAGAAAUUUCCAAGCGAAAAUUAAAUGUUUCCAUUCUUAAUCAAAAUGUUGAAAAGUUUUCCAUUCUUAUUCGAAAUGUCCAAAUAACUAACUUUCUAAAUAAUUUUGUUCAGCCAAAUCUCCAUCUCUGCAUACUUUUCUCCGUCAAAAACUAAUACCACACAUGCAAUGACAAAUAAAUAAUAUGAUUAACAGAGCAAAAGAAAACGAAAACAGCAACCCAAUAAAUAAAAAGAAAAUAAAAGUAAAAAUUUUAGUAUUUUUCAUUUUCAUGCAACCAAUCAUAUUACUUCAAAUCAAUGUACAUGCAGCAAAAAUUUUGUCGAUGAAAUAAAAUUAGCCAAUCCUGCCUAAAGUAUCUUUCCCAAUCACAUCAUGCCACCUCAUACAAGCCGCGUAUCUCAAAAACACUUGCUAUAAAGAAUCCAUGCAGAGAUCAAUGCCUCUUUUAAGUUCUCUUCCAUCUCAUAUUUUUCUCUUCACAGAACCAAAAGCUCUCUCAGCCCCUAAGAUUAUCAAAGAGCCUUUUUAGCCAAAAGGGUAUUUUAUUUUGUUCAUUUUCGUUUUUAUUUUCUAUUAUUAUUUGACUCUAUAUUUAGUUCAUUGCAUUGGCCGAAUCGCUUGGUCUAUUUGUGAAUUGUGAUGUGUAUUUCACAUAAAAUUGUUCUGGUCUUGCUUUUAUUUCGGGCCUUUUUUUUUGUUAUUUUUUAUUCAACACCUUCUUUGAUUUUAUUAUAAACCCACUUUCAAGCUUCUCCUUCAUAUCUCUCUUUGCUCAUUAGUUUCCUAAGACCUUUUCUCUUCUUUCUUGUAUAUUUUUUUUUUCAGGUCAGCUUGAUUCAUUUAUGCCUGCAAAGAUUUAUAUUUAUGUCUAUUUUAUAGUUAAUUUUUGAAAUAUGCUAGUUUAUAUAUGUUUCUUGAGAUUUUCUAAUAUUGAAAAUUUGUACAAAGCUAAAUACUCGAUUGCAAAAUGCAUAACAUUUCAUGUCUAUAGCAAACUGAAAACUGAAAGAACAAAUGUCACUUAUACAAUGAUUGGUGCAAAUAAAUAGUUGUAAAUUAUUUUUGGUGCAAAUAUGUUUUAUGGGUUCGUACUGGAUCAAGAUUCUAUGGAGGAUUUGAUUUGGUCUUUCAGAUUUAAGUUCUGAUCUUAAUCUUAAUGAUUAUUAGAUUUUUAAAUGAUACGGUAGCAAUUUGAUUAUCUCUUGAUAUGUCAUCUGCCACAUGAAUUUAGAGUAGUGUACUUGAAACUUCUGUGACGUGUUUGAGAUUCUUGUUUUGUGACAUGAAAUUAUCUCUGUCCUUCAGUUUAAAGCAUUCUUGAUCAUUCUGCUUACAGCUCUCGUAAUUUUCAAUUUUUUUUUUCCCUGCAUGUUGACGGUUUAUAUUUUGGAAGCAGUAAUAAUGGCUGAGAGUCACCAGCAACCAUCAGUUAUGCAUAAGGUAACAGGACAGCUCUAUCUCAAAUCCACUCUUAGCCAAGACAUUGUUCAAAAUCGGUAUGCCGGUUUCCAAAAUCCUGCUGCUCUGCCUCAGAGGCAUUUUGCCUAUGGCAACUACUCCAAUGCAGCAUUUCAGUACCCGUUAGCACAAACGUGCCGCGCCUCCUCUGAUCUGUCACUUAUCGCCUCAACUGCGUCGCCUGUGUUUGUACAAGCCCCGUCAGAGAAAGGCUUUGCUGGCUUUGCCGUUGAUUUUCUCAUGGGUGGAGUUUCUGCAGCAGUAUCCAAAACUGCCGCUGCUCCUAUUGAACGCGUUAAGCUCUUGAUCCAAAACCAAGAUGAAAUGAUCAAGGCUGGCAGGCUCUCUGAACCCUAUAAGGGAAUUGGCGAUUGCUUUGGCCGUACAAUUAAGGAUGAAGGGUUUGCUUCAUUGUGGAGAGGGAACACAGCCAAUGUCAUUCGUUAUUUCCCCACUCAGGUUUUUGUCAAGUGUUUGAUACAAUUGUAUUUGUAUCAUCAUUUUGCUUCGUUGCGUUUGCUUAUGUUGUUAUAUUUGUUAUUGCUUCUUUAGGCCUUGAACUUUGCAUUCAAGGAUUACUUCAAGAGAUUGUUUAACUUCAAGAAGGAUCGCGAUGGUUACUGGAAAUGGUUUGCUGGCAACUUGGCAUCUGGUGGUGCUGCUGGUGCCUCUUCUCUGUUCUUUGUCUACUCCUUGGAUUAUGCGCGAACUCGCCUUGCUAAUGAUGCCAAGGCCGCAAAGCACGGAGGGGAGAGACAAUUCAAUGGCUUGAUUGAUGUCUACAGAAAGACUUUGAAAACAGAUGGUAUUGCGGGGCUUUACCGCGGAUUUAACAUCUCAUGCGUUGGCAUCAUUGUGUAUCGUGGUCUGUACUUUGGCAUGUAUGAUUCUUUGAAGCCUGUGAUCCUCACCGGAAAGUUACAGGUUAGUGUAAAAAUCAUUUAGUUACAUGGCACUUGGUGGACUAAUUGAACUGUCAAAUGUUUGACAUAAAUUUUGGAAAUGUGAUUGCAGGAUAGCUUCUUUGCUAGCUUUGCUCUUGGUUGGGUUAUCACCAAUGGUGCUGGCCUUGCCUCGUAUCCCAUUGACACCGUUCGCAGAAGAAUGAUGAUGACAUCUGGUGAAGCCGUGAAGUACAACAGCUCACUUGAUGCAUUCUCUCAGAUUCUCAAGAAUGAGGGAGCAAAAUCACUCUUCAAGGGUGCCGGUGCAAACAUUCUUCGAGCCAUUGCUGGUGCCGGUGUGCUUGCAGGCUAUGACAAGCUUCAGAUGAUUGUCUUGGGAAAGAAGUAUGGUUCCGGGGGAGCCUAAUUGGUAUGAUAAUGAUGUUGAUGAAAAUCUUGAGAUUCAUUCAUUUUGAGAAUUCUUCAUUCAAGGGAUUCAUUUUCCCAUACAUUGUUGCUUUUACUAAUGAUUUUUUUUCUCCUUUGCCAUAAUUGUGAUGGUUGAAACAGUUGUAAUCUCAAUUCAUCAAUUUUUCCAGGUUUUUAUUACAUGUUUAGAUCAAUUGAUCCUUCACUUACCCAUUUCUUUUUAUGCCCACAUAUUGGUAUAUGACGAUAAAUAAGGCUCUAAAUUUUUGUAAAACAUCCUCAAUUGCAUCAAUAAUUGAUAUAAUAUUUCCUUGUGAAUGACAAAAGAGGUAAAUAACUUUAAGUUAGACUUACAUUUUAGAUACGAAAGCACGAUGAGCUGAGAUGAAAAUACAAAUAAUUAAUUUAAUUUUUUAAUUUAAUCUAAAAAUAAAAAAGAUCAACAAAUGUCCAUAAUAAUAAUUGUUAUAAAUAAAUAUACAAAAUUUAUUUUAAUAAAUAAAUAAAAUGAAAUAAAAAUUUAAAAAAAGAGAGAAAAUCCAAAGCCAAGCAUUCAAAACAUAAAUAAUCAGCAAGUAACGCUCUUUCCCGCCAAACGACAUAAAAAACACGCACGAAACACAAAAAUCUGAUGAACAUUUUCAAUGCCAUCAAUCUCAAAUUGAUUAAAGGCCCUCUUUUAAACCCUCUUCGUUACUUGCUAUGCUUUCUUCACACUCGCUCUCUUUCUCCUCACAAAGAGGAACCUACAAAUUGGAACACGACCCACGUAUUUGUUCUUCAAAACCCAGUUCUAUUUUUACUAGAACAAUGCAAAUCUUUAUCCCAAUUGAAGCAAAUCCAAUCCCAAAUGACCAUCACUGGCUUGAUCUCACAUGGGUUUGCUCCAAGUCGCCUUAUUGCGUUUUGUGCAAUAUCUGAGUCAAAGAAUCUUGAUUAUUGUACAAAGAUUUUGUUUAAUGUACAAAACCCUAAUUCGUUUUCUUGGAAUGUAGCUAUUAGAGGGUUUUUAGAGACUGGAAAGAUGAGAGAAGCUGUUGAUUUGUAUAAGCAAAUGUUGAGAAAUGGUGGGACUAGGCCUGAUAAUUUUACUUACCCUUUGUUGUUCAAAGUUUGUGCUAGUUUGGGAUUGAGGUUUUUAGGUUAUGAGAUUUUCGGGCAUGUUUUGAAGCUGGGUUUUGAUGUGGAUAUGUAUGUGCAUAAUGCUGUGAUUCAUGUGUUUGUUUCGUGUGGAGAUUUGGGGUUGGCAUGCAAUGUGUUUGAUGAAAGUUGUGUGAGAAAUUUGGUUUCUUGGAAUUCUUUGAUUAACGGGUUUGUUAGGAGUGGGUUUCCAAGAGAAGCUAUUAGGCUCUUUCGAGAUAUGCAAUUGGAGAGAGUCGAACCGGAUGAGGUGACGAUGAUUGGGAUGGUUUCGGCAUGUGCUCAACUAGAGGAUUUGAAUCUUGGGAGAGAGAUUCAUUGGUAUAUUUCUGAAAGUGGGUUGACUUUGACUGUUCCACUCGCAAAUGCGCUCAUGGAUAUGUAUGUGAAGUGUGGGAAACUUGAGUCAGCCGAAGAAAUAUUUGAUAGCAUGGUGAACAAAACGGUUGUGUCAUGUACCACAAUGAUUGUGGGAUAUGCCAAAUUUGGGUUUUUGGAUAUAGCUAGGAAGAUUUUUGAUGACUUGCCAGAGAAGUAUGUUGUGCCAUGGAAUGCCAUAAUCGGAGGUUAUGUCCAAGCCAAGCGUAGCAAGGAGGCUUUGGCUUUGUUUCAUGAAAUGCAAGCUACUGGCAUAAAGCCAGAUGCAGUGACCACGGUUCAUUGCCUAUCUGCUUGCUCACAACUUGGAGCCCUCGAUGAUGGAAUAUGGAUUCACCGUUUUAUUGAAAAAGAAAAUUUUAAUUUGAAUGUUGUGUUAGGAACUGCAUUAGUUGACAUGUAUGCCAAGUGUGGGAACAUCGCAAAGGCCCUCCAGGUUUUUCAUGAGAUGCCUGAAAGAAAUUCUUUAACCUAUACUGCCAUUAUUGGGGGCUUAGCCCUUCACGGGAAAGCGCUUGAUGCCAUAUCUUACUUCUCUGAAAUGAUUGGUGUUGGGUUGAUGCCAGAUGAGAUCACUUUUCUUGGGAUUUUAUCAGCUUGUUGUCAUGGAGGGUUGGUAGAUGAGGGUCGUAAGUAUUUUGCCCAAAUGAGCUCCAUAUUCAGAUUGUCCCCUAAGCUUAAACACUACUCAUGCAUGGUGGAUCUUCUAGGUAGGUCUGGUCUAUUGGAAGAGGCUGAACAGCUUAUCAGAAGCAUGCCAAUGGCAGCAGAUGUUGUGGUGUGGGGUGCAUUGUUUUUUGCAUGUCGCCUGCAUGGAAAUGUUUCAAUUGGAGAAAGAGCUGCUAUGAAGCUUCUUGAGUUAGAUCCUCAAGAUAGUGGAAUUUAUGUAUUGCUUGCUAAUAUGUAUAGGGAUUCAAAUAUGUGGGAGGAGGCUGGGAAGGUAAGAAAAAUGAUGGAGGAGAGAGGUGUGGAGAAGACUCCCGGUUGUAGCUCGAUUGAGGUUAACGGCCUUUUGUAUGAAUUUAUUGUUAGAGACAAAUCCCACCCUGAAUUGGAACAGAUUUAUGACUGUUUAGUUCAGUUAACAAGACACUUUUGAGUUUUCUGAAUAUAUCUCUGAUGUUCCUCCCUAUGGAGAUGAGUUUCUCUCAAGCUUAGAGCUUGAAAACCAAUUGUCUGCCUUACAUUGCCUGUGAAAGCUGUAAUUGCUCAGCAUGAUUUACAGUGGAAACUGCCUCUCUCGUAUGGGAAAAUGGUUAGUGCCGAUAACGAGGCAGCUUUCAUCAAAAUCAGGAAAGACCAAGCAAAGCGAGAGAAGAAAGAGGACUAUUUAUCCUGGUGGGAUCCAUACUCUUUGGGAGUUCUGUGUUCAUCAAUUUUUAUUAGCUGGUGCAAGUUGCCUAGGUUUUCUAGUUGUCAACCACAAAACUUUAAAAGGCCUUGCAAUGGUAAUAAUCAAGAUGGUUCACAUAUGAAGCUGCUUUAGUAACAAAGAGCUUGUAGAUGUCACUCAUGGAUUCUAGGAAGAACUAAGAAGGGGCGCCUUUGGCACUGUUUACAAAAUGUUCUUGGAAAUGGGGUAUCAUAAUCUUGUUCCAGUAAAGAGGUUAUAGUGUAUUUCAAGAUAAUGAGAAGGAAUGCAAGUUUAAGUGAACAUAACUAGCCAAACACAUCACAAGAAUGUGGUUCAAGUUCUGGUAGUGUAUUUACCCUGCAGACUCGCAACCGAAUUGAAUUUGAGGAUUGAAAUUGAGAUGCGAAUUGCCAGACGUCUUUUGUGCAGAGUGCAGCACCCAAAUCAUCCAUUGUGAUACAAAGCUUCAAAACAUACUUCUUAAUAAUCAUUACACUGCCUGUAUAUCUGACUAUGGUUUCGCAAAACUUCUGAUGAUGGAUCAGAACCAUACUAUUACUGCCAUCUGAGAAACAAAAGGAUACGUUGCGCCCGAAUGGUUCAGGAAAAUGCCAUUCACAUUGAAGGUCGACGUAUACGGUCUUGGUGUUUUGCUUAUAGAGAUCAUUUUACUCCAGAGAAGUGCAGAUAAUCAAAUCAGCACAGUGGAUAAAGCAAUUCUUACUGAUUAGGCUUGUGACUGCCAUCAGGAAAACACUGUAGGUGCUCCGGAUGAAAAUGACUCGGAGGCCAAAAUUGACAUGAAUAUGCUGCAAGGGUUUGUAAUGAUUGCCUUAUGGUGCAUUCAAGAAAGGUUAUACAGAUGCUCGAGGAAGUUGUUGGGGUACUCAUUCCCCCAUGCCCGUGGCUAUUUAACUUCACAGCCACUCUAAUGUAGUGUCUCCUAUGAACUAGAUCUUCCUGUUAAAACUAUUGGGUUUGUUUUUUUGAAUACUGAUUACACAUCAGAUUACUGCAUUACACAGAUAUUUACAACAACUGCUAUUAUAGCAGAUAUAUUACACUGAUAUUUACAAUCAGAUAUACAUGAUUGGGACUUACAUUAUUACAUUGAAUUAUACAUGAUUGGGAUUACACAGAUAUUUACAACAACUGCUAUUAUAGCAGAUAUAUUACACUGAUAUUUACAAUCAGAUAUACAUGAUUGGGACUUACAUUAUUACAUUGAAUUUUGUGAAGUACAUGCCCAGACAAAUAACUCCUCACAAAGGAGGGAUGUCCAUACUCCACUCGCAUUUCGCAAGAGAUAAUGAUUUAUAAAUAUUAAGAACAUUUAACCCCCACAAAAGCGGCUUGAACCGCUGCCCCCACAAUGCUUGUGAGGGCAGCAGCCCACCACUUCGAAUUAUAUGCCUGUGUGUUGACAGCCCCCCACAAUGCUUGUUGUUACUGCUAUGUUGCUACUAAAAGACCUCAACAAAUAAAUGUAGCGUGCCUAGUUGAUCAAAUUAUAUGCCUCAUAGUAUGUUGAUAAGUCCAAUUCCCAGACGGUCUAUGGAUCCAAAUAUAUUAGGGGCAGCCCCAGUCCCAUAACUUCUUCAAGGGACGGUAAGGUUGCAGUCUUUGGAUUCAGUUCACAUUUCCCAACCACUAAAGCUUAGCAACUGUUGUUGUCCGGAUUUGGAAUCUCAUUGAGUUUUCAUGUGUCUUGAGUAUAUUUAACUUAAUGGUAUUACAAUUUCUUCUUCACCUAUGUAAGCAGAGUUUAAACUCCAAACUUCUUAUUUUCAAUACGAGAUUUUAUCACACGAAAUACCAUUAUGUAUAAAUUUAAAUAGAAAUGGUCUUUUACUAACUUAGAAUUAAAAAAAAAAAAAAAUGAUGUAUUAGUAGCUUUUUCUAUUCACACGAAAAAGAAAAUCAAAGUGUGUAUUCAAAAAAUAAACUUGAAAAAUGAUUUCAAGACCUCAUAAUUUUAGAAGCCUCUGAGUAGCACGCGGGUCUCGACUCUUGAGCUUAUGAUGACAGCCAGACACGUAAUGUCGCUCUGGUCUUUUAGUUGAUGUCAAGCAAUCGAACAAUAGCGAGAGCCCAAAAGUGGCUCCAAAAUUUACUGAGUCGAUGUCAAGUGAUCAAACUGUGACUAUUAAUUAGUCCACAGCAGUCAGCAGGUAAGAUUCUCUCGUUGUUCCAGAAUUCCUGGAUCCGAUGAUCAAAUGGGUGAGACUAUCGCACAUUCGCCGGUUAAUAACAUUUUUGUUAUUGAUGACAAUGUUUUCAUUCUAUAUAUGAUAAAAGAAACUAAUGAUCCGUAGCAAGAUCGAUGGUGGGUGGUUUUGUGUCAUUGUGCACCCAACAAUAGAUGAUCCAUGGUGGAUGAUGAUGAUGAUGAUGAGAGUCCUAGUAAUGGAACUUAGCCGCAAAAACUAUAAGUUUAUAACUUUUAAAAGGAGUAAAGACAAGGAGGAAGGAAUACGAGGGAGGGGUCAUGAUAGGUGCUUGCUUGCACGCCAGGUUUUUAGUUUGAAUUGAUUCUCAUGAAUAAUGAUCAAUUUUAAUUAUCCAUGUUCAUUCAUGCUUUGCUUUGCUGGUUGCUUGCUUGCUUGCUUGUCAUUUCAUUCUCCUUCUCACAUGGCUGACAGCCUUUUGCCCUUUAUAGCCCCCAGAAAGCACACUGAUUGCAUCAGCUAUGGCAUACACAUAGGCUUAGCUUAAAAUCAUUGGACCAAACAAAAUUAUGGGGAUGUCCAAAACCACUUUUUGGCUAUGUCGGGUCUUGUAGGUCUGCUUUUUUUGUUUCUCAAUAUUUUUUUUUUCAAUAAAAUACUCCACUUUUUUAAUGGGUUAUUUUUGUUCGGCUGUUCUGGAAAAUUUUGUCUCUGAAACUAUUUUAGGUCGGAAUAAUAGUUGUUCUAAAUCUUUAAAAGCAUGAAAAAUUCAUCCCUUACUUCUACUUACACAUGAAAUGAAUUGAAUUGAAGUUCUUUUCAUAUGUCUUGAAAGAGAAAAUGGGUUGUCACUCCCUCGUAUAGAAGAUUCUAAAUAAAAAAUUUAAUGUUCUUAGUUUCUAAAACAAAAACAAAAAUAACUAUCAUCACAUGUGAAAUGAUUAUGUCACACACUAAUUAAUAGCCCACGUUUGUACAUUGUAAUAAUUUUCUACUAAAUUAUAGCCCACGAGAAUUGAUUUUAUUUAACCACUGUUUAAUUAACAUGAUUAAAAACUCUUCAUCUUAUCCUUAAGAUGAAGAAUUCGAGUCUUCCUAAUGCUUCAUAUCCCAACAAAACAAAAUAGAUUGUAUUUGAUCAUUGUUGUUAUGUAUUAUAGAUAAUAUCAAAACCCAUCUAAGCCAAUUUUUCCCUUUUAAUAAAUGUGUUAUUGUAGAUUGAUUCUAAUCCAAACCAAUCUCAACUGACACCAACUUCUUUUUGAUGGGUUCAGGUGGGUUUGGUGAUCUUUUUGCCAAUAUCACAUGCUUCAUUUUCCCAUCACAACUCAACCACUAACUCUAACCCUAACCACAAUUUCUAGUAUUUGGUUCUAAAUUUAUAUGGCCAUGGCUUAAAUAUUUAUUAGCCUAUAUUUCUAAAUCUUGUAUUUUUUUUUCCAGUUUGUUUAAUGAUUGAAUGGUUAGAUUUUGAUUCUAUUAUGACUGAGUAAUUAUAUAUCCAACCCUACGUAUUGAUUCAAAUAGUAGAGAUACAUUCUCUUUUGGUAAUGAUAUGUUUGAAUGUUGAGAUAAAUUGGGGUCAAAUUGAAAUCAAACAUUAUAACAUAAUUAAAAAGAAAAAGUAUCAAUUCCAUUGUUUAGUUGAAAAACUAAGACUUCCUAAUUUUUAAUUGUAAAUAUUUCAAGGAGUGAUGUAAUAAAAAUUAACCCUAAUCAUCUACCAAAAAAAAUCUUAAAAAGAAGUUAUAUUUCGAGUAGUAUGAUUCUUUUAUCAUGAUAUUUAAAUUGAAGUUUCCUUAUUUUUUUCUUGAUUUAAAGUCAAAAUGUAAAUUAAUAAGAGUUUGGGAAAUUGAAAAUGCAAAAAUAAUAGGCCUCACAGAAGAAUUUUGUAUUUAAGAUAGUCCUAAAUGUGCAAAGUCAACAUAAAUAAACUAUAAAAAAUUAACUUUAAUCCAAUAAAUUACAGUAUUAAUUAAUUAGGUCAAGACUCAAGGGCUUGACUGAAAUUUUUGGCAAAAAUUAAAUGAAGAAUGAAUUGUUUCAGUUAAUGAUAUUUAUUAUUAUACAUAAAUACAAAAGGUUCCAUACAUGUGACCAAUUAUACAAUUUACAGCUACUGGUAUUGGUUUGGUCACCUAUAAUAUACACUCAAGCAGCUCACCUGCAGUACACAUGUUAACACGCGGUUGGGUUAGGUGAAUAUUCAUAUAAAAUAGUUUUCCUUUAUUAAAUUAUAGUCAUUUUCCUUGUCCAAUUUGGUUUCCAAUUCGUUUUCUUUUUAAAUGAUAGAACUAUUUUGAUUAAAGGAGGCAAAUUAAUCCCUUUUUUCACAUAAAAUAGUCUUAAUUUUUUUUUUAAAUCAAAGGUAGAGAAUAGACAAUACUCCAAUAAAUUAUUUAACCAACACUUAUACAGAGUUCGAACAUGAUUGAACAAUAAAAAAACUACUUGUUCAUGUCCCUUGCGACAUAAUAUUUUUUUAAAAAUAAGUUUCUCAUGAAACUAAUUCGUAGCAUUUUUAAUUCAAAAAAGCUUUUGAAGGCGAAUAUUUUAUGAAAAAUGAAAUAUUUUUACAGUUUUAAUUUUUUUUAAAAAAGAAUACAAUAAGAUAGAUAAUAAACAAUAGAGAUCCGGACUUAAUUGAGUGGAUUUCAAUUUCAUAUAAAUUUCUUUACCAAGCUACCUAAGUUCAAAUCCAUUAAUCUAUAUAUAUAUAUAUAUAUAUAUAUAUUAANNNNNNNNNNNNNNNNNNNNNNNNNNNNNNNNNNNNNNNNNNNNNNNNNNNNNNNNNNNNNNNNNNNNNNNNNNNNNNNNNNNNNNNNNNNNNNNNNNNNNNNNNNNNNNNNNNNNNNNNNNNNNNNNNNNNNNNNNNNNNNNNNNNNNNNNNNNNNNNNNNNNNNNNNNNNNNNNNNNNNNNNNNNNNNNNNNNNNNNNNNNNNNNNNNNNNNNNNNNNNNNNNNNNNNNNNNNNNNNNNNNNNNNNNNNNNNNNNNNNNNNNNNNNNNNNNNNNNNNNNNNNNNNNNNNNNNNNNNNNNNNNNNNNNNNNNNNNNNNNNNNNNNNNNNNNNNNNNNNNNNNNNNNNNNNNNNNNNNNUUAUCUUAAAAAAAAAAAAAAAAGUAGAAACAACAGAAUAAACUAUAAAGGUACCUACCUAUCCAACUUUUAAAACCGGUGGGCUAAAGCGUAUUUUCCUGCAAAAUAUAGGGACAAAAUAGAUAUUAUGCCACACUGAUUUAUAUUAUCCUAUAGCGCGAGACACGCAAUCAUUUCUCAUCCAACGGGGUUCGCGUGUCCUUUAGGCCACUGCACAAAGCGCCACACUUAAUAAAAUUACGAAAAGAAAAAAGAAAAUUUUAAAAAAAUAAAAAAAUAACAAAAGCUGAGAAGCAGCAGCCAUUCGCUUCUAAAGCCAUCAGUGAGCUCUUCAGAAGUUAACCAGUGUCGGUUCUUUCUCUUUAUUUUCCAAAGAAUCUCUCUUUAUUUUAAUUUCUUUUCAUUUUUUUAAUGAGUUUUUUAAGAUAUUUUACCAAAUAUAUCAACUAGGCCCCUAACCUGAAUGGCUAAAUUACUUUUUUAAUAUCGUAUUUUAACUGUAUAAAUGUAAACUGUAUCGUGUUCUGUUGGCUCUGACCCAAAAACUUAACUACUUAAGACUCAAUGACUCAUUUAUGCUCUGUACUAAGUUUGUUAUUGUGCCCCAUUUUUUAAAUUGUCAAAUUCAUUUGAAUUUUUUAUUUAUUGAAAUUACUGUUAUAUCCCUCAAUUUCAUGACUCCAAAUAACUGACACAUUUAUUUGUUUGAUUCAUGCUACCUUGUGUAGUGUCUACCGUCUAAACUCUAAAAUACGAGCUUGAUUAUUGUUUUAACACUUACUUUUUAGUCAUUUCUAUAUCGGUUUUUUGGACCUAUUUGAUAAAAAUGAAAAUAUUAUUCCUUAUAUGCGAAAUGGAAAAACUGUAGGGACUCAUUAUAUUUCUUCAUUAAUUAAUUGUUUAUAUAUAUUGACUGUGUUCCAUUUAUCGCCCUCUUGAUCCAUUGGUCCAUUGUUUUAUCUCUCUCUCUCUCCCUCUCUCCUUUACAUUUUCCCGAGAAAAUUUCUCACUCACCGAAAGCGAAAUUUUCUCGGCGUGGAUUUUGUUUCAUUUGACUCUUAUAACUUCUGGAGUUCCGAAUUUGUGCAAAUGAGGUACUUGAACUGUUCAUUUUCUGUUUGGCUUUGAGAAAAAAAAUUGAGAUAAUGAGAUCUCUUUCAUUUCAGAUGCUAAGAUAAGAGCAAAAACUCACAUUAAGUAAACCUAAAUUGUGUUUGUUUUGAACUUCUCUUGUUUCUUUUACUUUCCUUGCAUUUUCUCGGCUACCAAACUUAAGAUUAGUUUUCUGUUAUGGAUUCUAAAAGUGAAAAAAAAAGUCAGCUUAAUUAGUCAAAAUUUUAAUUUUUUUUAACUUCUUUAAUUUAUUUUCUUUCAUUUUCUCGAGAACCAAACAGGAUAAGUCUUUUGAUGAUCAUUAUGUGCUAAAUUGCUGAGAUUUGUUAAAUCAAUGUCUUAAGCAAUGCAAGAUGGAUAAACUUCUGUGAUUUUGUAAUGCUGUAGUGUUGAAGUUUAGUCGUAUAAUAAGCUUCUGGAAUUUACAUUAAUUUUUUUUUUUGGACAUUUCUUUUGCAGGUCGGAAACUAAUUGAAAAACAAUUGAUUGAUGUCCGAAUUCGUGUUUUGAGCAAAUCUCAACUAUUAAAUCUGUGAAAGAUCAGGUUUUUACAUUCAAUAUUCUGUUUAUUUUUUCACCUUUAGUGUAAUUGUGUUAUUUUUGUAACUGUUAAUUUGAUGCUUCCUGCAGUUGGUGGUUUAGAAAUGAGUUGGAAUCCGCAUAUUGAGGUUCAUUACUAUAACACCAGCUAUCCUUACAACAGUGCUGGAAGCUUUAUGGAAUAUUUUGAAGGUCUUACAUAUGAACAUGUUAAUUUCAUUUUUGAUGGUGCUUCGCAUGUUCAGGUACCAUUUUUAUGAUGAUCACUGAUUUUUAUUUUUGUAAACAUGGUCGGAAUGAUUAAUGAUACUGUUUCAUUUGCUUUGAAAAGUAACUAGAUCCAACUUUUGUAAAUUUGUGCUGUUAGUUGAUAAGGGUUGUUACGUUUUCUUAAUGUAGAUGUGUAAGAAAGCACCGCUUAUUUGAAUGAAUGGUUUGGACUAUUUGUAUUGUUACAAUAUUAAAAAUUUAAAAUUGUGUUAGUUGAAAAGGUGUUUUUCUUGUCUUGUGCAGGAGAGUGUUUACCCCUCGACACAUACGAGUUUUUACAAGUUCGGAUUAUCUGAUUACGGAAGUAAUUCAUAUUAUGACUAUGGUCAUCCUUAUGAGGUCAAUUAUCAUGAGCCACGGAAUGAUGAAUACAGAAGGCCGUCAGAGAACACUUCUAGAUCAAACAAUGAGCAGACUGCAGCUGUAAAUGCAGUACCGGAAAGAAAUAUGAAUACUACCACACGUGAGAGCCCCAUAGAAUGUAAGUUGUGAGGUUCAUUCUGGUGUGAAGUUUCAGAUAGGAUAAUCUGUUUUCUCCUAUAGUCCAUGGGGCCUGUUAAUUGUAGAAGAUUUUUCUUUUUGAAUGACUAUGUUCAGGCGUUCAUACCAAUUAAUUGUAUAUAUUAAAAGCGAGAAGAUAUUAACUGAGUGUAUAAAAUCACUGCAUGAGGUAGUUCUCUCCAAAAUAGUAGUAUGCUGUCCCGAUAUUUAACAAAUGAUUUGUGUGUGUAAAGAAUUAAACCCCAAGAUUGGGGUCCAGUCAUGAGUCACAAUGACACAACCCAUGAAGGACUUCUAUACAACUGACCCCGAGAGAACAGAAGAAAAUGUAACCUUAAGACCUUGACCAAGGACUUAGUAGGCUUUGCUAAGGGAGAAAUCCUCAAAGAAUGUCUAUUGCUCACUAAAUCAUACUUAAUGCUGGUAUAGCUUUUUAGUGAGAUUGAUCACUUUUAAAACCUUUGAACUAUUAUUGCAUUUUUUAUUUUUCUAGAUCAUCAUGUUUUUCUUUCGUGCUUUUUCUACACUUCAAAUGGAGUUCUUGAAAGUGCAACUUUGAAAAACAUCAAAUUUUAAGCUUUCAUGCAUUUACUUUUUAUGCAUUUAAGAAUCAAUCUUUGUGCUGCUGAUCUUUUGCUGAAACAUUCUAGUUUAAUUGGAACUAGAAAGAAAUAGCAGCAGCUUUAAAGUUGUUUUGCCAUUUCUUUUAUCAACAAUCUUAAUUGCUUUCCGCUACUGAGAAGGAAGCUGGCAGAAAGUAAUUUGUUUAGCCAAUUUCUUUUGUUCAGGGAUAAAGGAUUUGUUGAGUUUGUUUUAACUUAAGUUGUUUUUGCCCACUUGUUUGGUGGUAUUUUUUGUAUUUUAAAAUUACUUAUCUCCUAUGUGGAUGACUUUUUCCCUCAGCACUUACUUUCUCUUUUCAGGUCCACGGAGACAUCAAAAUACUCAUGAACAUCAGGUAUGUAGCAUGUUAAUGGUCUCAGUUGAAUACAAGCUGUUGAUGCAUGAUCUGAAUUUACAAAUUUCCUCGAAUUUCUAGCUUGAAGAGUCAUUUUCCUUCUUUUACCCCCUCCCUCGGCAGACCUUCAUGUUGAUAUCAAAAUGGUUGUUCAAUGUCCACGUAGGUGCUUCUCUAAUUAGAAGGAGAGGUUAGGAAUUAUAAGGCGAGCACUUUCCAAGAAGCCUCUUGUUUCUUUCCAGUCCACUUAGUAGAGUAGGCUGUACUUAUUCUGAUAUAACAUAAUAAUCCAUUCUUUUUGAUUGUUGAUUUUGCGUGGCCGUAUAAUAAAACAAAAAUUCGACUAAAAUCUAGCAUAUCUUAUCAGAUGACCUUUUGGUUGCUAAUGUGUAAAAUUAAUACCUCUUUAAGAAUUUAGUGUGCAAGUAGGAAUAGGGUUGUUCGAGUUGGUUGAUUGGAUUGUGAAAUAACUUCUAGUUGGUUGAUUGGAUUGUGAAAUAACUUUUGUUUAAUACUGUUUUUGGAAACCCUUGCAAUGAUUAAUAAAUAACCAUGCAUGGAAUCUGUUAAUGAGCCUUUAAUUUUUCCACUAAUUGCAAAUAUGCUUUGUUUCCCUAUCUAAGUGAAAUUUUAAGUCAUAAUAACAUAAACCUGCAUAGAUGCAUGUUUGUGUGCCUAUAUAUGCAUGUAUCUAUGAUUUGAUUAUAUUAAAAUAAUGAAUAUGUUUUAUAUACAUUUCUAGCAAGUGUGCACCUUAUCUUGCUCUAGCAAGUGUGCACCUUAUCUUGCAUAGGCAUACAUCUUUGCAUUACACCUAGGCUUGAGGAGAGUUUUGCGUCAUAACAUGUUUCUUGACAUUGAUUGCAAUUGACAUGGAUAGCAAAAUUAAUCAAUAUGCCUUGAAUCCUUGGUUUUCUAUUGCUUGUAGCAUACAUUUUUGGAGAUAUUAUAUGUUGAGUCUUUUUAUUUUAGAUUAGAAAGACUGAAUGAUACUUGGAAAUAGAUUCUGGAGGUUAGUUAAAUCCCUUUUACUCUAUCUGAACCAUGCAGGUGGUUUGGCAAGACAAUAUUGAUCCUGACCAGAUGACUUAUGAGGUAAGUGGUUUCUAUAAUUUUUCCUUGUUUACAGGUGGCUGUCCUUAUAGAUGUUGCACCCAGAACUUUCAUGAUUUUUCAACCAUUUUUGGUUUUCCUGUCAUUCUACAGUUAAUUUAUCUGCCUUGGGCAGAGCAUCUUGUUAUUAUUAGAAUUAGAAAUUUGCUGUAAGCAUCCCAAUUGCACUAUAGCUGAUUUAUUUUAUCAUUUUGCUUAGUGCCACGUAUUUCUUUCUUGAAGCACUUUUGAUCAUGCUGACCAGAUUGUUUUAUGCCCUGGAUUGUUGGCUGAAAUAGUUCCCUAACUCGUUGCAUCCUGAAUAGAAUUAGCUAGAUCCGUAGCUUGCACCAAUUUAUAUGCCAACCAGCAAAAGUGCUUAGGAGGACAUCAGUACUUGUCUGCAAUUAACAUGAUCAGCCAUAUUGUAUUUUGUUUUUUGAUUUACUUGUGCUCCCAUAUUUCCUAUUUAUGGAAGGCUGUAGUUCUCCUGGAGAUAAUUAUAUGUGUUAAUUAUAUAAUAUAUACAGUUUUCUUUUAUAAAAUAAAUUCUCCAUGUUGACUGAUUCUUCAAGUUUUAAAGUUUUGGUUUCUGAACUGCAAUCAGUGGUCUCUAGUUAAACCAAUUUUAAUUGUCUCUGAUGUGAGGCAUUGGUCCCUCUGAAGUUGAUCAUUGUGCACAUUUGUCCAUGAAAAUUUAGCUUAUUACUUUAUUUAUGUUACACCUAGUAAUUUUGUUCUGGAUAGUUGCUCAUGACUAGGUUUAUCCUGUGCAGGAAUUACUUGAGUUAGGUGAGACAGUUGGGACUCAAAGUCGUGGUCUUUCCCAAGAACUUAUAAGUCUGCUUCCCAUCUCGAAAUACAAGUGCGGCUUCUUUACAAGAAAAAGAUCAAGAAAUGAGAGGUAUUAUUUGGCUUUCUUCUUUACAGGUAUCUUGUAAUUUGUGUUGCUCUUGUUUUAAAAUGUGCUAUCCUUUCUAUUUAAUGGCCUUAAUUGAUCUCCUUUUUCUUCCCUGCAUGAUGUAAUAUAUCACUCUUUUGUUUGCAUUUGUUGUAUUUUUACCUGAAUCUUAAACAUUAAAUCAUGCUUUUCUUUAUCCCUCAGUUUGGAGUCACAGGACUUGUUUGGUUCUUUUACAUAAUUAAAUAGAAAACAUGCUUCAAAAUUAAUCUAUUUUCAUUAGCAUCCUAAGAAGGGUGUUGUAUGGAACAUUGAGGGAAGCUUGGACAUGGUACAUGCUAUUCUGGAUAAACAUGUGGAAGGUUAAUUAAGUUUUUGUGAGGUUGCAGAAAUCCUUUAUUCUUAUUAAAUAAUUGGAAUGAAUCUGAAAUCCAUUGGACACCAUACGUGGGCAGAUAAUAGAUGCUAAUGAAGGACAUUUCUACUGAGUUGCCGUGAAAAUUCUUUAAGAAAUUGAUGAUGGGUUUCAAUAUUUUGCAAAAGCUAAUAAUAAAUUGACUUUGGAAUAACUACUGCACUUGUCUCUAUUAUUAUUUUCUUUAGUCAAUUAUUGACUGCAUUCUCAUUUUUCCUUUGUGCGUGUGUAAACCCCCCUCUCUUUCCCUUUCUGUUAUCACGAACCCCAGCCAAAACUAAACUUAUCCCCUUGGAAUUGAACCCUUGACUUCUUGCUUUCAUGCAAGAGGCCAAACCAAUUAUUCUUUGGGCAUUUAUUAUUAUUACAUGCUUUGCUAUUGCUUGUCAAAGUAUCUAACUAUGCGGUGGAUUUUUGGUGCUGACAAAGUCGUUAGUGCAUCAUUGUAACCUUUUUCUUUUUUUUUUUGACCAAGUUUGCAUAUUUCAAUUUCUUAUCUUUGAGUCUAACUUGCCACUUUGAGCUGGAAAUAGAUGUGUGAUCUGCCAAAUGGAAUACAAACGAGGUGACAGGCGCAUGACGCUACCUUGCAAACAUGUCUACCAUGCUGGCUGUGGGACUAGAUGGCUUAGCAUCAACAAGGUAAGCAACUUGACAGUUUCAACUUUCAACCCAAACUCAAAUAUUUGUUUAUCUUUGAUUUCUUACUUGUCCGUAAGGUCACUGAACCGCGUUUUUUAUUUUCUCAGGCUUGCCCAAUUUGUUACACCGAGGUGUUUGGUGAUUCAUCAAAGCACUCAGAAAAUAAUCACCAGAGAACAUAAAGAAGAUGACCCAGAUAACCCUCACUUUUUCUUUUCUUUGUUUCUCAAGUCUGCAUCGUAUAGAGAUGUUUGUUUUUCUUUUCUUUUUUCCUUCUCUCUUUUCACGUAGCAAAAUUGCAUUAGUUUUUGUAAUAAAUGAAGAGUAUGUGCUUCAUCUACGCAAAAUGGAUUUGUAAGUGAGGCCAGAGAUUGUAUAGGGGUUUUUCGCUCUUCCACAUUUUACCGGUACCAUAUGAUUGACUUUUGGUGGUGUUAUUUGUUUUGGUUAUAGAAUUGAGAUUUCGUAUAGAACUUAGGAUUGACCGUGUAUUAAAAAUGACCAAACAGUGAAUUAGGUCUGAUGAUUUGAUAGAUUGGUGUAGAUUUGCUUAUUAAAUUGUUUGAUCAAACCGGUUUUGGUUGACAAAUUGAGUUUAAUGAGAUCGGAUUGUAAUCACGAUAAUUUAUUUUCUUUGUCAAUAAGCGGAAAAAAAAAAGUAGAGAAGUUUUCUUUUGCAGUAGUUGAAAUUUUUCUUAGGCAUUAUGUUUGAUGGUAUUUUUAGACUUUUAUUCACAACAUAGGCGACUUGGUAAGUUUAAAUAGUCAGAUGUGUUUUAAUACUCCUUUAAUAAUAAGAUUAACAGAGUAGACAAAUUUUUUUGUUUUAAUGUGACGUAUUAAUAUAAUGGUAUCCUCAUGUUGUUUUUAUUCUUUUUACAUUUUUAAUCAAUUAAUAAUAUCUUAUCACAUGAGUUUGUAUAAGCAAUUGUGAUUUUAUAACUAUUCUUGAAAUAAUUUUAAUAAUUAUGUCUUAUUUGAAUUUUUACUGUGUAAUAGUAAAAAAAGCUUAGUAAUAAUCUUCAAUUUCACUUUUAAAAUUCUACUUAUCAUCAAUUUGUGAAAAGAGCAAUUGCUGCUAAGUUUUAUUAAACUAAUAAGACCAUUCUUUAUCUUUAAAAUCUAAAAAAUAACAAUAUUGCAAAAUAACAAUGCAAAAGUUUUAACUUCAUACACAUCAAUUUUAAAUGCGUAUAUGAAGGGCGCAACCGCGCAAGUGAAAUGUCAUAGUAGUAGGGACAAAAAAAAAUUUGUUAUCAUUAAGUAGUUACUCACUUUUACGUAGAUUUCUAAGUUAUGCUUAAAAAUUAUGUGAUAAUUAUAGAGAUUCCUUAAGAAGGUUAUAUUCGAUACUCUCCAGUUAUGAUAUAAUUGUAUGGAUUUAAACUUCCUGUACAUUCUAUCAUUAAAUUCAGAAAAUAUAUUCCAAUUUCAAUUGAAGCAUAUGCUAUGUAAGCAGAAAAAAAGAUUCAAUAGGCUCCAAAUUUGCGAUAUAAUUUGUAUGGAUUUAAACUUCUAGUGUACUCUUUUAUCAUUAAAUUAAGAAAACACAGUUUCAACCGAAGCAUGCUCCACGAAGCACGAAUAAGCUUUUGUCAAAACCCAAAUCAACAAGAUUGCUCGCAAAAACACUUUAAAAAAUUUGGGCUACUUGUAUAAUGCAGCGACACCCUAACAACCAUUUUCUGAAACUUUCAAGUUCCAGCUUAGCAAAAGAAAAUGACAAUCAAUACCUUAAGCAUUAUAAAUAAAAAUAAAUUACUCCCAUUAGUUGGAAAAUCUUAGUCUGCGUAGAACUCAACGGAUGAACAAAUUCCAAAAUUUGUCUUUUCAUAGUCUUAUAUAGCUAUCACUGGCCUUAAAUUUACAGCCAAUUUACUUGUAUCACCGACACAGUUGACUAGUCUUUAAAAACACUUAGUUGUAUAAUUUUAAUGCAAAGUUGCUGCCUAACACAAUAUAAUGAUAUAGGAUAUUACCGAUUUGCAAAAAUGGACAUAAUCUUUGUAUACAUUUUCAUACACGUUUAGCAUCCUGAGAAGCUUCAAAGUUUGACAUUCGAGACCUAUUCGUUUGGAAAGCGCUUUCAUGAUAAUAAAAAAAUUGCUGCUGGAUAAGCAAUUUUAACAACUCCUUUAGACUUGUUCAUGUGUUUAUGCGAACAAAUUUGUGAGGAACUUGGUGGGGGAACCAUCUUGCAAAUGGUUGAACAAAAAUGAAAAAAAAAAUAAAGCGUGAGAUUUGGAGACUAUUAUUAUAUCUAUAAUCCAGGCUGUUUUCUUCAUUAAAGAAAUAUUUCAAAGUCACCAAUGAUUAGGAGGAUUAGUAUAUAAAGGGGAUGCAAGUAUGUUUCAUAAACAAGUCACAAAGCACAAUUGCAAGAAAUGGGAGCCUCGGAACAGCCGAGGCAAUGGCCUCUAUUGAUUUCUUCCUUGGCAUUUUUGCUCAUAGCCACUACUGCCACGGCUGCUUAUGAGCCUUACAUUUAUGCCUCACCACCUCCACCGCCUUACUAUUACAAGUCACCACCACCACCAGAAUAUUCUCCACCACCACCUUACUACUACAAAUCUCCACCACCACCUGAGAAGUCUCCCCCGCCACCUUACUACUAUCACUCACCACCUCCUCCUAAGAAGUCACCCCCACCACCUUACUACUAUAAGUCUCCGCCUCCGCCGAAGGAAUAUCCCCCACCACCUUACUACUACAAGUCUCCGCCACCACCGGAGAAGUAUACCCCGCCACCUUACUACUACAAGUCUCCGCCCCCACCCGAGAAGUAUACCCCGCCACCUUACUACUACAAGUCACCGCCCCCUCCGCCACCUUACUACUACAAGUCUCCGCCACCACCGGAGAAGUAUACCCCGCCACCUUACUACUACAAGUCACCGCCCCCACCCGAGAAGUAUACCCCGCCACCUUACUACUACAAGUCACCGCCCCCACCGGAGAAGUAUCCCCCUCCACCUUACUACUACAAGUCACCGCCCCCACCGGAGAAGUAUCCCCCUCCACCUUACUACUACAAGUCACCGCCCCCACCAGAGAAGUAUCCCCCUCCACCUUACUACUACAAGUCACCGCCCCCACCAGAGAAGUAUCCCCCUCCACCUUACUACUACAAGUCACCGCCCCCACCAGAGAAGUAUCCCCCUCCACCUUACUACUACAAGUCACCACCGCCACCAGAGAAGUAUCCCCCUCCACCUUACUACUACAAGUCACCACCGCCACCACCUUAUUAUUAGAAGUCUCCUCCACCUCCCUCUCCAUCUCCACCCCCUCCAUACUACUAUAAGUCGCCACCUCCUCCUUCUCCAUCUCCACCCCCACCGUACUAAUAUUUGUCUCCUCCACCUCCUAAAGGCUACUAAAUAUACAAUGUGUUGUUGAAACAUGUGUGAUCUUAGUUAUGUAAGAAUAAGUGUAAGUUUGUAAGCUUGUUCUAUUUCUGAUUUUUUCUUCAUCAAUGUUUUUGUGAAUAAAAGGAUUUGAGAUGGUAAAUCCAUUUGUAAGAAGUGCUGCUCAUUUUCGUUGUAAAAGUUAUUGUAAGCAAUAAGAUCUCGUAAUUUAAGGUUUCAUAAAAGUUAUAUGUGCAACUACUUUCAAUUUCCAUUGUCAUCUUUUUCACAACCACCAAGCGUAUUACUUCUUUAUAGAUGGAAAAUGCAGAGGCAAGCUUAUUAUUCUUUAAUAUUACCAUUCUUGAUGUGUUUGUUUAUUUAGUUGAAACGGUAAAUAAAAUGUACAUGAAGUACCGCACUGCAUCCAAAUUAAAUUUAGGAUAUAGACUAAGUUCAUGUAAUCUCAAUUUUGUCACAUUAUUAUUGGAUUUUAUAUAAAUAGCUAAUUUCUUUUCCUUCCGAAUUUCGACGGGAAGGAGAAUUUAUUAAGUAAUACAGAGAAGUGCACCUAGUAAUAUUUAAAGAGGAUAUAAUGAGCACUACCUUUCAUGAUGAUAAUGCCCAUGAACAAGUAAGAGAAGCUUAGAGUUUUAUUCCUACUCAAAUCAGAUUCUACGGAGGAGUUAUAUUCGUACCUUUUUAACGCUUUACAUAUAUGAUUAGAGAAUUAUGAGGACAUAAAUUCCGCUAUAAAUUUGUUGUUAUAUUUAGAGGAGUUUACAUGACUGGAGAAUUAUACACACAUAAAUUCUUUGAUGUCCAUUUUAAAUUAUAUUCCAAAAGGGAAAAUGUUUUCCGUUUAUGGUUUAAAAAUAGAAGCUUUGUGCUUUUUUUUUUUAAAAAAAAAAUCUAGAUCAUUCAGUGAAUAUUGGUUGUUAAUUUACUGCCAAAAUACUCGUAAGUUUAUUUAUUUAUUCUGUAAUGCAACUUUUGGGAUACAUAAUAAUCAUAUAAAUAAAUAAACUAUAUUGUAAUAUAUUUCAAUUAACUUGUUGACUUGUAUGAAAAGAGCGUGUCAUUACCUUUUAUGCCUAAUUAAAUUUACAAUUUUAGUCCCUAUGAUUUUUUUUUUUCAAUCAUUAAUUCCAUGCUCUUAUGAGUAGAAACAUAUGUAGAAUUUUGAUAUUUAAGAGUUGGUGGAGUUUCUAUGAUAUUUUGUACCUGUGGCUCAUCAUUUCACCACGGUGGGCAACUUCAUGGAUUUUGUCCUCUAAAAGGUAGCACUCUAACUUAAGAUGCCAUGUUCUUCAGAAAGUUAUCAAAUAGUUGAAUAGUUAUAUUAAGUUUAUUAUUGAUAAGAAUCUUAAUUAACUAGAUAUAGUACUUAAUAUACAAUGUUUUAUUCGUGAAAUUGUUGAACUAUUUUCACCAUUUUUCAAUGUCAUUUUCAGGAUGAGCUAUCAUUUGGAAUUUCAUUUUCUAUGGACUCUCACUUUUUCCCAUAACCACUUUUUUUGUUUAUAUUUUAUCAGAUUAAUUAUUCCUUGUUUGUUUAGAAGGAGCUUUCAUAUUGGAGAAAUACAUUACGUAUCUUAUAAAUCUAUGCAUCUUUACCUUUUUUUUUCCCAAAAUAAUUAAAAAAAAAAAAACCUCACCAAUGACCAAUCCAAUGUUCAAUAUGAAAAGUUUGAAGAAAAAAUGGUGUGAACUAAAACAAAAUAUAUAAUUUUGUCACAAUCCAAGAAAAAAAAAUCAUUAUAAAAUAUAAUUAAGAGGUAGCCACCUUCUCUACAUCAAUUUGUCACAAAACUAUAUCAGUGAGAUAUAUGCAAGACUCACCCAUUGGUACAAAAGAAAAUGAUCAAAGUGGAAGCAAAAAUGUGGUGAUAAUUUAGAUGAUCUCCACUCCCCAUUUAGUUUCAUUUAUUAAGUUAAUGUUUAAUCAAGAGUCUAAUUACUCAUUUUAUUAUGUUAUUAAUCAACUGCCGCCCCUUCCACUGGUUCAUUAUUUUUUAUGGAAUACAAAAAACAGACAAUAAUAUUCUUUGACAUAGCUAGGAAUAUAGCCCACUUGCAAGAGACUUACAUUCCAUCGCUCCCUAAUUUCCCGUGUAACAUCUUAUCUUGCAUCACAUCAGAGACGUGUUCGUUUGCACAGCCAUUUCGUGAAUAUAAAAUUGCUGCCGAAUAAGCAUCUAAUCAAAAGAAUUUGUCAACGGUAUAAAUUAAAAUAUAAAAAACGAGUAAAAGAAUUUGUCAAUAGGAUAUGGGAGGCCAUGGCUUCAAUCGGUUUGUGCAAUGGUCAAUGGCAUAUUUUUGCUCAUCGUCACCACUGAAUCCACUGAUCAUUUGUGCAUGUGAGUUGUUUUUGAGCAUUUAUUUUUCCCUUUAGAAGCAUAAGGAUAAGGCUAGUCUUCUUUUUGGGAGGACUUAUUGCUUCCAUUCGUUAAAAUUGGGCAUGUAAAAUGUCAAGAAAAAAUGGCCUAAGUGGCUAGCUAGAUGAUAUAAUGGAUGGUUACUACUCAAACCUAGCAAUAAAUGAAUGUCCGACAAGCAUUCAAAUGAAUGAAUAAAACCAAUCAGAUUAGAAUAUCUAUUUAUGAUAGAUUAAUGAAAAUACGAUUCAAAUAUAAGGUAAAUAAUCUCUCCAUUAAUUUUUUAUUGUUUCAGGCAGGGUUGCCAAGCCUCUGUCCGGGCUUCUAUAAGCUCAAUUCCAGCUCUCCUAUAUGAUUGAAUUAGAUCGGGCUAGGCCCUCGGACUUUUUAAUUAAAAAAGGUCGAUUUUUAAGUUUAUGAAGUUAAUACACUCACGCUUAUACUUUAAUAUUUUUAUUAUUUGGCUUUUAGAAUAUUAACGUGUAAAUUACUUUUUUUUUUCAAGUGAAAUAAUUAUCACAUUUUGUCUUCUUAGUAUAUAUUUCUACCUUUUUGUUCCUAUAGAUAUUUCCUCAUUUCAUCUUUGGUACUAGAGCGUAGUAAAAAAACACAUGAUUAAAGAUAAAUAUGACAUUUUAACUAACAAAUUAAUUAUUUGUAUCUAAGAUCUAGCUCUAGUGGUAAAGAUCAAUUUUCAUCGAAUUCAAGUCUUGGGUUUGAAUUUAAAUGCAUGGGUAAGUUAAUAAUAAUAAUAAUAAUAAUAAUAAUAAUAAUAAUAUCAAAUUAACUAGCUUUAAUUUGCAAAGGUCUUAGAUAAUCAAUUCGCUUGUAAAAAUAUCAAAAUUUUUUUUAAUCAAUGAAAUUUUCAAGUCUCUAGUUUUAGCACAAGGAAUGAAUUAAAAGAGUAAUGAUAAAUAUUUUACAAUUUUAUCCCAAAUGAUAAGACAUGUCAUGUGUCAUGUAUUAAGUGAUUGAUGAUUUUUUUAUAAAUUUUAAGUGGAUGAAAUAUAUUAUUUCACCAACCAGUAAAUGAAUAUGACAUCAUUUGAGAAGGAAUUUUAUGGUACAAUUUUGAAAUAUUUAUCACUACUCAAUUAUAUACAGUAUAAAAAAUCUAAUAGGGACCAAAAAUAUAAAAACAGAUUAAGAAUAAAAAAUAUAAAAGUCAAUUCCUAAUUAGGAGAAUGAAAGUGUCAUUCCCCUGUAAUCAUUUCACUAGAUAUUAUGUAAAUAUAUUAAGGCAAAAUUUUAAUAGAAAAUUGGUACCCAAACCUAACGUCUUUGACAUUGCUGCCAAGAUCACUCACAACUUACAAGAAUAAAAAAUUGGUAUUAAAUUUAUUAAUGUUCUCAAGGAAUUUUUAGCUUGACUUUACAUUUCUCGGACCCAUUUGUCACAUAACACCUUAGUUCGUUAACAAAGCCCUUUCAUGAGAAUAUUAGAACUGCUGUCGAAUAAGCAUCUUAACAACCCCUUUUUGACAUACAUGCAUGCCUCCUUCUGUGAACAAUUUGAAACAUAAAAUAAAAUUUCAAUCGAUGUGAGGGUUGGAGUAUUUUAUAGCUUUUGACCUCAUUAAUUAUGAGUAAGAGAAUAUUUCUACGUCACUAAUGGUUAAAAUGAUCACUAUAUAAAGGGUAGCAAAGUAUGUUUAACAUCAAGUCAGAAAACACAAUUUUUAGGAAAUGGGAACUCGGGGACAAGCGAGGCAAUGGCCUCAAUUGUUUUGUGCUAUAGCAUUUUUGCUUAUAACCACCACCACCAAGGCAUCGGCUGAUGAUUAUGCCUCAGCACCACCACCAAAGUAUUCUUCUCCACCUCCUUACUACUACAAAUCACCACCUCCUCCUUCUCCCUCUCCACCUCCACCAUAUUAUUACAAGUCUCCCCCACCACCAUCUCCGUCUCCUCCACCACCUUACUACUACAAGUCACCACCACCACCAGUGCAUUCUCCCCCGCCACCUUAUUACUACAAAUCUCCGCCGCCACCAAAGUAUUCUCCCCCGCCACCUUAUUACUACAAAUCUCCACCGCCACCAAAGCAUUCUCCCCCACCACCUUACUACUACAAAUCUCCACCGCCACCAAAGCAUUCUCCUCCACCACCUUACUACUACAAAUCUCCACCACCACCAAAACACACCUUACUAUUAUAAAUCACCACCUCCACCAAUGAAGUCUCCACCUCCGCCAUAUUACUAUAAAUCACCACCACCACCAAAGCAUUCUCCCCCGCCACCUUACUACUACAAGUCUCCACCACCACCAAAACAUUCCCCACCACCACCUUACUACUAUAAGUCACCGCCUCCACCAGUAAAGUCUCCACCACCGCCCCCAAAGCAUUCUCCCCCACCACCUUAUUAUUACAAAUCACCACCUCCACCAGUGAAGUCUCCACCUCCGCCACCUUACUAUAAAUCACCACCACCUCCAAAGCAUUCUCCCCCUCCACCUUACUAUUAUAAAUCACCACCUCCACCAAUGAAGUCUCCACCUCCGCCAUAUUACUAUAAAUCACCACCACCACCAAAGCAUUCUCCCCCGCCACCUUACUAUUAUAGAUCUCCACCACCACCAAAGCAUUCUCCCCCACCACCUUACUACUAUAAGUCACCACCUCCACCGAAGAAAUCCCCACCUCCACCAUAUUAUUAUAAGUCGCCACCACCACCAAAGCAUUCUCCCCCACCUCCUUAUUAUUACAAAUCUCCACCACCACCAAAGUAUUCUCCACCACCACCUUACUAAUACAAAUCUCCACCAACGCUAUCUCUAUCCCCACCUCCAUCUUACAUUUAUAAAUUCCCACCUCCACCAUCUAUAUCACCUCCACCACCACCUCCAUCACUGUCACUAUUGCCUCGCUACUGUUCCAAGUCAUCACCACCUCCUGAAGACUACUAAGUUCAAUGUUCCGUCUUCAAACAAAUUUAAAAUUCAAUAAGAAUAAAUUUGUUCCUUCAGUUGCCUUUUUCAUGAAUUUUUAUGUUAAUGUUUUUACGAAUAAUUUUUAAGAAGCGUUCGGUGUAUCAUUGUCAUGUGCAAUAAAAAUUUUCUAACUUAAUGUACCCAAAAAAAAAUGUUCCACAAGAAAUAUUCUAUUGUUUUAUCACAAAUGUGUUGUGGCACAUGUAAUGCGCCUAGAUAAAGUAAUAUUAUGUCUUGAUGAACAAUCAUGCACAACAAUGAUCAUGUACAUAGUUCUUCCAAUGUCAUGAUAAUGUCCAUGCACAUAAUAACAAACUUCUUCCUUGUAAUAUCAAAGAAAAUGAAUAUACAAGCCUCUUAUUCUCUAAUCAUUCACUCAAACAACAUUGUUUUAAUUUAGGUUUUGAUCAAUCUUAAUGCUCAUAAAUGCUAACUACAAAUCAUAUACAAGAUCAACAAAAACCAUAUUUUAAAUGAAUUAGAAAAACAAACAUUAGACUUAACCAAGUAGUUAACCUUUAUUAUUCUCCUAGGUAGAUUACAAGCUAUCACUGAAAAAAAAAAUCAUCUAAAAUGGUGAACAAAUGCGCUCUAAAUCAGUUGCAUUCAUUUGUUCAGCUAAGCAAUAAAAUAACCCUUUUCCAUUUUAACUUAUAUACUUUGGCAUGGUAACUUUAAAUAACACCCUCAACUUGACAAAUUUUAAUAACCAAAGCGAUCAAUAACUGUAAAUCUUGACAAAAUUUUUUACUUUAGUUAAAGCCAUAAACAUAGUAUUAAAUAAAAUGAAAAAAAAGGCCAUAAACAUAGUGUUGAAAUACCUUUAUACUUGUGAACUAACUUUUGAUGUUGAUUAAGCUCAUGUACCCUCAACUUUUGUAUUAUGAAUAUGCUUAUGCCCUAUCUUAGGUCUCCUCUAUGAACUCCUCCAUGAACCACUUUUUUUUUUUUUUUUAAAAAAUAAAUUCAUUAUGAUACUAAGGUAUAAGCAGAAGUAAAAUUCCUUUAAUAUUAUUGUAAUCAGGAUGUGGCUACCUAGGUGAUACAUGAAUUGGUUAUUUGUACAUUUUACUACAUUUUUUUGAGUUUGCUUGCUAUUUUUCUCUUUGUUCCAAUAAUUCCCACACGAGGAUAAUCUCAUUUUAACAAAGAAAGAUACUACUGAAAUACAACAAAACAUAAAUUCUAAUAUACUAGAAAAUUUUUUUUUCUUUGCCUUUUCAUAUCUUAGAGUUAUGUUUUUAUCCUCUUGUAGUGGCAUAUAUGCAUUUUAACUAGAAUAUUCUUAUUUGAGAAUUAUUAAUAAGAGAGUGGUAGACAAAUGAUACAAAACUAUGCUGCUUCACGAUUAACAACACAUUCAAUCGAGUAACGAUAGAGAGUCAAUUCUAACACCACGAGAAAGCAAACAAAAGUUGAAAUAUUUUAGCGAAUACCUUUUAAAGUUUGAAUUAAUAAUAAAAUUGUCCCAAAAAACUGCCUUAAUGGAAUUAAUGUGGAGAUUUAGUGGUAGGGUGCAUCAAUAUCAUUUUCCAGAAAAAAAAUAGUCAAAAUAUGAAAGGUUUGUUCUGCAGGUGGUUGAUAUUGCUGUACAUUAAUAUCAAUGAUACGUACCAAAUUCUAUUAUAAAAUUCAUUAAUGUAUAAGUAGAAUAUUUAAUAAAUUAAUUCCGGGUAAAACGUCGGUGAUAUGAACAGUAGCGAAGCUGCAACCGGGUUAGCUUUUUUUUUUAAUAAAAAAAUAGUUAAUUAUAAUUUAUGAAUUUGCCUUUAUUAAUACUUAAAAAAAUAAAAAUAAAUUUAAUAGCCCACCCCGAUGCUAGCUAAGCUAAAAAUAAAAUAUAUCGAAUAAAUGGUGAAGAGAAAGCUGUAAUAAUUAUCGUAAUUACAGUGAGAAGCUGUAAUUUUCUUGAACACGCUUUGACGUACGAUUAGCAAAAAAGUCGUCUGUCUAUAAGCAAUUGGCCGUACAGCAUCUUAACUAUUCCGUUGACAUUGUAAUUAAUUAAUUGAUGACUUUUCUAUAAUUUCUUUGAACCAAAUGCAGAUAUUUAGUGGGCAACCCGCAACCCUUGCUUGGCAAAAUAUAGGAAAGAAAAACUUGAAAUUUAUAAAUGUUACAUUUUGUUUGGAUGAAUAAUUUUGAGAUAAUGUUUCAGUUUUAGAUUUUGUUACCGAUACCUAAUUAUAAUAAUAAAAAAUAUUGCAUCAUUUUUUUACCAACAGUUACAAUACAUUUUAUUUUUUUUUCUUCUCAAUAUUUAAACUCGAAUAAUCAGUUAAAAGUUGCUCGAGAAUGUUUAAAAGCCAUUUAAGUAUACCACGUCAUUCAUGUUUUGCAAUCAUUCAAUUGUUAAUAAGUUUCCCAUGUGCUGAAAAUAAAUAAAAAUGCACGUGCAUAUGUCAUAUUGUCUCCGAAACCUCACAGCGGAAUGAGUGUAGUACUUGCAAUGCAUGUACUUUAGACUUUGUAUUUCUCUUAUUUAAAUGAUCAAUAAUUUUUCUUUGUCCUUUAAUUAGACGUCAACAGUCGAAGUUGUGGGCAAGUAGUAGGCUAUAUAUAAUAAUUUCCUGGAGAUCUUCCGUCUUCUAAGACAUUGCAAAUGCCAAACGUGAUAACUAUUUUGAUAAUUCAAAUACUACAUAAAAUAUAUGAAGUGUCAGACAAGUCAAAAGAAUUGAUUCUUCACAAUUGUAUAUACGUAUACACACACUUUGCCCAAAUCCCAUUGUAUCCAGGCUGUAAUUUUUAUAUUAAACGAACAUAUUUUAUUUUAUGUCAGCAAUAUUGAUGCAGGCUGGUGGAACAACAGCUUCAGGAUGGUCAACUACCCUUCGGAUCAUUGCAAGUGGGAUGGCAUCACUUGCAAUUCAGAUGGAACCAUAAUCGGGCUAAAAUUAUCAGGGUAUGAUGUUGACUUCAAAAGGUAGUCUUCGUAAAAUUAUCAUGGUAUAAUAUACGUAUUUAUUUUCGCAUACAUAAAUAAAUAACAAAAUUGUAAUUAAUUGGAUACAACUUCAGCUUUUGGACUGGUUUGUGAAAAUCGGAAAAAUUUAAAAAUGCUCCUCUUGAACAAUCAAAAUCUACUUUAUACGUGAACAAAGGGGAUGAUUCGUAAAGAUAAUUCAUCAAUGUUUGAUUACUUUCAGAAAGAUAGACUUCAUUUGAUCUCGUCCCAAAGCAUAAUUUCACUUUGAAUUUGAAAAAGAAUAAUGAAGUUCAUACGAUGCUGUUGUGACCUUUUUUUUUUGUUUUCUUUUUUUCUCGACGUUGUUUUGUGAAUCAUAAGGGUUAAUUUAGUACGGUGGGUUCGCUUGUAUGAAGCGUACUUAUUGUACCAUUCUGUUGCAAGUAAUGAAAAAACGCUAUAAUUUUUUUUAGGUUUCUACAAGUAUUAUGUUAUCUUAUAUCUAACUGUGCAUCUCUAUUCUUUGCUCUCAGUUCAGGUUCUCUAAAAGUAUAUUAAUUAUGAAAAGCAUUAAAGGUUCCGAAACUCUAUUUUGCGGGGAAAAAGAACCUCCAUUUUUGGUUUUUUAUUAUCAUAAGAGGUUUUACUAUGCUCGUAAUAACUUAAUCGAAAUUAAACAUAUCACUGGUCUACAUUUUUUUAUCAGAUUUUGUGCCUUGCUAAUUAAGAUGAGUAUCACCAUCAAAUCAACAAGCUUAUACCUUCAAAGAAAAAUAGACUAUAAGUCGGGAGAAAGAAGAAGAAAAAAAAAAAGAAGCUUCGCAAUUUAUGCUGUUGGUUGUGAGUUCAUGAAACAAAUAAAAAUAUGAAAUCAAACAUUUAUUCAAAAUUUAAAAUUAAAAAAAAAACUCUAUAUCUACAGUAAUCUGUUCAAACCACAUAGGUGGAGCAAUAUAGUUCCAAGACGUGGUUUUAAAACAUGUCUUUGUGAUAAACAAUAUCGUGAUACUUGCGCCAAUUCCCAUGGCAAUAAUUGCCUACAUUUAUCCAAGAUCCAUGGCCAGGUUUAGAAUGUGCUAGUCUUCUUUCACUUUCAUAAAUAACCACUACUAGGUAAUCAGAGUGUCGGUCUAAAUUUUUCGGAGAUACAACGUCAAUGUAUGUGCCCGGAGUUGAAGCUGAACGCGCUUAAAUAUGUUCGGAAUUUGAAGUUGAACGCCUGGAAAAGGAUGCAGACUGAAGAAAGGCAAUUCCUGGAAUUUGUCUUUGGUAAGAAAACAUGGCUGCUUAUGCCCUUUGAAAGACUGAAGAAACCAAAUUGAUUAUUGCUGCAAUUUAGUGGCACAUGUACGAGGAGAGGCAUCCAAUUAAACUUGUUCAUAAAAGUAUUGCUGAUAGUUGCAGCCGAUCUCCAGACAAAAUCUUCGUACAAUUUUAUCCGCCAGCAAUUUCGACCAAGAGACCUUGAUGCAGUUCAGACCAAUUCGCCAGUUGAACAUCAAGUUGCCUAGGCAUUGAGAAUUAGGUCAAUAAAAUAUAUCCUGGGUCACUUACAAAAGAUGAAAUAAGUGAAAAAGGAAAGAUGACGUAAUAAUUUCUUAGUGAGAAAAGUUAGUUAAUUUUCAAUUGCUUUCAUUGUUUUGAUAAUUUUCAAAACAUUUCAUUGCUUUCAUUGCGUAAUUAAGCUUUUUUUGCUUCAAAAUAUUUCAAAUUGUGUUUGUGGGACUACUAAACAAUUAGGACACAACAAUGUUUCGUUCUGGUCUUUUUUUUUUUUUACUUUUUAAUUUAUUUUAAGAAAAUCUUUGUCCAUCUCUCAUCCUGCCAAAUAUAUCGUCUCGUCUUGUUAUCUAGAAUAAUUCUUCAUGCAUCAAUGAGUUUUGACAAAUUUUUAUCUUUUAAAAGUUGUUGUAAUUCAAUAUAGCUAAAAUCUUAAAUACAUACAUGUAGAAUAAUCUAAGCAUUACCUUAUUCGGGGAAAAUCGAGAUUAGAAUCAAUCAAAGCAAUGAUACCUUAUAUCAGUGAGAUAUAUGCAAGACUCACCCAUUGGUACAAACGAAAAUGAUCAAAGUGGAAGCAAAAAUGGAAUCCUCAAAUGUGGUGAUAAUUUAGAUGAUCUCCACUCUCCAUUUGGUUUCAUCUAAUAAGUUAGUGUUUAAUUAAGAAUUUAUUACUCAUUUUAUUAUGAUAUUAAUCAACUGCCGUCCCUUCCAUUAGUUCAUUAUUUUUGAUGGAUUACGAAAGACAGACAAUAAAAUUCUCCAAAACUGUUGUAAGAGUAAUAUUGUAAAAGUUACAUAAAAGUGAGGAUAAGGAUAAUUUGAGGUAUGUUUCAAGAUAUAAAGAUUAAAUAAAUUCUUAACUCAAAAUAAAGAGAUUUAUUUUUUUUAAAAGAGAUUAAAAUGUCAUGAUAAAUAAAUAAGGGAGGUGAUAUUCUGGGCUCUCCCCUGGCUUUUUGUGAUAACAUCUUAAAUUAAUAUAAAUAGUUAAAAUUUUAUUAAAAAAUAAAUUUUUACCUAAUACUCUUUGACAUAGCUAGGAAUAUAGCCUACUUGCAAGAGACUUACAUUCGUUUGCACAGCCCUUUCGUGAAUAUAAAAUUGCUGCCGAAUAAGCAUCUAAUUAAAAGAAUUAGGAAUUUGUCAACGGUAUAAAUUAAAUAUAAAAAACGAGUAAAAGAAUUUGUCAAUGGGAUAUGGGGGGCUAUGGCUUCAAUCGUAGGGGUGGGCAAAUUUCGGAUUCCGAAUCCGAUCGGAUUUUGGAUAAUUCGGAUUGGGAAAAAAUCCAUCCAAAUUCAAUCCGAACCUUAAAUCUGUUUCGAUCCGAGAUAAUUUCGGAUCCGGAUCAGAUUCGGAUGAGUUUGAAUUUCAGAUUAUAUUUCAAGUUCGGAUUAUAUUUUGGAUUCGGAUUAAUUCGGGUUUGGGACCUUUUUACAAUUCUCACAAAAAAAUUAUGAAAUUUAUAAUUAAUGAAAAAUAAUUUCCAUGAUGCUGUCAACAAUAAUUAAUAUUUUGAAAACGCAAUAACGGAAUUUUCAAAAAAAAGAAAAAGAAAACACAGGAACGGUAUUGAUAAAGAAUUUUCAUUAGCCAUUUGUGACUGCUAACUAAAUUGUAACAACUAAGUAAAAUAUAAUAAUAAUAAUAAUACAUGCGGGUAUAUUCAAAGCAACUAAAUCACUUGCGAAUGAUCAAGACAAAUCGUAUAAACAAGUAAAAAAUUCAAAGUUUCAAACGCAAAUCGUCGGGGGCUAUCGGAUUAGUGGAUUACCAUUAACAAGACGAGGUUUAUGUCGGUGUGAGUUGCUCAUUGUGGGUCUGGAUGAUGUCGCGAUGGCUGGGUUUGUGCCAACUAUGAUCCAGCUAGGUUUGUAUCGAAUCUGAUCUCGUCUAGAGGACGUUGUGGCGGCUGGGUUUGUGUCGAAUUCAUUCGGUUUGUCUCGUCGGCGACAUGGUUGUUGGUUGGCUCGUCAGGUUGUGGCCCGUGGGUGUGGUGUGGUUUGUUGUCGUGGAUUGACUUAUCAAAGGGCGUGCGACGAUGGUGUGUGGUUUUGUCAUUUGGAAAUUGAGUUUUGAUUUUUCAUUUUCGUUUUUUUAAAAAAAAAUUUUUGGAUUAUUCGGAUUGAACUGAAUCUUAUCCGAUCCAAAUCAAAUCCGAUCAGAUUACAAAAAUUUCAUCCGAUUGGAUUUUAAAGCAAAUCCAAAUCCGAUCCGAACAAAUUCGGAUCGAAUUGGAUUAGAUCGGAUCUAUCCGAAUCUGAUCCAAUGUCCACCCCUAUUCAAUCGGUUUCUGCAAUGGUUAAUGGCAUAUUUUUGCUCAUCGUCACCACUGCAUUCACUAAUCAUUUGUGCACGUGAAUUGUUUUUGAGCAUUUAUUUUGCCUUCGUUAAAAUUGGGCAUGUAAAAAUUUCAUGAAAAAUGGCCAAAGUGGCUGGCUAGGUGAUAUAAUGGAUGGUUACAACUCAAACCUAGCAAUAAAUGAAUGUCCGACAAGCAUUCAAAUGAAUGUAUAAAACCAAUGAGAUUAGAAUAUCUAUUUAUAAUAGACUAAUUAAAAUACGAUUCAAAUAUAAGGUAAAUAGUCUCUCUAUUAAUUUUUUAUUGUUUCAGGUAGGGUUGUCGAGCCUUUGUCCGGGCUUCUGUAAGCCCAUUUCCAGCCCUCUUAUAUGAUUGGAUUAGAUCAGGCUCGGCCCACCAGGCCGGGCUAAAUCUUGAGCUCUUUUUAAAUAAAAAAAAGUUGAAUUUUAAGUUUUUGAAGUUAAUAUAUAUACACACACACUUGUACUUAAAUAAUUUAUAAAUUUUUUAAAAGCCAAAUAAUAAAAAUAUUGACAUGUAAAAGUACAAUUUUUUUUUCAUGUGGAAUAAUUAUCUCAUUUCUACCUUUUUGGUCCUAUAGAUAUUUCCUCAUUUCAUCUUUGGUAUUAGAGCAGUAGUAAAAAGACACACGAUUAAAGAUAAAUGUGACAUUUUUACCGACAAAUUAACUAUUUGGAUCUAAGAUCUAGCUCUAAUGGUAAAGACUAGUUUUUAUAGAAUUCAGGUCCUGGGUUUGACUUCCAAUUGCGUGGGUAAGCUAAUAAUAAUAAUAAUAAUAAUAACAAAUUAACUAGUUUUAAUUUGCAAAGGUCUUAGAUAAUCAAUUCGUUUGUAAAAACAUCAAAUUUAUUUUCAGUAAUGAAAUUUUCAAGUCACUGGUUUUAGCACUAGGAAUGAAUUAAAUAGAGUAAUGAUAAACAUCUUAAAAUUUUAUCCCAAAUGAUAUGACAUGUAAUGUGUCAUUUAUUAAGUGGUUGGUGAUUUUUCAUAAAUUUUAAGUCGAUUAAUUAUAUUAUUUCACCAACCAAUAAAUGAACAUCACAUCAUUUGAGAAUGAAUUUUAAGGUAAAAUUUUAGAUAUAUAUCAUUACUCAAUUAUUUUUUAUAGUAUAAAAUCUAAUAGGGACCAAAAAUAUAAAAACCAAUUAAGAAAAAAAAAGUCAAUUCCUAAUUAGAAGAAUGAAAGUGUCAUUCUCCUAUAAUCAUUUCUCAAGUUUUUAUAUAAAUUUAUUAAUGCAAAAUUUUAAAAGAAAAUCGGUACCUAAAACUAACGCCUUUGACAAUGCUGCCAAUAUCACUCACAACUUACAAGAAUAAAGAAUUUGUAUUAAAUUUAUUAAUGUUCUCAAAGAAUUUUUAGUUUUGACUUUACAUUCUCAGACCCAUUUGUCACAUAACAUCUUAGCUGAUUAACAAAGCCCUUUCGUGAGAAUAUUAAAACUGCUCUCGAAUAAGCAUCUUAACAACCCCGUUUUUGACAUACAUGCAUGCCUCCUCAUGUCAGCAAAUUUGAAACAUAAAAGAUAAUUUCAAUCGAUGUGAGAGUUGGGAGUAUUUUAUAGCUUUUGACCUCAUUAAUUAUGAGUAAGAGAAUAUUUCUACGUCACUAAUGAUUAAAAUGAUCACUAUAUAUAUAAAGGGUAGCAAAGUAUGUUUAACAUCAAGUCAGAAAACACAAUUUUUAGGAAAUGGGAACUCGGGGACAGGCGAGGCAAUGGCCUCAAUUGUUUUGUGCUAUAGCAUUUUUGCUUAUAGCCACCACGACCAAGGCAUCGGCUGAUGAUUAUGCCUCAGCACCACCACCAAAGUAUUCUUCUCCACCUCUUUACUACUACAAAUCACCACCUCCUCCUUCUCCCUCUCCACCUCCACCAUAUUAUUACAAGUCUCCCCCACCACCAUCUCCGUCUCCUCCACCACCUUACUACUACACGUCACCACCGCCACCAGUGCAUUCUCCCCCGCCACCUUACUACUACAAGUCACCACCGCCACCAGUGCAUUCUCCUCCGCCACCUUACUACUACAAAUCUCCGCCGCCACCAAAGCAUUCUCCCCCGCCACCUUACUACUAUAAGUCACCACCACCACCAGUGCAUUCUCCCCCGCCACCUUAUUACUACAAAUCUCCGCCGCCACCAAAGUAUUCUCCCCCGCCACCUUAUUAUUACAAAUCUCCGCCGCCACCAAAGCAUUCUCCUCCACCACCUUACUACUACAAAUCUCCACCACCACCAAACCAUUCUCCCCCACCACCUUACUACUAUAAGUCACCACCACCACCAAAGCAUUCUCCCCCACCUCCUUAUUACUACAAAUCUCCACCACCACCAAUGUAUUCUCCACCACCACCUUACUAAUACAAAUCUCCGCCAUCGCCAUCUCUAUCCCCGCCUCCAUCUUACAUUUAUAAAUUCCCACAACCAUCAUCUAUACCACCUCCACCAUGACCUCUAUCACGGUCAUUAUUGCUUCCUUACUACUCCAAGUCACCGCCAACUCCUUUAUCUCCACCUUCACCGUAUUACUACAAUCACCCCCACCUCCCAAAGACUACUACGUUCAGUAUCCCUUCUUGAAACAAGUUUAAAAUUCAAUAAGAAUAAAUUUGUUCCUUUGGUUGCCUUUUUUUUUAAUUUUUUACUAAGUUCAAUGCCCCUUCUUGAAACAAGUUUCAAAUUCAAUAAGAAUAAAUUUGUUCCUUUGGUUGCCUUUUUAUGCUUUUUUGUGUCAAUUUUUUUACAAAUAAUUUGUAAGAAGCGUUCAGUGCAUCAUUUGUCAUGUGCAAUAAAAAUCUUCUAACUUAAUGUAUCCCCAAAAAAAAAAAAAAAAAUUGUUCUAUAAGAAUUAUUCUAUUGUUUUAUCACAAAUGUGUUGUGGCGCAUAUAAUGCUCCCGGAUGAAGUAAUAUUAUGUCUUGAUGAACAAUCAUGCACAACAAUGAUCAUGUACAUAGUUCUUCCAACGUCAUGAUAAUGUCCAUGCACAUAAUAACAAACUUCUUCCUCAUAAUAUCAAAGAAAAUGAAGAUACAAGCCUCUUAUUCUUUAGUCAUUCACUCAAACAACAUUGUUUUAACUUAGGUUUUGAUCAAUCUUAAUGCUAAUAAAUGCUAACUACAUAUCAAAUACAAGAUCAACAAAAACCAGAUUUUAAAUUAAUCAGAAAAACAAACACUAGACUUAACCAAGCAGUUAAGCUUUAUUAUUCUCCCUCAGUAAAGGAUACAAAGAUGUAGGUGGAUUACAAGCUAUCACUGAAAAAAUAGAAAUCAUCUAAAAUGGUGAACAAAUGAGCUCUAAAUCUGUUGCACUCAUUUGUUCAACUAAGCAAUGAAAUUACCCUUUUCUAUUUUAACUGCUUGUCUACUUUAACACGGCAACUUUAAAUAACAACCUUCAACUUGAAAAAUUUGAGUAACCAGAGCCAUCAAUAACGGUAAAUCUUGACAAAAAUUUUAGUUUAAUUAAGGCCAUAAACAUAAUAUUAAAUAAUAAAAAAAAAAGGCCAUAAACAUAGUGUUGAAAUACCAUUAUACCUGUGAACGAACUUUUGAUGGUUAUUAAACUCAUGAACCCUCAAUUUUUGUAUUAUGAAUAUGCUCAUGGCCUAUCUUAGGUCUCCUCUAUGAACCACUUUUUUUUUAAAAAAAUUAUAUUCAUUAUGAUACUAAGGUAUAAGUAGAAGUAAAGUUCUUUUAAUAUUUUUGUAACCAGGAUGUGACAACCUAGGUGAUACGUGAAUUGGUUAUUUGCACAUUUUGCUACAUUUUUGUGAGUUUGCUUGCUGGUUUUCUCUUUGUUCCAACAAUUCACACAUAGGAUAAUCUCAUUUUAACAAAGAAAGAUACCACUAAAAUACAACAAAACAUGAUCAAUUCUAAUAUACUAGAAAACUUUUUUUUUUUGUUUGCCUUUUCAUAUAUUAGAGUUGUGUUUUUGUUAUCUUAUAGUGGCAUCUAUGCAGUUUAACUAAAUGAGAAUAUUCUCAUUUGAGAAUUAUUAAUAAGAGAGUAGUAGACAAAUGAUACCCAACUAUACUGCUUCACUAUUAACAACACAUCCAAUUGAGUAAUGAUAGAGAGUCAAUUCUAUCACCAAAUGAAAGCAAACAAAAGCUGAAAUAUUUUAGUGAAUAUCUUUAAAGUUUGAAUUAAUAAUAAAAUUGUCCCAAAAAACUGUCUUAAUGGAACUAAUGUGCGAUUUAUUUGUAGGGUGAAUAAAUAUCAUUUUCCAGAAAAAAAUAUAGUCAAAAUAUGGAAAGCUUGUUCUGCAAGUGGUUGAUAUUGAUGUACAUUAAUGUCAAAGAUACAUUAAGUGCAUGCCAAAUUCUAUUAUAAAAUUUAUAAAUGUAUAAGUAGAAGAUUUUAUAAAUUAAUUCCUGUAAAACGUCGGUUAUAUGAAUAAAUGGUGAAGAGAAAGCUGUAAUAAUUAUCGUAAUUACAAUUUUCUUGAGCACGCUUUGACGUACGAUUAACAAAAAAGGUCUGUAUAUGAGCAAUCGGCCGUACAUUAUCUUAACCACCUGAUUUUGUUUUUUUUUUUUGUAAUUUCAAUCUUGGCCGUUGGAGUCAAUGAAAAGAUCGUUCAAAUGGUAGAGAUUUGUCUAUUUGAUUAUUAACAUUAUGCUUCCCGAUGGUUAUCAAAAACCCAAACAAAUUAAAGAGUUAAAACUUUUAGCACAUAAGUCCGAAUUGUUUCAAAUUUAUGUUGUUUAAUCACUAGUGAGUCUCAAAAAAUAAAUUUAUUUUAAUAUUAUAUAUUUUAUUUAAAAGAAUUAAUUUUUUAUAUCAUUUAUUUUAUUAAAAAUAAAUAUUAUUGAAUACUAAUUAUUCUCAUUUUAUUUAAUAUUAUUUAGUUAUAGGCUUAUUAUUAUAUUUAAUUGUUCAAAAAACUAAAAAAAUUUAAAUAAAAUAAAGUAAUUGAUGGUUGUCGAAGCCAACAAAAAUAAAUUCCUACUCUAAAUAAAUUGUGUAUAGUGAUUGAGCAGGGUCGUGUCCACAGAGAUCGGUAAUUAUUUAAAUCCUUUUGAAACGUAAAACGUAAAAUGGGGGAAUUGUUGACAAUAAUAAAAAUCAAAUUAAAAUAACAAGAAUGCAAAUUAAAGUUGUAAUUCAAAUUGGAGAAAGCUCUGGUUGAAGGAAUUAACUCAGCUUGAUUCGACUACUGAUCAUUGAUUCAAAUAUAGAUUAUUAUUACUCAUGAAUAGACCGGUUAUAGCUACUGAGACCCUCUAAUAGCCAAUCUCUCCUUAACUAGUCGAUAACCAAGGUACGACCGUUGGAUAUUCCCUAAUCAAUAGACAACCCUAGAUACGAUCAUAGAAUUUAAUCAAUUGACAGCCUGAAAAACCAGAAAGACCCAAAUCCUAAUCAACACAUAUGAUGAUUCAUUUAAAUUAAAUUGUUUAUUCUCACAACACAACUCUCUGCUAUGUCAUUUGUCACAAACAUUAAAUUCUUCAUACGAUGAAUCCCUUAAUUGACAAUAGAUUAAGUUGAUAAUUAAAUAGUGGCCAACUGCUGUACGGCCAAGGCGGAUGUACGGUACAGCAGAAUACAUUCCCUUACUCAACUAACAAAGUCUUUCAUUUAUCUGAAAACAGUUCCAAUUUUGAAAUAUCAGUGUCAAACUUUUCCCAGCAACAUAUUUAUCAUCUCUCCACAUUAUCCUUAACUGACAGCAGCUUGGAAGAUCUUCAAUCAGCAAGUUCAGAAAGCAAUGAACAAGUACCUUCUGUUUCUGCACACACAAAUAAUCUGCAUCAACAAGAGCAUUCUNNNNNNNNNNNNNNNNNNNNNNNNNNNNNNNNNNNNNNNNNNNNNNNNNNNNNNNNNNNNNNNNNNNNNNNNNNNNNNNNNNNNNNNNNNNNNNNNNNNNNNNNNNNNNNNNNNNNNNNNNNNNNNNNNNNNNNNNNNNNNNNNNNNNNNNNNNNNNNNNNNNNNNNNNNNNNNNNNNNNNNNNNNNNNNNNNNNNNNNNNNNNNNNNNNNNNNNNNNNNNNNNNNNNNNNNNNNNNNNNNNNNNCAGCAGAAUAAAAUAUUAUUAAUUUUAUUUUUUUUAUUUUGCUAUCUUACUAAUAAUUGGCAAUAAUAAUAAUAAUAAUAAUAAUAAUAAUAAUAUCUUUAAGGUUAAUGAUUUUAUUUUCUAAUUAAUAUGGAUAAUUUUAGAUUUUUAUAAUAUAUAUGACGAUAAACACGAAAUUAAGUAUAAAACUAAUUCUCAAAAUCCGAUUUUAAAAAUCUACUUUUUCCCUACUUUUUAAAAUCUUCAGUAAGAUAAGGUAAAUUUACCAAAAGUGAUUUCUGAAAAUAUUUAUCAAAUAAUAAAAUUAAUUUGUAACUUUUCAAAAUAACUUUUAAAUCUCGCAAAAAAAAAUCCUAAAUGAGUCCUAAGUACCUAACUUUAUGACGGUCAACAAAUAUGGUAUAAAAGUCUUCUACACCUACUGGGCAUUUGAAUGGGCCAUCUGUCUUAGCUCUUACCUCUUAAAAUGGGCUAAAAAUCAGAGAGUCAGUUAACUAAUAUGGGCUAAAAUUUGGGUACACCUCUCGGGCAUGUUAAUGGGCCAUCAUCUUUCACAGGUUUCUAAAGGGUAAAGGCUUUCUGUCUCCCAAGACUUCGACUAGUGAAAUUUAAUCGAUAUAAAUAUGUAGCUACCUAUAUUUAUAUAAGAAAAUGAUGUUCUCAUAAAUUUGCGUGCAAAGAUUUGCACAAAACGGUGCGUUUUGUGCAGCUUUAAAAAUGCUCUUCGUACGUGCACCAAACAACACACAAGCACGCCAAUUCACAACAUCAUUUUCCCACUCGCGUCUGCCUCCUUUCACUGCAACAAAAACCCAGCAGCUUCGUUCUCCACACAGCAAGAAGUCUCCUUAUUAAUAUAAUAUUAUAUAAUAAACUCAACAGAAGUCUCCUUUCUUCCUCCAUUUUUCCUCACGAGAUAGCUCCGAUCUCUCUCCCUCCGUCCUCCUUUCUUCCUUACAAGACAGCUCGGGUCUCUCUCUCUGGCCUCCUUUCUCCCUCACAAGAUAGUUCGGAUCUCUCUUUCCAGUCUCCACGCCGCUAAUAGUCCCAGUUCUAACCUCUCUCGCCCCGCAGCAACCAUAAGAUCUCUCUCUCACCCGUUUCAAUUCAUUGCUCUAAUUGAAAUCUUUAACUCGUUUAGGACAUUGUGCUGAAUUACCUAUGGAUGGUGGUGGUCUUAUGCUUGAGUGUUGUAAAUUAGAAUCAAAUUAUGCAAAACCUGAUGCCUUUGGGAAUCAUGUUUAUUUCAAGCUUCUAUGUUGUGAUUUGAUUAUUUGAUGAAGCACCUGGAAAAUGUAGUUUGCUCCCUCAAAUUAUUUUACUCUGUUGAAUAAAUUGUAUUUGCCAUUAUUUGAAAAGAAUUUAAAAAAAAAUUACAGCCCCGAAACAUUGAGCUUAUGCUAUAAUUUAAGCAUCUCCCUCAUUUAUAGCACAUUUAUUUUCAUAAUUUACGCGACAAUGGAGAACGGAGCCGAGACUGUUAGUGGCAUGGGGAUGAGAGAGAAAAAUAUGAGCUGUUUCGUGAGGUUUUGUUAGGUUUCGUGAGGGAGAAAGGAGAUGGGAGAGAGAGACGCUGAGUUUUGUUGCUCCCCUCACUUGUGUGUGUUUGGUGUUAAAACUUUGCAGCAAAGAGUGGCUUUUAUACUUUGCACAAAACGCACCGUUUUGUGCAAAGUUUUGUGCAAAGUGUUGUGAGAACAUCAUUUUCCAUUUAAAUAUUGGCUUUUCAUUUUUUUUCAAAUGAGAAUUGAUCCAGUGUGCACCAUCAUGCACAGCACAAGGUAUAUUUUCAUCAGUGGGCGCUAGGUCUCAUAGAUUGGUUCUCUCUAAUAAGAACAUGUCGUCUGUUGUCCCGCGCUAGAUCGAAUGCGUUUUCAAAUUUGUCAAAUUACAUUUUGAGCAUGUCAUAGUGGACGUUAUUACAAAGUCGUCAAUCUCAAUACAAUAAUCAUGACAUCAGGUUUUGAGAAUGUGAAUAAAACUCAUAUUUAUUUGAUAAAAUAUAAUUUAAAAAUAAAAAUAAAAUAUGUAUAUUCUAUAUAAUUUGAUAAUAAAAAAUAGAAAUCUCAUUUUUAUAUUGGGUUGGGAAUGAGGAUUCCUAUUUCUUGAACUGACUUUUAUAUCUCUCUAUUUUUUUCAUAUUUUUUAAAUUAUUCUCGUUUAAAUCACAAUUAAUUUGAUUACUGCUGUACGGCCAAGGCGGAUGCAAUAGAAUUGCACCUACAAAAGUAAAACAUAAGUAAAUCACUAUUAUUAAGUGCAAAACAUUGAUAUUAAGGGAAGUAAAUAAUGCAAAACUAGUGCAUAAAUUGCACUCUAACAGUAAUCAGUAAUCAGCAUUAAAAAUUAAAUUAAAUUAAAUUUUUUUGUUUUUAAUAUUAUUUAGUUAUAGACUUAUUAUUAUAUUUAUUCGUUCAUAAAACUAAAUAAUGUUAAAUCAAAUAAAAUAAUCAGGAAUGGUUCUUAAAAAAUUAAUAUUAUUUAUUUUAUUUUAUUUAAUAUUAUUUAGUCAUAGCCUAUUAUUCUGUUUAUUUUUUGAAAAUUAAAUAAUAUUAAAUAAAAAUCCCCCCUUUUCACAAUAGAUUCCUCCCUUCAAUACUCUCUCUCUCCUCUCUUUUAGAAUUCUAUUUAAAAUAAAAUACUAAUAUCUGAAAUAUUAAAUUCGUAAUUACAAAAAUAACCAAAAAUACAAAAUACGUUAAACUAAAAACUGCAGGUCCGCAGUUGACAGCACGCGCCCACGCCUUAUCAACAAAGUUCUUCUGACGCUCAUAAUUUCUCCAAGAGAACAAUCAUCCUUAAACAUCAUCUUAUAGCUCAAUUUUAUCAUCAAUCAAUAGAAUUACACCUACAAAAGUAAAACACAAGUAAAACAUUAUUAUUAAGUGCAAAACAUCGAUAUUAAGGGAAGUAAACAAUGCAAAACUAGUGCAUAAAUUGCACUCUAACAAAUUCCCCCACACCAAGAUGAUGCUUGUCCUCAAGCAUAUAACUCAAGACUAAUCUCAAAUCUCCACUAAAUUCUCAUCUCAACUCAUCCAAAAAUAAUUUUAAGCAAGCAUACCUCAAGAAAUUAAGUCGAUCAACAUUCGAGAGACAAGGAUUUUUAAAGCAUAGAAUCUCAUAAGAUAGAAUAAGAACAUUCAACCACCAAGAAGAUCCAUUCAAAAUUCAAGUGCAACAAGAUGUAAUAGCCCUCUCAAUAACUUCACUCCAUGCACUCAAAGUGUUUAGGGUAUCAUUUAUGCACUCAAAUCAAAUCAAAGAAUGCUAUUACCAUAAGCUUGCUCAUAUAUCACAUCUCAAUCCACAAAACAUGAAUAAAAUGAAAAAAUCUAAGGGUCUUAAAAGGGUUGUAAUGGGGUUAAAUAGGUUAAAUGAAAAAGAAAGGUCUAUGAAAGAAAAAGAGAUCAAAAUGAGAAGAAUGAACUCAUUGAAUGAACUUAUGAUAUCAAAAUGCUCCUUGGCCGUACAGCAGGAAUGGUUCUUAAAAAAUUAAUAUUAUUUAUUUUAUUUUAUUUAAUAUUAUUUAGUCAUAGCCUAUUAUUCUGUUUAUUUUUUGAAAAUUAAAUAAUAUUAAAUAAAAUAGAAUAGAAAAUGUGAGUCCUUAAAAAUAAAAAUUAUUUUUAAUAUUAUUUAUUUUAUUUAAAAGAAUAAAUUUUUUAAUAUUUUUAUUUUAUUAAAAAAUAUUAUUUAAUAUUAUCUAGUCAUAGGCUUAUUAUUAUAUUUCUUCUUUUAGAAAGUUAAAUAGUAUUAAAUGAAAUAAAAUUACAUUUUAGAAGGUCAUUAGCCAAAGCACAUAAACUUAUAAACAAAUGGAAAUAAAAAAGGUAAAUAAUAUUCAAUAAAAUAAAAUUACAUUUUAAAAGGUCACCAACCAAAGCACAUAAUAUUAUAACAAAAAUGUAAAUAAAAAAGAAAGUAAGAGAUUCAAUGAAAUUUAACAUCACAAAAGACAAUUUCAAAAAUUGGGGGUAGCUUGCAACUGUUGCAAAGUGGCUGGUUCCAUAAUUUUGAGAUAAUGUUUCGGUUUCAAAUAUUGUUAUCGAUACCUAAUUAUAAGUAAUAAAAAAAUAUUGUAUAAUUUUUUUACCAACAUUUACAAUACAUUUUAUUUUGAUUUCUGAAAAAAAUAGAUAAAACACAAAUUAAUUAUUUUAACCCUCUAUUCUCUCAAUAUUUAAACUCGAAUAAUCAGUUAAAAGUUGCUCGAGAAUGUUUAAAAGCCAUUUAAGUAUACCACGUCAUUCAUGUUUUGCAAUCAUUCAAUUGUUAAUAAGUUUCCCAUGUGCUGAAAAUAAAUAAAAAUGCACGUGCAUAUGUCAUAUUGUCUCCGAAACCUCACAGCGGAAUGAGUGUAGUACUUGCAAUGCAUGUACUUUAGACUUUGUAUUUCUCUUAUUUAAAUGAUCAAUAAUUUUUCUUUGUCCUUUAAUUAGACGUCAACAGUCGAAGUUGUGGGCAAGUAGUAGGCUAUAUAUAAUAAUUUCCUGGAGAUCUUCCGUCUUCUAAGACAUUGCAAAUGCCAAACGUGAUAACUAUUUUGAUAAUUCAAAUACUACAUAAAAUAUAUGAAGUGUCAGACAAGUCAAAAGAAUUGAUUCUUCACAAUUGUAUAUACGUAUACACACACUUUGCCCAAAUCCCAUUGUAUCCAGGCUGUAAUUUUUAUAUUAAACGAACAUAUUUUAUUUUAUGUCAGCAAUAUUGAUGCAGGCUGGUGGAACAACAGCUUCAGGAUGGUCAACUACCCUUCGGAUCAUUGCAAGUGGGAUGGCAUCACUUGCAAUUCAGAUGGAACCAUAAUCGGGCUAAAAUUAUCAGGGUAUGAUGUUGACUUCAAAAGGUAGUCUUCGUAAAAUUAUCAUGGUAUAAUAUACGUAUUUAUUUUCGCAUACAUAAAUAAAUAACAAAAUUGUAAUUAAUUGGAUACAACUUCAGCUUUUGGACUGGUUUGUGAAAAUCGGAAAAAUUUAAAAAUGCUCCUCUUGAACAAUCAAAAUCUACUUUAUACGUGAACAAAGGGGAUGAUUCGUAAAGAUAAUUCAUCAAUGUUUGAUUACUUUCAGAAAGAUAGACUUCAUUUGAUCUCGUCCCAAAGCAUAAUUUCACUUUGAAUUUGAAAAAGAAUAAUGAAGUUCAUACGAUGCUGUUGUGACCUUUUUUUUUUGUUUUCUUUUUUUCUCGACGUUGUUUUGUGAAUCAUAAGGGUUAAUUUAGUACGGUGGGUUCGCUUGUAUGAAGCGUACUUAUUGUACCAUUCUGUUGCAAGUAAUGAAAAAACGCUAUAAUUUUUUUUAGGUUUCUACAAGUAUUAUGUUAUCUUAUAUCUAACUGUGCAUCUCUAUUCUUUGCUCUCAGUUCAGGUUCUCUAAAAGUAUAUUAAUUAUGAAAAGCAUUAAAGGUUCCGAAACUCUAUUUUGCGGGGAAAAAGAACCUCCAUUUUUGGUUUUUUAUUAUCAUAAGAGGUUUUACUAUGCUCGUAAUAACUUAAUCGAAAUUAAACAUAUCACUGGUCUACAUUUUUUUAUCAGAUUUUGUGCCUUGCUAAUUAAGAUGAGUAUCACCAUCAAAUCAACAAGCUUAUACCUUCAAAGAAAAAUAGACUAUAAGUCGGGAGAAAGAAGAAGAAAAAAAAAAAGAAGCUUCGCAAUUUAUGCUGUUGGUUGUGAGUUCAUGAAACAAAUAAAAAUAUGAAAUCAAACAUUUAUCCAAAAUUUAAAAUUAAAAAAAAACUCUAUAUCUACAGUAAUCUGUUCAAACCACAUAGGUGGAGCAAUAGAGUUCCAAGACGUGGUUUUAAAACAUGUCUUUGUGAUAAACAAUAUCGUGAUACUUGCGCCAAUUCCCAUGCCAAUAAUUGCCUACAUUUAUCCAAGAUCCAUGGCCAGGUUUAGAAUGUGCUAGUCUUCUUUCACUUUCAUAAAUAACCACUACUAGGUAAUCAGAGUGUCGGUCUAAAUUUUUCGGAGAUACAACGUCAAUGUAUGUGCCCGGAGUUGAAGCUGAACGCGCUUAAAUAUGUUCGGAAUUUGAAGUUGAACGCCUGGAAAAGGAUGCAGACUGAAGAAAGGCAAUUCCUGGAAUUUGUCUUUGGUAAGAAAACAUGGCUGCUUAUGCCCUUUGAAAGACUGAAGAAACCAAAUUGAUUAUUGCUGCAAUUUAGUGGCACGUGUACAAGGAGAGGCAUCCGAUUAAACUUGUUCAUAAAAUUAUUGCUGAUAGUUGCAGCCGAUCUCCAUGAAGUACAAACCCAACGCAAAGAAACAAAGUGUUCGUACAAUUUUAUCCGCCAGCAAUUUCGACCAAGAGACCUUGAUGCAGUUCAGACCAAUUCGCCAGUUGAACAUCAAGUUGCCUAGGCAUUGAGAAUUAGGUCAAUAAAAUAUAUCCUGGGUCACUUACAAAAGAUGAAAUAAGUGAAAAAGGAAAGAUGACGUAAUAAUUUCUUAGUGAGAAAAGUUAGUUAAUUUUCAAUUGCUUUCAUUGUUUUGAUAAUUUUCAAAACAUUUCAUUGCUUUCAUUGCGUAAUUAAGCUUUUUUUGCUUCAAAAUAUUUCAAAUUGUGUUUGUGGGACUACUAAACAAUUAGGACACAACAAUGUUUCGUUCUGGUCUUUUUUUUUUUUUACUUUUUAAUUUAUUUUAAGAAAAUCUUUGUCCAUCUCUCAUCCUGCCAAAUAUAUCGUCUCGUCUUGUUAUCUAGAAUAAUUCUUCAUGCAUCAAUGAGUUUUGACAAAUUUUUAUCUUUUAAAAGUUGUUGUAAUUCAAUAUAGCUAAAAUCUUAAAUACAUACAUGUAGAAUAAUCUAAGCAUUACCUUAUUCGGGGAAAAUCGAGAUUAGAAUCAAUCAAAGCAAUGAUACCUUAUAUCAGUGAGAUAUAUGCAAGACUCACCCAUUGGUACAAACGAAAAUGAUCAAAGUGGAAGCAAAAAUGGAAUCCUCAAAUGUGGUGAUAAUUUAGAUGAUCUCCACUCUCCAUUUGGUUUCAUCUAAUAAGUUAGUGUUUAAUUAAGAAUUUAUUACUCAUUUUAUUAUGAUAUUAAUCAACUGCCGUCCCUUCCAUUAGUUCAUUAUUUUUGAUGGAUUACGAAAGACAGACAAUAAAAUUCUCCAAAACUGUUGUAAGAGUAAUAUUGUAAAAGUUACAUAAAAGUGAGGAUAAGGAUAAUUUGAGGUAUGUUUCAAGAUAUAAAGAUUAAAUAAAUUCUUAACUCAAAAUAAAGAGAUUUAUUUUUUUUAAAAGAGAUUAAAAUGUCAUGAUAAAUAAAUAAGGGAGGUGAUAUUCUGGGCUCUCCCCUGGCUUUUUGUGAUAACAUCUUAAAUUAAUAUAAAUAGUUAAAAUUUUAUUAAAAAAUAAAUUUUUACCUAAUACUCUUUGACAUAGCUAGGAAUAUAGCCUACUUGCAAGAGACUUACAUUCGUUUGCACAGCCCUUUCGUGAAUAUAAAAUUGCUGCCGAAUAAGCAUCUAAUUAAAAGAAUUAGGAAUUUGUCAACGGUAUAAAUUAAAUAUAAAAAACGAGUAAAAGAAUUUGUCAAUGGGAUAUGGGGGGCUAUGGCUUCAAUCGUAGGGGUGGGCAAAUUUCGGAUUCCGAAUCCGAUCGGAUUUUGGAUAAUUCGGAUUGGGAAAAAAUCCAUCCAAAUUCAAUCCGAACCUUAAAUCUGUUUCGAUCCGAGAUAAUUUCGGAUCCGGAUCAGAUUCGGAUGAGUUUGAAUUUCAGAUUAUAUUUCAAGUUCGGAUUAUAUUUUGGAUUCGGAUUAAUUCGGGUUUGGGACCUUUUUACAAUUCUCACAAAAAAAUUAUGAAAUUUAUAAUUAAUGAAAAAUAAUUUCCAUGAUGCUGUCAACAAUAAUUAAUAUUUUGAAAACGCAAUAACGGAAUUUUCAAAAAAAAGAAAAAGAAAACACAGGAACGGUAUUGAUAAAGAAUUUUCAUUAGCCAUUUGUGACUGCUAACUAAAUUGUAACAACUAAGUAAAAUAUAAUAAUAAUAAUAAUACAUGCGGGUAUAUUCAAAGCAACUAAAUCACUUGCGAAUGAUCAAGACAAAUCGUAUAAACAAGUAAAAAAUUCAAAGUUUCAAACGCAAAUCGUCGGGGGCUAUCGGAUUAGUGGAUUACCAUUAACAAGACGAGGUUUAUGUCGGUGUGAGUUGCUCAUUGUGGGUCUGGAUGAUGUCGCGAUGGCUGGGUUUGUGCCAACUAUGAUCCAGCUAGGUUUGUAUCGAAUCUGAUCUCGUCUAGAGGACGUUGUGGCGGCUGGGUUUGUGUCGAAUUCAUUCGGUUUGUCUCGUCGGCGACAUGGUUGUUGGUUGGCUCGUCAGGUUGUGGCCCGUGGGUGUGGUGUGGUUUGUUGUCGUGGAUUGACUUAUCAAAGGGCGUGCGACGAUGGUGUGUGGUUUUGUCAUUUGGAAAUUGAGUUUUGAUUUUUCAUUUUCGUUUUUUUAAAAAAAAAUUUUUGGAUUAUUCGGAUUGAACUGAAUCUUAUCCGAUCCAAAUCAAAUCCGAUCAGAUUACAAAAAUUUCAUCCGAUUGGAUUUUAAAGCAAAUCCAAAUCCGAUCCGAACAAAUUCGGAUCGAAUUGGAUUAGAUCGGAUCUAUCCGAAUCUGAUCCAAUGUCCACCCCUAUUCAAUCGGUUUCUGCAAUGGUUAAUGGCAUAUUUUUGCUCAUCGUCACCACUGAAUCCACUGAUCAUUUGUGCAUGUGAGUUGUUUUUGAGCAUUUAUUUUUCCCUUUAGAAGCAUAAGGAUAAGGCUAGUCUUCUUUUUGGGAGGACUUAUUGCUUCCAUUCGUUAAAAUUGGGCAUGUAAAAUGUCAAGAAAAAAUGGCCUAAGUGGCUAGCUAGAUGAUAUAAUGGAUGGUUACUACUCAAACCUAGCAAUAAAUGAAUGUCCGACAAGCAUUCAAAUGAAUGAAUAAAACCAAUCAGAUUAGAAUAUCUAUUUAUGAUAGAUUAAUGAAAAUACGAUUCAAAUAUAAGGUAAAUAAUCUCUCCAUUAAUUUUUUAUUGUUUCAGGCAGGGUUGCCAAGCCUCUGUCCGGGCUUCUAUAAGCUCAAUUCCAGCUCUCCUAUAUGAUUGAAUUAGAUCGGGCUAGGCCCUCGGACUUUUUAAUUAAAAAAGGUCGAUUUUUAAGUUUAUGAAGUUAAUACACUCACGCUUAUACUUUAAUAUUUUUAUUAUUUGGCUUUUAGAAUAUUAACGUGUAAAUUACUUUUUUUUUUCAAGUGAAAUAAUUAUCACAUUUUGUCUUCUUAGUAUAUAUUUCUACCUUUUUGUUCCUAUAGAUAUUUCCUCAUUUCAUCUUUGGUACUAGAGCGUAGUAAAAAAACACAUGAUUAAAGAUAAAUAUGACAUUUUAACUAACAAAUUAAUUAUUUGUAUCUAAGAUCUAGCUCUAGUGGUAAAGAUCAAUUUUCAUCGAAUUCAAGUCUUGGGUUUGAAUUUAAAUGCAUGGGUAAGUUAAUAAUAAUAAUAAUAAUAAUAAUAAUAAUAAUAAUAAUAAUAAUAAUAAUAAUAAUAAUAAUAAUAAUAAUAAUAAUAAUAAUAAUAAUAAUAAUAAUAAUAAUAAUAAUAAUAAUAAUAAUAAUAAUAAUAAUAAUAAUAAUAAUAAUAAUAAUAAUAAUAAUAAUAAUAAUAAUAAUAAUAAUAAUAAUAAUAAUAAUAAUAAUAAUAAUAAUAAUAAUAAUAAUAAUAAUAAUAAUAAUAAUAAUAAUAAUAAUAAUAAUAAUAAUAAUAAUAAUAAUAAUAAUAAUAAUAAUAAUAAUAAUAAUAAUAAUAAUAAUAAUAAUAAUAAUAAUAAUAAUAAUAAUAAUAAUAAUAAUAAUAAUAAUAAUAAUAAUAAUAAUAAUAAUAAUAAUAAUAAUAAUAAUAAUAAUAAUAAUAAUAAUAAUAAUAAUAAUAAUAAUAAUAAUAAUAAUAAUAAUAAUAAUAAUAAUAAUAAUAAUAAUAAUAAUAAUAAUAAUAAUAAUAAUAAUAAUAAUAAUAAUAAUAAUAAUAAUAAUAAUAAUAAUAAUAAUAAUAAUAAUAAUAAUAAUAAUAAUAAUAAUAAUAAUAAUAAUAAUAAUAAUAAUAAUAAUAAUAAUAAUAAUAAUAAUAAUAAUAAUAAUAAUAAUAAUAAUAAUAAUAAUAAUAAUAAUAAUAAUAAUAAUAAUAAUAAUAAUAAUAAUAAUAAUAAUAAUAAUAAUAAUAAUAAUAAUAAUAAUAAUAAUAAUAAUAAUAAUAAUAAUAAUAAUAAUAAUAAUAAUAAUAAUAAUAAUAAUAAUAAUAAUAAUAAUAAUAAUAAUAAUAAUAAUAAUAAUAAUAAUAAUAAUAAUAAUAAUAAUAAUAAUAAUAAUAAUAAUAAUAAUAAUAAUAAUAAUAAUAAUAAUAAUAAUAAUAAUAAUAAUAAUAAUAAUAAUAAUAAUAAUAAUAAUAAUAAUAAUAAUAAUAAUAAUAAUAAUAAUAAUAAUAAUAAUAAUAAUAAUAAUAAUAAUAAUAAUAAUAAUAAUAAUAAUAAUAAUAAUAAUAAUAAUAAUAAUAAUAAUAAUAAUAAUAAUAAUAAUAAUAAUAAUAAUAAUAAUAAUAAUAAUAAUAAUAAUAAUAAUAAUAAUAAUAAUAAUAAUAAUAAUAAUAAUAAUAAUAAUAAUAAUAAUAAUAAUAAUAAUAAUAAUAAUAAUAAUAAUAAUAAUAAUAAUAAUAAUAAUAAUAAUAAUAAUAAUAAUAAUAAUAAUAAUAAUAAUAAUAAUAAUAAUAAUAAUAAUAAUAAUAAUAAUAAUAAUAAUAAUAAUAAUAAUAAUAAUAAUAAUAAUAAUAAUAAUAAUAAUAAUAAUAAUAAUAAUAAUAAUAAUAAUAAUAAUAAUAAUAAUAAUAAUAAUAAUAAUAAUAAUAAUAAUAAUAAUAAUAAUAAUAAUAAUAAUAAUAAUAAUAAUAAUAAUAAUAAUAAUAAUAAUAAUAAUAAUAAUAAUAAUAAUAAUAAUAAUAAUAAUAAUAAUAAUAAUAAUAAUAAUAAUAAUAAUAAUAAUAAUAAUAAUAAUAAUAAUAAUAAUAAUAAUAAUAAUAAUAAUAAUAAUAAUAAUAAUAAUAAUAAUAAUAAUAAUAAUAAUAAUAAUAAUAAUAAUAAUAAUAAUAAUAAUAAUAAUAAUAAUAAUAAUAAUAAUAAUAAUAAUAAUAAUAAUAAUAAUAAUAAUAAUAAUAAUAAUAAUAAUAAUAAUAAUAAUAAUAAUAAUAAUAAUAAUAAUAAUAAUAAUAAUAAUAAUAAUAAUAAUAAUAAUAAUAAUAAUAAUAAUAAUAAUAAUAAUAAUAAUAAUAAUAAUAAUAAUAAUAAUAAUAAUAAUAAUAAUAAUAAUAAUAAUAAUAAUAAUAAUAAUAAUAAUAAUAAUAAUAAUAAUAAUAAUAAUAAUAAUAAUAAUAAUAAUAAUAAUAAUAAUAAUAAUAAUAAUAAUAAUAAUAAUAAUAAUAAUAAUAAUAAUAAUAAUAAUAAUAAUAAUAAUAAUAAUAAUAAUAAUAAUAAUAAUAAUAAUAAUAAUAAUAAUAAUAAUAAUAAUAAUAAUAAUAAUAAUAAUAAUAAUAAUAAUAAUAAUAAUAAUAAUAAUAAUAAUAAUAAUAAUAAUAAUAAUAAUAAUAAUAAUAAUAAUAAUAAUAAUAAUAAUAAUAAUAAUAAUAAUAAUAAUAAUAAUAAUAAUAAUAAUAAUAAUAAUAAUAAUAAUAAUAAUAAUAAUAAUAAUAAUAAUAAUAAUAAUAAUAAUAAUAAUAAUAAUAAUAAUAAUAAUAAUAAUAAUAAUAAUAAUAAUAAUAAUAAUAAUAAUAAUAAUAAUAAUAAUAAUAAUAAUAAUAAUAAUAAUAAUAAUAAUAAUAAUAAUAAUAAUAAUAAUAAUAAUAAUAAUAAUAAUAAUAAUAAUAAUAAUAAUAAUAAUAAUAAUAAUAAUAAUAAUAAUAAUAAUAAUAAUAAUAAUAAUAAUAAUAAUAAUAAUAAUAAUAAUAAUAAUAAUAAUAAUAAUAAUAAUAAUAAUAAUAAUAAUAAUAAUAAUAAUAAUAAUAAUAAUAAUAAUAAUAAUAAUAAUAAUAAUAAUAAUAAUAAUAAUAAUAAUAAUAAUAAUAAUAAUAAUAAUAAUAAUAAUAAUAAUAAUAAUAAUAAUAAUAAUAAUAAUAAUAAUAAUAAUAAUAAUAAUAAUAAUAAUAAUAAUAAUAAUAAUAAUAAUAAUAAUAAUAAUAAUAAUAAUAAUAAUAAUAAUAAUAAUAAUAAUAAUAAUAAUAAUAAUAAUAAUAAUAAUAAUAAUAAUAAUAAUAAUAAUAAUAAUAAUAAUAAUAAUAAUAAUAAUAAUAAUAAUAAUAAUAAUAAUAAUAAUAAUAAUAAUAAUAAUAAUAAUAAUAAUAAUAAUAAUAAUAAUAAUAAUAAUAAUAAUAAUAAUAAUAAUAAUAAUAAUAAUAAUAAUAAUAAUAAUAAUAAUAAUAAUAAUAAUAAUAAUAAUAAUAAUAAUAAUAAUAAUAAUAAUAAUAAUAAUAAUAAUAAUAAUAAUAAUAAUAAUAAUAAUAAUAAUAAUAAUAAUAAUAAUAAUAAUAAUAAUAAUAAUAAUAAUAAUAAUAAUAAUAAUAAUAAUAAUAAUAAUAAUAAUAAUAAUAAUAAUAAUAAUAAUAAUAAUAAUAAUAAUAAUAAUAAUAAUAAUAAUAAUAAUAAUAAUAAUAAUAAUAAUAAUAAUAAUAAUAAUAAUAAUAAUAAUAAUAAUAAUAAUAAUAAUAAUAAUAAUAAUAAUAAUAAUAAUAAUAAUAAUAAUAAUAAUAAUAAUAAUAAUAAUAAUAAUAAUAAUAAUAAUAAUAAUAAUAAUAAUAAUAAUAAUAAUAAUAAUAAUAAUAAUAAUAAUAAUAAUAAUAAUAAUAAUAAUAAUAAUAAUAAUAAUAAUAAUAAUAAUAAUAAUAAUAAUAAUAAUAAUAAUAAUAAUAAUAAUAAUAAUAAUAAUAAUAAUAAUAAUAAUAAUAAUAAUAAUAAUAAUAAUAAUAAUAAUAAUAAUAAUAAUAAUAAUAAUAAUAAUAAUAAUAAUAAUAAUAAUAAUAAUAAUAAUAAUAAUAAUAAUAAUAAUAAUAAUAAUAAUAAUAAUAAUAAUAAUAAUAAUAAUAAUAAUAAUAAUAAUAAUAAUAAUAAUAAUAAUAAUAAUAAUAAUAAUAAUAAUAAUAAUAAUAAUAAUAAUAAUAAUAAUAAUAAUAAUAAUAAUAAUAAUAAUAAUAAUAAUAAUAAUAAUAAUAAUAAUAAUAAUAAUAAUAAUAAUAAUAAUAAUAAUAAUAAUAAUAAUAAUAAUAAUAAUAAUAAUAAUAAUAAUAAUAAUAAUAAUAAUAAUAAUAAUAAUAAUAAUAAUAAUAAUAAUAAUAAUAAUAAUAAUAAUAAUAAUAAUAAUAAUAAUAAUAAUAAUAAUAAUAAUAAUAAUAAUAAUAAUAAUAAUAAUAAUAAUAAUAAUAAUAAUAAUAAUAAUAAUAAUAAUAAUAAUAAUAAUAAUAAUAAUAAUAAUAAUAAUAAUAAUAAUAAUAAUAAUAAUAAUAAUAAUAAUAAUAAUAAUAAUAAUAAUAAUAAUAAUAAUAAUAAUAAUAAUAAUAAUAAUAAUAAUAAUAAUAAUAAUAAUAAUAAUAAUAAUAAUAAUAAUAAUAAUAAUAAUAAUAAUAAUAAUAAUAAUAAUAAUAAUAAUAAUAAUAAUAAUAAUAAUAAUAAUAAUAAUAAUAAUAAUAAUAAUAAUAAUAAUAAUAAUAAUAAUAAUAAUAAUAAUAAUAAUAAUAAUAAUAAUAAUAAUAAUAAUAAUAAUAAUAAUAAUAAUAAUAAUAAUAAUAAUAAUAAUAAUAAUAAUAAUAAUAAUAAUAAUAAUAAUAAUAAUAAUAAUAAUAAUAAUAAUAAUAAUAAUAAUAAUAAUAAUAAUAAUAAUAAUAAUAAUAAUAAUAAUAAUAAUAAUAAUAAUAAUAAUAAUAAUAAUAAUAAUAAUAAUAAUAAUAAUAAUAAUAAUAAUAAUAAUAAUAAUAAUAAUAAUAAUAAUAAUAAUAAUAAUAAUAAUAAUAAUAAUAAUAAUAAUAAUAAUAAUAAUAAUAAUAAUAAUAAUAAUAAUAAUAAUAAUAAUAAUAAUAAUAAUAAUAAUAAUAAUAAUAAUAAUAAUAAUAAUAAUAAUAAUAAUAAUAAUAAUAAUAAUAAUAAUAAUAAUAAUAAUAAUAAUAAUAAUAAUAAUAAUAAUAAUAAUAAUAAUAAUAAUAAUAAUAAUAAUAAUAAUAAUAAUAAUAAUAAUAAUAAUAAUAAUAAUAAUAAUAAUAAUAAUAAUAAUAAUAAUAAUAAUAAUAAUAAUAAUAAUAAUAAUAAUAAUAAUAAUAAUAAUAAUAAUAAUAAUAAUAAUAAUAAUAAUAAUAAUAAUAAUAAUAAUAAUAAUAAUAAUAAUAAUAAUAAUAAUAAUAAUAAUAAUAAUAAUAAUAAUAAUAAUAAUAAUAAUAAUAAUAAUAAUAAUAAUAAUAAUAAUAAUAAUAAUAAUAAUAAUAAUAAUAAUAAUAAUAAUAAUAAUAAUAAUAAUAAUAAUAAUAAUAAUAAUAAUAAUAAUAAUAAUAAUAAUAAUAAUAAUAAUAAUAAUAAUAAUAAUAAUAAUAAUAAUAAUAAUAAUAAUAAUAAUAAUAAUAAUAAUAAUAAUAAUAAUAAUAAUAAUAAUAAUAAUAAUAAUAAUAAUAAUAAUAAUAAUAAUAAUAAUAAUAAUAAUAAUAAUAAUAAUAAUAAUAAUAAUAAUAAUAAUAAUAAUAAUAAUAAUAAUAAUAAUAAUAAUAAUAAUAAUAAUAAUAAUAAUAAUAAUAAUAAUAAUAAUAAUAAUAAUAAUAAUAAUAAUAAUAAUAAUAAUAAUAAUAAUAAUAAUAAUAAUAAUAAUAAUAAUAAUAAUAAUAAUAAUAAUAAUAAUAAUAAUAAUAAUAAUAAUAAUAAUAAUAAUAAUAAUAAUAAUAAUAAUAAUAAUAAUAAUAAUAAUAAUAAUAAUAAUAAUAAUAAUAAUAAUAAUAAUAAUAAUAAUAAUAAUAAUAAUAAUAAUAAUAAUAAUAAUAAUAAUAAUAAUAAUAAUAAUAAUAAUAAUAAUAAUAAUAAUAAUAAUAAUAAUAAUAAUAAUAAUAAUAAUAAUAAUAAUAAUAAUAAUAAUAAUAAUAAUAAUAAUAAUAAUAAUAAUAAUAAUAAUAAUAAUAAUAAUAAUAAUAAUAAUAAUAAUAAUAAUAAUAAUAAUAAUAAUAAUAAUAAUAAUAAUAAUAAUAAUAAUAAUAAUAAUAAUAAUAAUAAUAAUAAUAAUAAUAAUAAUAAUAAUAAUAAUAAUAAUAAUAAUAAUAAUAAUAAUAAUAAUAAUAAUAAUAAUAAUAAUAAUAAUAAUAAUAAUAAUAAUAAUAAUAAUAAUAAUAAUAAUAAUAAUAAUAAUAAUAAUAAUAAUAAUAAUAAUAAUAAUAAUAAUAAUAAUAAUAAUAAUAAUAAUAAUAAUAAUAAUAAUAAUAAUAAUAAUAAUAAUAAUAAUAAUAAUAAUAAUAAUAAUAAUAAUAAUAAUAAUAAUAAUAAUAAUAAUAAUAAUAAUAAUAAUAAUAAUAAUAAUAAUAAUAAUAAUAAUAAUAAUAAUAAUAAUAAUAAUAAUAAUAAUAAUAAUAAUAAUAAUAAUAAUAAUAAUAAUAAUAAUAAUAAUAAUAAUAAUAAUAAUAAUAAUAAUAAUAAUAAUAAUAAUAAUAAUAAUAAUAAUAAUAAUAAUAAUAAUAAUAAUAAUAAUAAUAAUAAUAAUAAUAAUAAUAAUAAUAAUAAUAAUAAUAAUAAUAAUAAUAAUAAUAAUAAUAAUAAUAAUAAUAAUAAUAAUAAUAAUAAUAAUAAUAAUAAUAAUAAUAAUAAUAAUAAUAAUAAUAAUAAUAAUAAUAAUAAUAAUAAUAAUAAUAAUAAUAAUAAUAAUAAUAAUAAUAAUAAUAAUAAUAAUAAUAAUAAUAAUAAUAAUAAUAAUAAUAAUAAUAAUAAUAAUAAUAAUAAUAAUAAUAAUAAUAAUAAUAAUAAUAAUAAUAAUAAUAAUAAUAAUAAUAAUAAUAAUAAUAAUAAUAAUAAUAAUAAUAAUAAUAAUAAUAAUAAUAAUAAUAAUAAUAAUAAUAAUAAUAAUAAUAAUAAUAAUAAUAAUAAUAAUAAUAAUAAUAAUAAUAAUAAUAAUAAUAAUAAUAAUAAUAAUAAUAAUAAUAAUAAUAAUAAUAAUAAUAAUAAUAAUAAUAAUAAUAAUAAUAAUAAUAAUAAUAAUAAUAAUAAUAAUAAUAAUAAUAAUAAUAAUAAUAAUAAUAAUAAUAAUAAUAAUAAUAAUAAUAAUAAUAAUAAUAAUAAUAAUAAUAAUAAUAAUAAUAAUAAUAAUAAUAAUAAUAAUAAUAAUAAUAAUAAUAAUAAUAAUAAUAAUAAUAAUAAUAAUAAUAAUAAUAAUAAUAAUAAUAAUAAUAAUAAUAAUAAUAAUAAUAAUAAUAAUAAUAAUAAUAAUAAUAAUAAUAAUAAUAAUAAUAAUAAUAAUAAUAAUAAUAAUAAUAAUAAUAAUAAUAAUAAUAAUAAUAAUAAUAAUAAUAAUAAUAAUAAUAAUAAUAAUAAUAAUAAUAAUAAUAAUAAUAAUAAUAAUAAUAAUAAUAAUAAUAAUAAUAAUAAUAAUAAUAAUAAUAAUAAUAAUAAUAAUAAUAAUAAUAAUAAUAAUAAUAAUAAUAAUAAUAAUAAUAAUAAUAAUAAUAAUAAUAAUAAUAAUAAUAAUAAUAAUAAUAAUAAUAAUAAUAAUAAUAAUAAUAAUAAUAAUAAUAAUAAUAAUAAUAAUAAUAAUAAUAAUAAUAAUAAUAAUAAUAAUAAUAAUAAUAAUAAUAAUAAUAAUAAUAAUAAUAAUAAUAAUAAUAAUAAUAAUAAUAAUAAUAAUAAUAAUAAUAAUAAUAAUAAUAAUAAUAAUAAUAAUAAUAAUAAUAAUAAUAAUAAUAAUAAUAAUAAUAAUAAUAAUAAUAAUAAUAAUAAUAAUAAUAAUAAUAAUAAUAAUAAUAAUAAUAAUAAUAAUAAUAAUAAUAAUAAUAAUAAUAAUAAUAAUAAUAAUAAUAAUAAUAAUAAUAAUAAUAAUAAUAAUAAUAAUAAUAAUAAUAAUAAUAAUAAUAAUAAUAAUAAUAAUAAUAAUAAUAAUAAUAAUAAUAAUAAUAAUAAUAAUAAUAAUAAUAAUAAUAAUAAUAAUAAUAAUAAUAAUAAUAAUAAUAAUAAUAAUAAUAAUAAUAAUAAUAAUAAUAAUAAUAAUAAUAAUAAUAAUAAUAAUAAUAAUAAUAAUAAUAAUAAUAAUAAUAAUAAUAAUAAUAAUAAUAAUAAUAAUAAUAAUAAUAAUAAUAAUAAUAAUAAUAAUAAUAAUAAUAAUAAUAAUAAUAAUAAUAAUAAUAAUAAUAAUAAUAAUAAUAAUAAUAAUAAUAAUAAUAAUAAUAAUAAUAAUAAUAAUAAUAAUAAUAAUAAUAAUAAUAAUAAUAAUAAUAAUAAUAAUAAUAAUAAUAAUAAUAAUAAUAAUAAUAAUAAUAAUAAUAAUAAUAAUAAUAAUAAUAAUAAUAAUAAUAAUAAUAAUAAUAAUAAUAAUAAUAAUAAUAAUAAUAAUAAUAAUAAUAAUAAUAAUAAUAAUAAUAAUAAUAAUAAUAAUAAUAAUAAUAAUAAUAAUAAUAAUAAUAAUAAUAAUAAUAAUAAUAAUAAUAAUAAUAAUAAUAAUAAUAAUAAUAAUAAUAAUAAUAAUAAUAAUAAUAAUAAUAAUAAUAAUAAUAAUAAUAAUAAUAAUAAUAAUAAUAAUAAUAAUAAUAAUAAUAAUAAUAAUAAUAAUAAUAAUAAUAAUAAUAAUAAUAAUAAUAAUAAUAAUAAUAAUAAUAAUAAUAAUAAUAAUAAUAAUAAUAAUAAUAAUAAUAAUAAUAAUAAUAAUAAUAAUAAUAAUAAUAAUAAUAAUAAUAAUAAUAAUAAUAAUAAUAAUAAUAAUAAUAAUAAUAAUAAUAAUAAUAAUAAUAAUAAUAAUAAUAAUAAUAAUAAUAAUAAUAAUAAUAAUAAUAAUAAUAAUAAUAAUAAUAAUAAUAAUAAUAAUAAUAAUAAUAAUAAUAAUAAUAAUAAUAAUAAUAAUAAUAAUAAUAAUAAUAAUAAUAAUAAUAAUAAUAAUAAUAAUAAUAAUAAUAAUAAUAAUAAUAAUAAUAAUAAUAAUAAUAAUAAUAAUAAUAAUAAUAAUAAUAAUAAUAAUAAUAAUAAUAAUAAUAAUAAUAAUAAUAAUAAUAAUAAUAAUAAUAAUAAUAAUAAUAAUAAUAAUAAUAAUAAUAAUAAUAAUAAUAAUAAUAAUAAUAAUAAUAAUAAUAAUAAUAAUAAUAAUAAUAAUAAUAAUAAUAAUAAUAAUAAUAAUAAUAAUAAUAAUAAUAAUAAUAAUAAUAAUAAUAAUAAUAAUAAUAAUAAUAAUAAUAAUAAUAAUAAUAAUAAUAAUAAUAAUAAUAAUAAUAAUAAUAAUAAUAAUAAUAAUAAUAAUAAUAAUAAUAAUAAUAAUAAUAAUAAUAAUAAUAAUAAUAAUAAUAAUAAUAAUAAUAAUAAUAAUAAUAAUAAUAAUAAUAAUAAUAAUAAUAAUAAUAAUAAUAAUAAUAAUAAUAAUAAUAAUAAUAAUAAUAAUAAUAAUAAUAAUAAUAAUAAUAAUAAUAAUAAUAAUAAUAAUAAUAAUAAUAAUAAUAAUAAUAAUAAUAAUAAUAAUAAUAAUAAUAAUAAUAAUAAUAAUAAUAAUAAUAAUAAUAAUAAUAAUAAUAAUAAUAAUAAUAAUAAUAAUAAUAAUAAUAAUAAUAAUAAUAAUAAUAAUAAUAAUAAUAAUAAUAAUAAUAAUAAUAAUAAUAAUAAUAAUAAUAAUAAUAAUAAUAAUAAUAAUAAUAAUAAUAAUAAUAAUAAUAAUAAUAAUAAUAAUAAUAAUAAUAAUAAUAAUAAUAAUAAUAAUAAUAAUAAUAAUAAUAAUAAUAAUAAUAAUAAUAAUAAUAAUAAUAAUAAUAAUAAUAAUAAUAAUAAUAAUAAUAAUAAUAAUAAUAAUAAUAAUAAUAAUAAUAAUAAUAAUAAUAAUAAUAAUAAUAAUAAUAAUAAUAAUAAUAAUAAUAAUAAUAAUAAUAAUAAUAAUAAUAAUAAUAAUAAUAAUAAUAAUAAUAAUAAUAAUAAUAAUAAUAAUAAUAAUAAUAAUAAUAAUAAUAAUAAUAAUAAUAAUAAUAAUAAUAAUAAUAAUAAUAAUAAUAAUAAUAAUAAUAAUAAUAAUAAUAAUAAUAAUAAUAAUAAUAAUAAUAAUAAUAAUAAUAAUAAUAAUAAUAAUAAUAAUAAUAAUAAUAAUAAUAAUAAUAAUAAUAAUAAUAAUAAUAAUAAUAAUAAUAAUAAUAAUAAUAAUAAUAAUAAUAAUAAUAAUAAUAAUAAUAAUAAUAAUAAUAAUAAUAAUAAUAAUAAUAAUAAUAAUAAUAAUAAUAAUAAUAAUAAUAAUAAUAAUAAUAAUAAUAAUAAUAAUAAUAAUAAUAAUAAUAAUAAUAAUAAUAAUAAUAAUAAUAAUAAUAAUAAUAAUAAUAAUAAUAAUAAUAAUAAUAAUAAUAAUAAUAAUAAUAAUAAUAAUAAUAAUAAUAAUAAUAAUAAUAAUAAUAAUAAUAAUAAUAAUAAUAAUAAUAAUAAUAAUAAUAAUAAUAAUAAUAAUAAUAAUAAUAAUAAUAAUAAUAAUAAUAAUAAUAAUAAUAAUAAUAAUAAUAAUAAUAAUAAUAAUAAUAAUAAUAAUAAUAAUAAUAAUAAUAAUAAUAAUAAUAAUAAUAAUAAUAAUAAUAAUAAUAAUAAUAAUAAUAAUAAUAAUAAUAAUAAUAAUAAUAAUAAUAAUAAUAAUAAUAAUAAUAAUAAUAAUAAUAAUAAUAAUAAUAAUAAUAAUAAUAAUAAUAAUAAUAAUAAUAAUAAUAAUAAUAAUAAUAAUAAUAAUAAUAAUAAUAAUAAUAAUAAUAAUAAUAAUAAUAAUAAUAAUAAUAAUAAUAAUAAUAAUAAUAAUAAUAAUAAUAAUAAUAAUAAUAAUAAUAAUAAUAAUAAUAAUAAUAAUAAUAAUAAUAAUAAUAAUAAUAAUAAUAAUAAUAAUAAUAAUAAUAAUAAUAAUAAUAAUAAUAAUAAUAAUAAUAAUAAUAAUAAUAAUAAUAAUAAUAAUAAUAAUAAUAAUAAUAAUAAUAAUAAUAAUAAUAAUAAUAAUAAUAAUAAUAAUAAUAAUAAUAAUAAUAAUAAUAAUAAUAAUAAUAAUAAUAAUAAUAAUAAUAAUAAUAAUAAUAAUAAUAAUAAUAAUAAUAAUAAUAAUAAUAAUAAUAAUAAUAAUAAUAAUAAUAAUAAUAAUAAUAAUAAUAAUAAUAAUAAUAAUAAUAAUAAUAAUAAUAAUAAUAAUAAUAAUAAUAAUAAUAAUAAUAAUAAUAAUAAUAAUAAUAAUAAUAAUAAUAAUAAUAAUAAUAAUAAUAAUAAUAAUAAUAAUAAUAAUAAUAAUAAUAAUAAUAAUAAUAAUAAUAAUAAUAAUAAUAAUAAUAAUAAUAAUAAUAAUAAUAAUAAUAAUAAUAAUAAUAAUAAUAAUAAUAAUAAUAAUAAUAAUAAUAAUAAUAAUAAUAAUAAUAAUAAUAAUAAUAAUAAUAAUAAUAAUAAUAAUAAUAAUAAUAAUAAUAAUAAUAAUAAUAAUAAUAAUAAUAAUAAUAAUAAUAAUAAUAAUAAUAAUAAUAAUAAUAAUAAUAAUAAUAAUAAUAAUAAUAAUAAUAAUAAUAAUAAUAAUAAUAAUAAUAAUAAUAAUAAUAAUAAUAAUAAUAAUAAUAAUAAUAAUAAUAAUAAUAAUAAUAAUAAUAAUAAUAAUAAUAAUAAUAAUAAUAAUAAUAAUAAUAAUAAUAAUAAUAAUAAUAAUAAUAAUAAUAAUAAUAAUAAUAAUAAUAAUAAUAAUAAUAAUAAUAAUAAUAAUAAUAAUAAUAAUAAUAAUAAUAAUAAUAAUAAUAAUAAUAAUAAUAAUAAUAAUAAUAAUAAUAAUAAUAAUAAUAAUAAUAAUAAUAAUAAUAAUAAUAAUAAUAAUAAUAAUAAUAAUAAUAAUAAUAAUAAUAAUAAUAAUAAUAAUAAUAAUAAUAAUAAUAAUAAUAAUAAUAAUAAUAAUAAUAAUAAUAAUAAUAAUAAUAAUAAUAAUAAUAAUAAUAAUAAUAAUAAUAAUAAUAAUAAUAAUAAUAAUAAUAAUAAUAAUAAUAAUAAUAAUAAUAAUAAUAAUAAUAAUAAUAAUAAUAAUAAUAAUAAUAAUAAUAAUAAUAAUAAUAAUAAUAAUAAUAAUAAUAAUAAUAAUAAUAAUAAUAAUAAUAAUAAUAAUAAUAAUAAUAAUAAUAAUAAUAAUAAUAAUAAUAAUAAUAAUAAUAAUAAUAAUAAUAAUAAUAAUAAUAAUAAUAAUAAUAAUAAUAAUAAUAAUAAUAAUAAUAAUAAUAAUAAUAAUAAUAAUAAUAAUAAUAAUAAUAAUAAUAAUAAUAAUAAUAAUAAUAAUAAUAAUAAUAAUAAUAAUAAUAAUAAUAAUAAUAAUAAUAAUAAUAAUAAUAAUAAUAAUAAUAAUAAUAAUAAUAAUAAUAAUAAUAAUAAUAAUAAUAAUAAUAAUAAUAAUAAUAAUAAUAAUAAUAAUAAUAAUAAUAAUAAUAAUAAUAAUAAUAAUAAUAAUAAUAAUAAUAAUAAUAAUAAUAAUAAUAAUAAUAAUAAUAAUAAUAAUAAUAAUAAUAAUAAUAAUAAUAAUAAUAAUAAUAAUAAUAAUAAUAAUAAUAAUAAUAAUAAUAAUAAUAAUAAUAAUAAUAAUAAUAAUAAUAAUAAUAAUAAUAAUAAUAAUAAUAAUAAUAAUAAUAAUAAUAGAGAAGAGAAAAAUUAGAUCUAGGGUUUCUUUCUUUUUCUCCAAUCCAAAAAUCCCCCCUUUUCACAAUAGAUUCCUCCCUUAAAUACUCUCUCUCUCUUCUCCUCUAGAAUUCUAUUUAAAAUAAAAUACUAACAUCUGAAAUAUUAAAUUCGUAAUUACAAAAAUAACCAAAAAUACAAAACACGUUAAACUAAAAACUGCAGGUCCGCAGUUGACAGCACGCGCCCACGCCUUAUCAACAAAGUUCUUCUGACGCUCAUAAUUUCUCCAAGAGAACAAUCAUCCUUAAACAUCAUCUUAUAGCUCAAUUUUAUCAUCAAUCAAUAGAAUUGCACCUACAAAAGUAAAACAUAAGUAAAUCACUAUUAUUAAGUGCAAAACAUUGAUAUUAAGGGAAGUAAAUAAUGCAAAACUAGUGCAUAAAUUGCACUCUAACAGUAAUCAGUAAUCAGCAUUAAAAAUUAAAUUAAAUUAAAUUUUUUUGUUUUUAAUAUUAUUUAGUUAUAGACUUAUUAUUAUAUUUAUUCGUUCAUAAAACUAAAUAAUGUUAAAUCAAAUAAAAUAAUCAGGAAUGGUUCUUAAAAAAUUAAUAUUAUUUAUUUUAUUUUAUUUAAUAUUAUUUAGUCAUAGCCUAUUAUUCUGUUUAUUUUUUGAAAAUUAAAUAAUAUUAAAUAAAAUAGAAUAGAAAAUGUGAGUCCUUAAAAAUAAAAAUUAUUUUUAAUAUUAUUUAUUUUAUUUAAAAGAAUAAAUUUUUUAAUAUUUUUAUUUUAUUAAAAAAUAUUAUUUAAUAUUAUCUAGUCAUAGGCUUAUUAUUAUAUUUCUUCUUUUAGAAAGUUAAAUAGUAUUAAAUGAAAUAAAAUUACAUUUUAGAAGGUCAUUAGCCAAAGCACAUAAACUUAUAAACAAAUGGAAAUAAAAAAGGUAAAUAAUAUUCAAUAAAAUAAAAUUACAUUUUAAAAGGUCACCAACCAAAGCACAUAAUAUUAUAACAAAAAUGUAAAUAAAAAAGAAAGUAAGAGAUUCAAUGAAAUUUAACAUCACAAAAGACAAUUUCAAAAAUUGGGGGUAGCUUGCAACUGUUGCAAAGUGGCUGGUUCCAUAAUUUUGAGAUAAUGUUUCGGUUUCAAAUAUUGUUAUCGAUACCUAAUUAUAAGUAAUAAAAAAAUAUUGUAUAAUUUUUUUACCAACAUUUACAAUACAUUUUAUUUUGAUUUCUGAAAAAAAUAGAUAAAACACAAAUUAAUUAUUUUAACCCUCUAUUCUCUCAAUAUUUAAACUCGAAUAAUCAGUUAAAAGUUGCUCGAGAAUGUUUAAAAGCCAUUUAAGUAUACCACGUCAUUCAUGUUUUGCAAUCAUUCAAUUGUUAAUAAGUUUCCCAUGUGCUGAAAAUAAAUAAAAAUGCACGUGCAUAUGUCAUAUUGUCUCCGAAACCUCACAGCGGAAUGAGUGUAGUACUUGCAAUGCAUGUACUUUAGACUUUGUAUUUCUCUUAUUUAAAUGAUCAAUAAUUUUUCUUUGUCCUUUAAUUAGACGUCAACAGUCGAAGUUGUGGGCAGGUAGUAGGCUAUAUAUAAUAAUUUCCUGGAGAUCUUCCGUCUUCUAAGACAUUGCAAAUGCCAAACGUGAUAACUAUUUUGAUAAUUCAAAUACUACAUAAAAUAUAUGAAGUGUCAGACAAGUCAAAAGAAUUGAUUCUUCACAAUUGUAUAUACGUAUACACACACUUUGCCCAAAUCCCAUUGUAUCCAGGCUGUAAUUUUUAUAUUAAACGAACAUAUUUUAUUUUAUGUCAGCAAUAUUGAUGCAGGCUGGGGGAACAACAGCUUCAGGAUGGUCAACUACCCUUCGGAUCAUUGCAAGUGGGAUGGCAUCACUUGCAAUUCAGAUGGAAGCAUAAUCAGGCUAAAAUUAUCAUGGUGUGAUGUUGACUUCAAAAGGUAAUCUUCGUAAAAUUAUCAUGGUAUAAUAUACGUAUUUAUUUUCGCAUACAUAAAUAAAUAACAAAAUUGUAAUUAAUUGGAUACAGCUUCAGCUUUUGGACUGGUUUGUGAAAAUCAGAAAAAUUUAAAAAUGCUCCUCUUGAACAAUCAAAAUCUACUUUAUACGUGAACAAAGGGGAUGAUUCGUAAAGAUAGUUCAUCAAUGUUUGAUUGCUUUCAAGCGUGUCGAUUACUUUCAGAAAGAAAGACUUCAUUUGAUCUCGUCACAAAACAUAAUUUCACUUUGAAUUUGAAAAAGAAUAAUGAAGUUCAUACAAGUGCUGUUAUGACCUUUUUUUUUUUGUUUUCUUUUUUUCUCGACGUUGUUUUGUGAAUCAUAAGGGUUAAUUUAAUACGGUGGGUUCGCUUGUAUGAAGCGCACUUAUUGUACCAUUCUGUUGCAAGCAAUGAAAAAACGCUAUAAUUUUUUUAAGUUUCUACAAGUAUUAUGUUAUCUUAUAUCUAAAUGUGCAUCUCUAGUCUUUGCUCUCAGUUCAGGUUCUCUAAAAGUAUAUUAAUUAUGAAAAGCAUUAAAGGUUCCGAAACUCUAUUUUGCGGGGAAAAAGAACCUCCAUUUUUGGUUUUUUAUUAUAUGAGAUUUUACUAUGCUCGUAAUAACUUAAUCGAAAUUAAACAUAUCACUGGUCUACAUUUUUUUAUAAGAUUUUGUGACUUGCUAAUUAAGAUGAGUAUCACCAUCAAAUCAACAAGCUUAUACCUUCAAAGAAAAAUAGACUAUAAGUCGGGAGAAAGAAGAAAAAAAAAAAAAAAAGAAUCUUCGCAAUUUAUGCUGUUGGUUGUGAGUUCAUGAAACAAAUAAAAAUAUGAAAUCAAACAUUUAUUCAAAAUUUAAAAUUAAAAAAAAAACUCUAUAUCUACAGUAAUCUGUUCAAACCACAUAGGUGGAGCAAUAUAGUUCCAAGACGUGGUUUUAAAACAUGUCUUUGUGAUAAACAAUAUCGUGAUACUUGCGCCAAUUCCCAUGGCAAUAAUUGCCUACAUUUAUCCAAGAUCCAUGGCCAGGUUUAGAAUGUGCUAGUCUUCUUUCACUUUCAUAAAUAACCACUACUAGGUAAUCAGAGUGUCGGUCUAAAUUUUUCGGAGAUACAACGUCAAUGUAUGUGCCCGGAGUUGAAGCUGAACGCGCUUAAAUAUGUUCGGAAUUUGAAGUUGAACGCCUGGAAAAGGAUGCAGACUGAAGAAAGGCAAUUCCUGGAAUUUGUCUUUGGUAAGAAAACAUGGCUGCUUAUGCCCUUUGAAAGACUGAAGAAACCAAAUUGAUUAUUGCUGCAAUUUAGUGGCACAUGUACGAGGAGAGGCAUCCAAUUAAACUUGUUCAUAAAAGUAUUGCUGAUAGUUGCAGCCGAUCUCCAGACAAAAUCUUCGUACAAUUUUAUCCGCCAGCAAUUUCGACCAAGAGACCUUGAUGCAGUUCAGACCAAUUCGCCAGUUGAACAUCAAGUUGCCUAGGCAUUGAGAAUUAGGUCAAUAAAAUAUAUCCUGGGUCACUUACAAAAGAUGAAAUAAGUGAAAAAGGAAAGAUGACGUAAUAAUUUCUUAGUGAGAAAAGUUAGUUAAUUUGCAAAGGUCUUAGAUAAUCAAUUUGAUGUAAAAAUAUCAAAAUUUUUUUUAAUCAGUGAAAUAUUCAACCUCUAGUUUCAGCACUACAAAUGAAUUAAAUAGAAUAAUGAUAGAUAUUUUAAAAUUUUAUCCCAAAUGAUGUGAUAUGUAAUGUAUCAUUCAUUAAGUAGUUGAUGAUUUUUUUAUAAAUUUUAAGUGGAUUAAUUAUAUUAUUUUACCAACGAGUAAAUAAAUGUCACAUCAUUAGAGAAGAAAUUUUAAGGUAAAACUUUUCAAAUAUAUAUCACUACUCCAUUAAAUAUGGUAUAAAAAAUCUAAUAGGGACCAAAAAUAUAAAAACCCAUUAAAAAUAAAAAAUAUAAAAGUCAAUUCCUAAUUAGAAGAAUGAAAGUUUGUUUCUCCUACAAUCAUUUCACUAGAUUUUAAAUAAAUUAAUUAAUGAAAAUUUUUAAUAACAAAUCGGUGCCUAAACCUAACGUCUUUUUUUUUUUGGUCUUAUCCACGAGGUAUCCUGGGGAGGGCCCCAACUGUGGGAGGCACCUUUAAGCCCGUACCACAACCCAGACUAGAAGUCCCCGCUCGAACCGGGAGGCACAGGUUCUCCCAACAAAGGCGACUUCCCCGCGACUCGAACUGGGGAGCAAACCCAGUCAAGCCACUUAAGGGGACUCCAUUGCCAGUGGAGCCAACACUUUGUUGGUUAAACCUAACGUCUUUGACAGUGCUGCCAAUAUCACUCACAACUUACAAGAAAAUUUUGGUAUUAAAUUUAUUAAUGUUCUCAAGGAAUUUUUAGUUUGACUUUGCAUUCUCAGACCCAUUUGUCACAUAACACGUUAGCAAAGACCUUUAAUGAGAAUAUUAAAACAGCUGUCGAAUAAGCAUCUUGACGACGACUUUUUGACAUAUAUGCAUGCCUCCUUUUGUGAACAAAUUUGAAACAUAAAAGAAAAUUUUGAUCCAUGUGAGAGCUGGAGUAUUUUAUAGCUUUUGACCUCAUUAAUUAUGAGUAAGGGAAUAUUUCUACGUCACUAACGAUUAACAUGAUCACUAUAUAAAGGGAAGCAAAGUAUGUUUAGCAUCAAGUCAGAAAACACAAUUUUUAGGAAAUGGGAACUCUAGGACAGGCGAAGCAAUGGCCUCAAUUGGUUUGUGCUAUGGCAUUUUUGCUCAUAGCCACCACAACCGCAAAGGCAUCAGCUGAUGAUUAUGGCCCAGCACCAUCACCAAAGCAUGCAAAGCACCCUCCAAGCCAUUACAAGCCACCGAAACCACCAAAGCACCACGAGUCACCACCACCAUACUACUAUAACUCACCACCUCCACCAGUACAUUCUCCUCCACCACCUUAUUACUAUAAGUCUCCACCACCACCUUCUCUAUCUCCACCACCUCCUUACUAUUAUAAAUCACCACCACCACCGAAACAUUCUCCUCCACCUCCUUACUACUACAAAUCACCACCUCCUCCUUCUCCCUCUCCACCUCCACCAUAUUAUUACAAGUCUCCCCCACCACCAUCUCCAUCUCCCCCACCGCCUUACUACUAUAAAUCCCCACCACCACCAAAAUAUUCUCCUCCACCACCUUACUACUAUAAGUCACCACCUCCACCAGUGAAAUCUCCACCUCCGCCAUAUUACUAUAAAUCACCACCACCACCAAAACAUUCUCCCCCACCACCUUACUACUACAAGUCACCACCACCACCAAUGCAUUCUCCCCCACCACCUUACUAUUACAAAUCUCCACCACCACCAAAGCAUUCUCCUCCACCACCACCUUAUUACAAAUCACCACCCCCACCACCACCAAAACAUUCUCCCCCACCACCUUACUACUAUAAAUCUCCACCGCCACCAAAACAUUCUCCUCCUCCACCAUACUACUAUAAGUCACCACCUCCACCUGUAAAGUCUCCACCUCCACCACCUCACUACAAAUCACCACCACCACCAAAACAGUCUCCUCCACCACCUUAUUACUACAAGUCACCACCCCCACCAGUAAAGUCUCCACCACAGCCACCAAAGCAUUCUCCCCCGCCACCUUACUAUUACAAAUCACCACCUCCACCAAUGAAGUCUCCACCACCGCCACCUUACUAUAAAUCACCACCACCACCAAAUUCUCCCCCUCCACCUUACUAUUACAAAUCACCACCACCACCAAAGCAUUCCCCCCCGCCACCUUAUUACUAUAGAUCUCCACCACCACCAAAGUAUUCUCCCCCACCACCUUACUACUAUAAGUCACCACCUCCACCAAAGCAUUCUCCCCCGCCUCCUUACUAUUACAAAUCUCCACCACCACCUUACUAAUACAAAUCUCCACCACCACCAUCUCUAUCCCCACCUCCAUCUUCCAUUUACACCGCCACCAUCUACAUCACCUCCACCACCAUCUCCAUCAUUGUCACUAUUGCCUUCCGACUACUCCAUGUGAUCACCACCUCCCGAAGACUUCUAAGUUCAAUGUCCCUUCUUGAAACAAGUUU